CGAGUUAGAAUAAGGAUAGGUUAAGAGUUCAAUCUCUUCCAAUAUAAGAAAAGUAAAACACUUAAACUCAACAUUGCGAAUCAUAGUCCUAUUUUAAUUUAAAGUAGGAUUGGAUGUAGGCAGGUUUAAGUUGAACCAUCCAAAAACACCCAAAAAUAAAAUUUAAAAAACGAACACAAAACACAAAUAUUGGUGUUGUAGCUGGCCAAAAAGAAAAAUUAGGACUUGGACAGCUCGGAGUUAGAUAGCCACUUUUACUCAACACUCAAUACUUUGAGGCUGGCUGGCUGGCUGGCUGUGAUUGGUUGGCUUUUUAUAGGUCGGCUGGCAUGGAGGACCAUACCAAACCUCAUGUGAUAGGACAAUUAUUUGGUUGAUUAUUCUCCUUACAAAAUUGGUAGUUUCAUGAUUUCUUUCUUUCUUAAGGUGGACAGUGGGUAGCCACAAAUCAAUUUGGUUUGAUUUAUUAUGAUUAUUUGCUUCUAUAUAUGGGAUGGGAGGAAUGUGCAGCGUGUGGACCCCACAACAAUGAGAAGUGUGACAACGUUCAAAUGGAUGGCAACGUCUAUCAACAGCUCUUUUCUUCUGGGGUUAGUUUGAUUUUGGUUUGGCUUCACGACACACAUGCUGAUAUUAAACAUUCUUCAAUUUUACGUUGUUUCAUUGGCCAACUCGUGUCGGUGCCUCUCUUAGCACUUUCAUUAGUGACUAAGAGAGGAGGUCACUAAUUAUAUAUUUGAAUGUUAGUGACCAAUAUUGAAGGUGUACACAUGCAUUUUCAAUUUGUUGAACUUUUUAUAUCCUAACAAAAAAGUUAAUAGUUUUCUUAGAUACAAUUAAUAGUUUUUUUUUUUCUUUCUCUUAUCUAUUCCAACUACAUAAUUGUAUCAAUAGUUAGAGCAUUUUUAAUGAAGUUGUAUAAGCAGGUGUAUGUAAAAUGUACAUUUUUUAUUGUCGGAAUCACCUGUAAUAGACAGGUGUAAAUGAUUGUAAAUAUGCAUCACAGUCGUGGAGAUGCAAAAUGAGAUACACAAUUGUAAUUUUUUUUAUUUUUUUUACAUCUUUUUUAUGCGGAACCCACACGAAAAAUAAGUUUCAAGUAGUUUCGGGAAAGAAGAAAUAAUCAGUAUAUCUUUUUAUUGAAUCCGGGCAAACCAAUUAAUGAAUCAAAAGAUCCAACAAAAUCAAUCCUUCCAAGAAAACCCAACUACAUACACCAACUGUACUAAUAAUCAAAUAACAAAUUUCCAUGAAUCUGAAAUCUUUCAGCCAAACCAAUAUAUAAAACCCAAGCUUGGCAUCUCCUAAAAUUAAUUCAGGUAGCGUUUGAACAAGGCGCAAAAUGAGACCAGAAGCGAUGCUCCGACAACUACGCUGUUCACAGGCAAAGAGUAAGCCGCUCCAGCAUCCAUCGGGGACGGCGCCGGGGCGCUCUCCUGAGCCGACACCAUCGCAGCCAAGACCAGCAUCUGGACGAAGAAGAAGGCUCCGGAGAUGCUAACUUGCGCCAUUGGUGACUUGAACUCGGUAAAUGAUUUUUUCUAAAGUAAUGUAGGAGGCUUUGAGUUGAGAGUGUUUAUGCGUUGUGAGAAAAAUGGAGGAGCAGAGUGUUUCUUUAUAUACUGGAAGAUGGAGCGGCGUGUGGACCCCACAAUAUGAGAACGUUCAAAUGGAUGCUGGCAACGUCCAUUAACAGCUAGUGUGCGUGUUCACCCACUUCGACAACGCUGCUGGUGACUAGUGUGGCGUGUGAAAGUUCGUUUCGUCGUCAGUCGGCGCCGUAUAUGAUUUUCACGCGCUAAUUUUUUUUUAAUAUUGUGGUAACUUAUUUCUACUUAUGCAAGUAUUUUUUGAAUGUUACGAAUAACGGUUGUUAAAAAAAACAUGAAUGUUGACAUAAACUUCUAUAUAUGAUUCAUUUAUAUCUUAUAUUUUGUAAAUAUCAUGCCCCCAUUAUACGAAUAAACUGGAUUAUCUCUCCUCGUAUUUGUGGAGGGAUUUUCUCCCUAGUCGAUUUUGUGUUAGGUUUUUGCUUUCCUUGUGUUUUGCAAGGUUUGUCUCACCUCUAGUUGUUCUAGGGUCUUACUACUAGACUACCAACCUUUUGGGUUGGAUUUUUGUAGAUUUGUGCAGAUCUAUCUUUUUAUGGCAUUUGUUGUGUGUACUUGUAUAUUUGAGGUUGAUGAAGUGAAUCCUCAUAAGAUUUAUGUGUUAAGGAGUGAAGCUGUUUUAUUUUGUAAAUUUACUAUGAAUUGGCGCUUUAAAUUUAUGACUGUUUGGGAGACGAUGUGGCCAUGUGUUACAAUUACUAGAAAGACAAUAAUCAAAUAUUAGCCAUAAAAAAUUAUUGUUUAGCUGUUACCUACAAUAAUUAGUUUUAUAUUUAUUAUAUUUAAAUAAAAUGUCAUCAAAUUAUUAAAAUGUGAGAGAAUAAGUCACAAAUAAUAGUGCGGAGUAGACAAAAUCAUUAAUCAACCAUCAACUUGUCACCAAUACCAAUUUGGUUACUUUAAAAAAGGUGGCCUUUGCAUUUUUCUUUCUUUUUUUAUAAUGACAACUCUUAUAUAUUUAGCUUUAUUACAAUGCCCCUGGAGUAUAUACUGAAGUUCAGAUUGCACUCUAAAAUACAAAAUGUUGUGAGCAAUCAAUGUAACUUUAAAUUGUCUAUUAAUUUUAACUUAUUUUUAUGACGUGGCGUCGUAUAGAUCCACACAUUAUAGAUGUGACAUGAAUACAAAUUUGUACUUACGAACAAAUUAACAAAUUGAAAAAAGAAAGAAAACAACUUGUUUCUUUCUUUUUUUAAUUAUAAAUUUUAGUAGUUUGUUUAAUUCGCCAUAGGUGCAAAUUGUUGAUUUUUAUGAAUUUUUCUUUUAUAUCAAGAACAAUUAAUAGUUCCGGUAACAUUUGGGUAUGAUUUGUGCAACAUUGCAAUACAAAUUAGUGACAAAUUUGUUUCGGGAAAAAAAAAAUCACUUUUUAUUACAAUGUAAAGAAUCAAAUAUCCAACAAAAUCAACCCCUUAACAAAAUCCGCAUACACAUUAUCCCCAAAAACCAAUGCAUAACAAAUUUCCAAUGAAUCCAAGCUUGCCGUAUCUCAUUCUGAACAAAUUAAUUCAAGUAGUGCUUGAACAAGGCAAAAACUGAGACCAUAAGCGACGCUCCAACAGCUGCGCCGUUUACAGGCAAAGAGUAAGCCGCCCCGGCAUCCAUCUGUGCCGGUGCCGGUGCCGGCGCACUCUCCUGCGCCGAAACCGUUGCCGCCAAGACGACCAAGACCAGCAUUUGGACGAAGAAGAAGGCCCUGGACAUGCUGAUUUGUGCCAUUGCUAAGAAAGUUAUGAAGUUUUUGGUGGAGAAGCUUUGACUUGGAUGUGAGGUUUUGUUUUUCUUUGUGUUUUGGGGUUUUGAGUUGUUUUAGGGUUGGGGAGUGAGGGGUCGGGUUUAUAUAGGGGGGUCGAGGGGCGUGUGGAGCCCACAGCGACAACGUUCAAAUGGAUGGCAUUUGCCCCACACCUUUUAAUGAAAAUGUUGUCGAUAAAUUUACUCUUCUGCAAACGACCUCUAAGGAACCAAGUAAAUGAAAAAGAAAGUAAUUAUACCAUAUCCACCAACCACUCUAUAUCCAUCUUAAAAUUAUCAUCUCUCAUAUUCAAUUCUCUGAUUGUUUGCUUUUCGACAAUAGAUAAGAAAAUUGUUGUUUUGGAGUAAACUUCCCUAGUGAAAUAGGUAAGAAAAACAGUCACCUUUCAUCAUGUUUUCACAAUUUUUCAUGCACAAUAUUACUUAAUCUCAAAAUUAUGAAUUAGACGUACGAAACCUAAACGAAAUGCAUGAAUAAUCAAAUAGUGGCCUAGAUUGAUGGCACCGCCACACUAUCACCAUUAACACAUCUACCAACCACCACCACAUAUUUAUAGAUGAAAAUUAAGUUAUGUGUUUUAGUGGCAGUUCUAGAAUUUGAAAGCCGAUCGGGUAAAACUUAUAUAUAUUAAAUUCUACGGUACUAAUGAAUUUCAUUAAUAAAUCUAAAAAGAUACACAUAGUGAAGAGAGACGUAAUGAGCCUUAACCUCAAAUGCAUCUAUAUCUACAAAUGCAAAAACUAAAAUCCAAAUCAAAAGUAAAAUUAAAAGAAAAAAAGAAAAAAAAAUAUUUCACAUUUAAAAAAAAGGAGAAAACAUGGGACUACAUUAAUUUUAAAAAAAAAACAACAACAUCAUGGAGCGCUUCUUGAUUCCACAAUUGGAGAUUUCAGUUUAGCCUUCUGGAUCUCAUCUCUUGGGGUUUGUGUGAGACAAAAAAAAAUUAAUAAUCAUAAUUUUUAAUUUAAUUUGAAAAGAAGGGAAAAAAAGAGAGAGAGGAGAGAAGAGAAAAGGAAAAGAAAGAACAAAGAAAGAGAGAGAGAGGAGAGAAGAUAGAAGGAAAAAAACGAAGAAGAAAAAAGAGGAGAGAUGAAAGAAGGAAAAGAAAGAAAAAAAAAGAGAAGGAAAAUAACGAAAAGAGAGAGAGAGAGAGAGAGAGAGAGAGAGAGAGAGAGAGAGAGAGAGAGAGAAGAAGAGAAAAAAAAGGUUUGUAUAGGUUUAAUUUAAGUGGGCUGGACAUAUGUAGUGUAGGUAAUAUUUUUUUAAUAAACAUUUGGGUUGGGCAUGAGCCCAGCCUGCCAUAGGCUAGAACGCCCCUGAUGUGUUUAAUCCUAUUUUCUUUUAAGAUUAGUCAAACAAGAAACUUCACAAAUUUUGCAACAUUAACUCUUAUUUUCACAAAGCAAUCUUAGAUUUCCUCAUCCAAACGCAGUGUAAUGUUGUGCAUAAUGUUUUCCUUACUUUCUAUUAGUUCUUUAAUGUUUUUUGGGAUUCAUUUGUGCUUAUUUGAGUGUGUUUAGGUAUUGUUUAGUAUAUUUUAGGGUUUAUAGGUUUAAGAUUCAAAAUCUUAAACCUAUUUGUUUUAGUUGUAUGGGCUAUAUAGGCCAUGCCCUUUUUUUUUAGUUGUCAAUACCCAUGUAGUCUCUCUCUCCCUAGCCCAUGCAUUUUUUUUUUUAAUUUUCAAAUCCAUGUUCUCUCUUUUUCUUAUUUUCUUCAUUUCUCUCUCUCUCUCUCUCUCUCUCUCUCUCUCUUCUUUUCCUCCUUUCUCUCUUCUUCUUCCUAUUUCUUUUUUUUCCCCCUUUCUCUUGUUUUUUUUUCUUUCAUUUCUCCAUUUUUUAAUGGUCUGGAUCUACUACGAAUUGAGCUUUUUCCCACAGUUUCUUCUUCCUUUUUUUUUUAUUUUUUUUUGUUGCUUUUCUCUUGUUUUUUUUUUCCUUUGUUUCUCUUUUUCUUCUUAUGCGUUUCGCUUUUUUCUCUCACACGUGUUAUAAAGUCCAUUUUGGUGCGAUAUAGCCCUCAUUGUUGAAAUUUCCUACAUAUGUAAGGUAAAUUUAGCCCAUAGAGUUUUGAAAUCCUGAAUUCGUCCCUACUUUAAUUCAAAUUAUUUUUAUGUUGUGCAAAUCUCAAGAAUAAUAUGAAGUGAGUUUAAGUCGAUAGUAUUCUAGAAAAAAUUUGUUUUAAAUUCUUUUUGCACAAAGGAAGAGCGACAAAUUAGCCUUAAAGAAGCAAAUUCAUUCGUGCUUUGGCUCAAAAUUUUCAUUUUCAUCUUAGUUAUUGCCUUCAUAUAUCUUCAUAAUUUCCAACACAGUAUGAUCGCUCAAUGUUUAUAACGAUCAAUCUACACUGGCCAAGGACCUAUUCUUUCAAAAGAAAUAUGGUGCACAUUUUCCAAUAAAUUAAAAGGUGCAUGUCCUUAUUAGUGACAAGCACUUUAAUCUUCAAGUUUCUUUAACCUUUGGAUGUAAGUUAGGUAAAUUUCUUGUUCUCUUGCCAGACAUGUUAUAAUAUCCAGAGAUGUUCGUUUAAACGCAAAUAUAAUCAUUAAUUUAUUUUAUACUAACAAACAAACAACAAAAUAUAUAAAUUUGUCAUGUGUAAUCAAGCCAUAGAUAACUUGUAGAACUUUACAAUAUUAUUCAAAUUAGGUGAUGGUUAAUACCAAUUAACCAUCAAAUACAGAGAAAGUAGGAUAUCGCGAUGGUGUUCAUAUGCCUCAAAAUUCAAAAACAGUAUAUCUUUUUUCCGGAUAUUAAAGCAUAACACUCACCUUAUCAUUAUCAUAUAGUUUACAUUAAAAAAAAAAACAUCCCAAAACACACAUAAUAAGGAAAAUGUGUCAAAUCCAACAAUGUCCAUGUAUCACAACAGCUCCGCUGCACAUCCAAAACUCAGAACCCCACAUCCAUCCAUCCAUUCUAGCAAAAAGCAAAAGCAGCUGUAAGAGAGACCAACAUAGAAGAACAGAUCAACGCCACGGAAACCGGAGAAGCAAACCCGGCUCCGGUCACCGGUAACGGGGCAGGUGGUGUGGCGGUAUUCUGUGCCAUAGUUUUGGUCACAUAAAAUAAUGCAGCAACCAUGACCAUAAGAAUUCUAGCUGAAGAUGUGCCAAACCGUGCCAUUUCUCUGUAAAAAAAAUAGGCACAGAAACUGAAAGAUUUAGACAAAGGUAAAGAAAGGGAAUGAGGAAUUGAUUAAUUGAGUUUGUGUUUUUGUUGAGAGCAAUGUGGUGCAUGAAUUUAUAGGAGACUGGUUUGUAUGUGACCAAUUUCUUGGCCUGCCUUUUUGGACACGGCUAAUGGGACCAAUUAAAGCAAUGGCUGGCUGGCUUCACCACAACAUGGACAUGGGAACUACAGACAUUUCUUGAUGAAUGAUAAGAAAGUUGGUAUGCAAUCACCUUCAUGCACUCAAUCCUUUUUGCCGUGCCUUAAAUUAAUUUUAGUAGAGACUUGUGAGUGCACACACACAAGUUUAUUUUAUAUAUUAUCAAAUCAAAUCCCCUAUGAAUUUCAAAGAAAAUGGUACCAUGUAUUAAUACAAGUUUAGUGUUUAGUUGGGUCAGUCUUAAAUCAUUUUGUCCAUUUUUUUUUCUUUCAAACAAUCAUUUUAUACACUUGCAAUUAUUAGAAUUAGUUAACGCAAGCAGCAAUAAACUUGUAGCUCAAGUGAUUAGUUACCAUUUGCACUCGAGGUCCUGUGUUUAAAUACCCCUCCCUCGAUAUUGAUUGUAUUAUAAAAAUAAAAAUAAAAGUUAACAUAUAGCAUAUACUAUGCAAUGUUUUGCCAUCUGUUGGUAAAGUGAUGCUAUCAUAAAGAGCUGUGGUGAUUCGUGGUGUACAUCUAAAAAAGGUUAAGCUGUCCUUGUAAAAGAGCAAACUUGUGCAGAGAGAUAAUGAACCUAAAAAUAAUUUCAACCAGAUGAGACUUGGAAAAUAGAAAACUUGAAAUUAACUAAAGCAUGAUUUAUGAUUUGGGAUACGAUUAGUGAUUUUUCACUUUGCAAAUGUUACAUUAUUAAAAGUGAAAGAUAUAUGGGCUCAAGUGAAUGAGCAGCCGCUUAAGGGGAAGCUCUUGGGCUUGCAUUGCUAGGCCUAGACUUGUUUGUGGGUAGUUUUUGUUCAAAUUAAAACUAGGAUUCUGUGUUUAUAAAAUGCACCCUACUCUUUUGAACACCUUAAAACUAAGAAUUUGUACCUGGGAUGAUUUGGUAUUAUAAAAUGCUUUCUUUUUUUUUUUUAUUGAUAUGAGAUUUGAUAUAUUUGGACAUGAUAAGAUAACGAGUCGAAAAUAUGCUUGAAAUAAUUUCAUAUUAUAUGAAACUAAUGCACGCUAUAUAUUGAAACACGACAGGUUGCCACGUCUAUGGACACACCCAUUCUAAGAAUUCACAGUAUCCCAAAGCAAACCUUAAAAUUUUGUCCCGAAAAAACUAUUUGCCGAAAAGAAUUUUAAUUUUAUUAAUCUCAAAACUUGGAAAAAAGAAAAGUAAAACCUAACAAAAUUGAAGAAAUACAGACAUGAAUAAGAAUAUUUGUAUUCUCUCUUACAAUGAUGAUUUUGUGUUUUUUCCCCUUGAAAACACUAGGCUAUUGAGAUCUAAUCAAGAGAAGAUUGAGAAUCAAAAAGUAAAAAACACCAUUCAAAUUCCUAAUGUCAUGCAAAGCCAAACACGCAAGUACGUAGCUAGCUAUUCGUCAACUACAACACUUACUUGACCACAAGUGUUUCAUAUUCUAAUAAUAACCAAAAUCCUCCCUAUAAAAUUGUUCAUAAUUGAUUUGAUCAGUACUACUACUAAUCACCCUUAAUCAGUUGCUUGAACCAAAGCAAAACUAGCAAAGUGUUCUCAUUAUUUUCAUCUCAAAGCCAAUCAACUCAAAGCUCACAUUCAUCAAACACCAACCAUGGACAUGAAGAUCAAGAUCUCCCUUGCCAUCCUUCUAUUUGCUGCCUUGAUGAGUGUGGUCUUGGCUGAUAAUAAGGAAGCUCAUCCCCCGAAGCACUCAGGCGGCGCACAUGCCCCAAAGCACUCAGGCGGUGGCGCGCAUGCCCCGAAGGGCGCAGCUUCUGCCCCAGAGGGCACAGCUUCAGUCUCAGCUGAAGCUCCUGCCGCGGCCAAGGACUCCGCUUCGGCGCCGCAAGCAUCAAGCAGUACUACCCCCACUACAUUGUCCCUUGUUGGCUCUUUGGCUGGUGCCUUCCUUUCAUUUUUCUUUGUCUAUUACUUGCAGUACUAAUUAAGCUCAGAGAAUAGGAGAUUGUUUUUAGCUAUAUAUGAAGGAGAAUGAGGUAAUGACGAGAUUUUUAUGUACUUGGAAGAACAUGAUGGUCUAUAUCUUUGUUUUAGAUAUAUUCACCAUUAGAUAAUCAUGGAGUGAAGUUUGCACGACAAUCACCUUUUCAUUUUAGUUACAUUAAGCAAUUUACACUUUAUUUUCUUCAAAUGUUCUUUCCAUUUCAGAAUUAUUUUAUGGCUAAAUGUCACUUUUGGUCCCUGUAGUUUGGCACUUCAAUCACUUUUGACCAUAUAGUUUCAAUUUCGUCAAUUUUGACCCUGUAGUUUCGUAUAGUAUUCCUGUCAAUUUCUUUGACGGUGCAAGGGGCAGUUUCGUCAACCCAAAAUCCUUGAGCAUAAAAGCUCAUUUGAAACUCCCUUCAUUUCAUAUUAGGGCUUCAAAUCGGUCAUUUGGGUUUAUGGUUCUUUAAAAAUUGGGAUUAGUGGUAAAAUUUCGAGCCCUAAUAUGAAAUGAGGAGAAUUUCAUACAAGCUUUUACGCUAAAGGGUUUUGGGUUGACGAAAUUACCCCUUGCAUCGUUAAAAAAAUUGAUAAGAAUACUAACAUGUCCUUGAAUUGCUACAAAUAUGAAACUACAAUGGCAAAAUUGACGGAACUGAAACUACAAGGUCAAAAGUGGUUGAAGUGCUAAACUACAGGGAUCAAAAGUGAUUUUUGGCCUUAUUUUAUUAUAUUGUAUAUAUGUUGAAAGAUUGUACAAAUUAAUUUAAUGUUUAACGAAUUUAUAUGGGACCUUUGCAUCGAUGGGUUUCAAAAUUAAGUUUGAUCAAGGUUGAUCAUUAAGUAAACUUGAUACUAUCGCAAGUGAUAUUCAAUUUUGACAGUGGAUGAAAUAAUACGUGUAUCUACUUGGUGAUUCUUCAUCAUCUUGAUGAAUAGUAUGGGAAGUCUACUUGAUUGUUUUAUUUUUUUGCCAAAUGUUUGGCUGGUUUUUCUCUAGUAUGAAGGUCUCCUCUUUUGAAGAAGGAUCGAGUAUCUCUUAAUAUGAAGGAUUCAACACUGUUAGCUUCUAUUUAGCUAAUGUUUUUAGCUUUUUUUGACAAAUUUGUAAUCUUAUAUGUAAUCAAUUAAGCUCAAGGAAUUUAGGGUAGUUUAAGUUUGCAUUUCAAGAUGAUUACAGAAAUUGAUAUCAAUCUUGUCAUGGCUCAAAUGGAAUCAAGAUUCUUGAAGGUAAAAAUCAUACAUUAAUGCAUUGCAUGCGUUAUAGUGUUCUUAUGUAUGACUAGUCAAAUAUGCAUGUACAUUCAUCUUUAGUUGUCAUGUAUAUAAUUUCUCUUAGCUCAUCUUUAGAAAUUAGGAAUUGGGUAUUUGCCAGAAAGUUAACAUUGAAGAGCUUUCGAGGCUACAAAACAAAGAUAAUUUGUGCAUUCAUUUAUAAUGGGCAUCCUUAGGAAAAUUAGCAUCUAUAUCACAAUACUUUGUCUAGAUGACUAUAUAGGCCAAAUAUUUCCAGCACAAUAUUUUUAAUCAAGGCAUGUGAUUUUGCUUAUGAUAAGUCCAAUAAUUGGCUCCCAAGUGUCCUUUUGACCUACCAAAAAUGCUGAGGCUGGUCUGGACUCACCAAUUCUCUCAUUUUAUAUUUUGCAUAUGGGUUUUGAGAGAGAGAGAGAGAGAGAGAGAGUGUGUGUGUGUGUGUGUGUGAUUGUGCAUAAAUUAGGUUUUUCCUUUUGGAAGAAAAGUUCAUGGGUCCUUUUGGGGCUUUCAUUGUGUUGUGUUAGCUUUUGCUACUUGUUUAAUUUUUGGCUUCCUUAAACAACAUUAUAUUUGCUAUUGUAAAAUCACCAUGCUCAAGCUUAAUUAGUCCAGAACAGAUUAGGAUUGAAGAGGUCUACUAUGACUAUGACAAAUUAUGACUCAAUGCAAAUAAAGAGAAAAAAUAAAAAUCAUGCAUCGCAUAUUUCAGCUUAGUUGAGUAAAUGUGAUGAUUAGUCAUCCAUUUACUACCAGCUCAUUUAAAAUCUCGCGUGAGAUUCUCACGUGUUUCAUGAUUAGCCAAUUGUGGUCUUCCUAUCAUAACGAUUUCGUAUGUCUUAUUAUUAUGCCAAUCAUUAGUCGACAUCUGAUUUCCUUUUCUCACCUAGUUUUUGGGGAUAAAAUAUAUUUUUGGCUCCAGUAGCCGUCACAGACUCAGUGUAAAAUUGUGUGCUUCAUCGUUCUUCCUUUCUCCGAGGUCUGCAUAUUUUCGAAAAAAAUGAGGUUUUUGAAAAUCUAAUUUGGUUAUCUUAUAUCUACAUCUAGUCUGUAGGUUAUAUCAUAUCAUUCUAGUUAGAUCAGAUUCCUUGUUAGUUUCUUCAAGAGGAUUGUUUCUUGAAGAAAUCAACAAUUUCUUUUUGAAUUUAUAUCGGAUUCAUUCUCCGAGGUCUUCUUACAGCUAGAGCUGGCAAACAGGUCGUUUUUAUGGGUUACGGGUCGUGUUCGGGUCAACUCAUUUUCUUAACGGGUUGACACGAACAUGACCCGUUAAACUAACGAGUCAUAAAUACUAGACCCAAACACGACCCGCACAAAUUCGCGAAUAACACGACACGACCCGUUAUGGCUAAUGGGUCGUUUUUCACCCGUUUUCACCGAUUUAAAAAAUAAACAAUAUUUUUCAAAAAAUCAUUAAAUGAAAACACCUCAAAUUAAUAAAACAAAGAAAAUAGGAAAGUAGAAAAUGCUGAAGUUGGGAUUUUGGCUCAGCAUGUUUAUGGGUUUAAGCCAAUUCCUAGAGGAUCAUCAAAUUCUGUAGAGAUUGAAACAGAUAGAGAAAAUGCUGCAUCACUUGCCAGAGCUGGAAACAGAUUGUUCCAGAUUUUAGGAGAAGAAUACUCCGAAGUUCAUGUUUUAAAAUCAAAAGUGCUGAAUGGAAUCAGAAAAGCAAAAUUGACAUAGAAUAUGGAUUGGAGGAGAGCAUUGACUUGGAUGAUAAUGACAAGAAGUCCCUGCUUUCCCGUCAGAAAGCAAUCCUUCCAACUCACUUUGGUAUUAAUAUAAUGCAUAGAUAACAAUUAAAACUCUCAAAUGACUUGAGAUUUUCAUACCUUUUCGUUGGAGAAGAAGAAGAAAGGUAGUUGAUGCUUGAUAGUUUGGUUUGGAUCUAGAGAGAAAGAGAGAGGACAGAGUGAGUGGCCGCGUGCUCGGACUCGGACAGGAGGGCUCCAAUUCAAGGUAGGUUAAUUUUAGAAUUAAAAUUACAAAAAUGCCCUUACUCUUAACGGGUUAACGAGUGAUUCGCGAAUAAUACUGAUCCAACUCGUUAGCUUAACGGGUGACUAACAGGUCCACCUGUUUUCAACCCAACCCAUUAAGCUCAAUCUAAAUGUUGUUAUUUUCGUGCGAAUUCGUGUUGUGUUAACGGGUCGUGUUCGAUAUUGCCGGCUCUACUUACAACACUUGUUCUUUCAAUUUCAGUUGUAUUUCAAGGUUGCUGGUUUACAAACACAGGGUUUUUGCUCUGGGUUCCUAGGUUUGUUCCAAAGGGUUGUGUUGUCCAUUAUGUUUUUCAAGAUCGCUGGUUUACCAACAUGGGGUUUUUGCAAUUGUACACUUUUAUCGUACCUAUUAUGCAAAUGAAAUGUACUUGUUAGCUUUUAGUAAGUGGUAUAAAUAGUUGUUAUAUAUAUACUGUUCAUACCUUACAACUAAGUUGAUUUCUAUGACAUUGUAUUAACAAUGUGCUUCUAUGACAUAGUAUUAACAAAUUUUCAGUAACAAAACAUACUCUAUAUAUAGCUGUGCACUUGAAGUUUAUGAUAUGCAGAAUGUGAUUUUUACUAGAAAGAUAGUUCUAUAACAUAGUAUUAACAGUGUACUUUUAUGUUUAUUUUUUUGUAGAGGUAUUUCUUUUUGCCUUUGCGAUUGUUUCUGGUGAAACAAUGGACAAUUGGAGGUGAUUUUUGAAAAGGAUAUCGGAUGUCUUGCUAGUUUUUUUUUGAGUUUUUUUAAUGAUGGUAUGAACAAUGUUUUUCUAUGAAAUGAUAUUAACAUUGUACUUCUAUGACAUAAUAUUAACAAUGUAUUUCUAUGACUUGGAAUUAAUAAUGUACUUCUAUGACAUGGUAUUAACAAUGUACUUCGAGCUCGUUGAGCUUUUUUUGUGUGUCAAAUAUGGGCUGGGCUUACUGGGCUUUUUUUUUUUUUUUUUUUUUUUGGGUUGAGUUUUUUGUAUUGGGCUUGUUUUAAGUUAAUCAAUGGCAAAGAUGUAAUUUAUAGGAACUUCAACACUCAUUUUUUAGGUAGUAAAUGGUUUUUGGGUAUGUUUCUAAAGUGUAUUCCAUAUAGGUUUUUUUUAUAUUUUAAAAUAAUAAUAAUUUCAGGUCCUAUUUUAGAUAUAUUACUAAAUCUCCCUAAAAAAUAAUGUACCUACUUUUAAAAUAAUUUACUGAUACAAUCUAAUUAAAUUAGCAUACCUAUUUUUUUAAAAUAACAUAUAGGUAAAUUAGUAUGAUAUUUUUGAACUAGUAUACCUACAAAAUAUAAGUAAAAUAGUACGUGAAUUUUGUACUUAGUAUAGCUGCAAAAUAUAGGUAAGUAUACCUACAAAUUACUAUAGAUACAUUAGUGGGAUCUUUUGUACGCAGUAAGUGUAUUCUGAUCUUAUUUCUGUAGGUGUAUUGCUAUUGCUUGUAUAUGUAAUUAAUGCUUACGUCUUUUACAAAUUUCAUGGUUGGCAUUAGUAUUGAUUAGGGGUGGCAUUUUAGACCCAAAAACUAAAAGACCGCAAAAACCAACCGACAUUUAACCGUAAUCGCAGGAAAUCGAAUCACAUUUGCGGUACGAAGAAGUUAACCGCAUUUGCGGUUGCAGUUGUGGUAUUUGAUUUUCACAACUUGCAGUUACCGCAAACCGCGACUAUAGUUUUUAAAAAAUAAAAAUUGCAUUUUAAUGUUUAAUCGUAGCCGUUGUAUAACAAGACCACUUAUCUUGUAAGUAAUUAGUUUAUUUAUGUUUUUUCUUAUAAUAAAAUGUACUAAACUUAUGUUGUUUUAUUUGUAGAUAGCAUUGAUGCUCAAACAACACAAUGGGGUCCUUCAAAUCCACUCACCACCACCAACACUUGAGUUUGUAACAUUGGGGCAUUGCAUUUUCCUUUUAGUUUGUAACUUUAAUUAACUUUGAAUUGGAUUUUUCCUUUGGGUUGUAAAUUUAAUUCAUUUUGCAUUGCAUUUUCCUUUUGGUUUGUAACUUUAAAGGAUUUGGAAUUGGAAUGCUUGAGAAGUUUAACUUUAAUUGGAAUGCUUGGAAUUGUAACUUUAAUUUUCUUUAGGUUGUGAAUGCUUGAGAAGUUGAGGAGGUUGUGAAUUUAUAUAUGCUUGAGAAGUUGAGGUUAUGAAUUUAUAUUUUUGGGUUAAAGUAUGCUUGAACUCAAAAGGCUUCAAAAAAAAGCAUCAAAACUAGGCCUAAAAUGUGGAAGAUUGGAUUUUUAUGACACCAAAAAAACUUGCGGUUUUAAAUCGCUACUUCACGGUAACCGACGAUAAACCGCAAAAAAAGGUCGGUUUGCGGUUUCAAAAAUCAUCAUACCGCAAAUAGUUGGUCGGUUUGUGGUUUGAACAAAAAUUCGCAGUUAUCGAACCGCAACCACCCCUAGUAUUGAUUAAGUCCAUUACUUUUUUUUUUUUUUUUUUUGCAAUUGCUAAUAAUUUACAUUCAUUACUAAUUAAGAUGGUAAAAAUUUAGGUUUUAAUACCAUAUAUAGUUGGAUGGCAUCAAUUGUAAAAUAGUUAAAAAUAAUAGGAUAGCCUAUUUUAAAUUUGGGUUUUGGUUGGAGAUUAUAAAAUGGGUGGGUUAUUGUUUAGAAUAUAUGAGUUAUACGGGCUUUUCACCUAACAUCUCUUUAAAUUAUAAGACUAUUUGGUUAUUAAUUUUGUUUAAAACUUUUAGUCUUUUAAAAUUACACCUCUAUUGAAAAAUUCUUGAAUUUGUCAGUGCCUACGGCAGCAGCUCCGAUUCCAGGCAAGCGCUGCCUUUGCUACCUUUCCCACUGUGGGGUCUUUUGGUGGCUCCCUUUUGUCUUCCUUUGCCUAUUGCUUGCAAUACUAAGCUCUUUAUUACGUUGUACCGGGAAAUGUGAUUAUGGAAAUGAAGUAUAUGUGUACCUAGAAAGAAAAAUCAUGGACUGUAUCUUUAUUUUGGAUUCAAUCACACCAAUCACCCUUGACGGUAUCUUUAUUUUGCUUUUCAUAAUAUUUCUUGCUUUUACUCUUUAUUAAUAGAUUCAGCUGGCUGGUGGAAUUUAGACUUACUUUCUGCAGUUUUUUUUGGAAAGAAGAGGUUGUUGCUAUUCUGUCAAUUCCUUUGAUACCAAACUGAUCAGAUAAGCUAAUCUGGCAUUAUACUGUGACUGGGAAGUAUAGUGUUAAAAGUGGUUAUUGGUUAUCUCAAAGUAUAAUCUCGAGACAACAGGGAGAUGUAAGUAGGUCAGCUAAUUCAGUGAAUUUGUUAUGGUCGUCCAUCUGGUUAUUGCGAGUUCCUAAUAAAUUGAAUGUAUUUUUAUGAAGAGCGGUACAUGAUAUUAUUUCAUAUAAGGUGAACCUUUUUAAGCAUCAAAUUAUUCAUGAUUCAUUAUGUUUUAGAUGCUCUCAACAGUCUGAAACUAUAGUACAUGCUCUCUAGUUUUGUCGAUUGUCAAGGGAGGUUCGGCAGCAUUCACCUAUUCAUGACUUGACAGUUCCCCUGCAGGUUGGUACUUUUAAGGAGUUAUAUCGAUAUGUUUCCUCGGUUUUGACUAAUGACGAGCUAGUCUUCUUUGUUUUUUUGAGUUGGGGAUGUAAUGAUCUUUUACAUUCUGGUCAAAUUACUUCAUAUCUUAAUUUGUUGGCUCGUACCCGAAAGCUUGUUUUGAAAUAUCAACGGGCUAUUAUUUUAAUGUCUUCUCAUGUUCCGGCAACUAAUAUUGUGCGGUAUUGGUCUCCACCUAAUGAUAAUUUUGUGAAGAUAAAUGUUGAUGGUGCUGUCAAUUUGCUUAUUGGUUUUAGAGGUUUGGGGGUUUUCAUACGAGAUAGUAUGGGUGAUUUAAUGCUAGCCGCCUAUAAAGGUCUUCAUGGCAUGUUUUCUCCUAAAGCUACUGAACUUUACGCAGCAAUUAUGAGAUUACUGAUUGCAGGUCAAAUGGGACAUCGUUCUGUCAUUUUGGAAAUGGAUGCCAAAGAGAUUAUUAUGAAUCUUCAAACUUAUGAGCAAAGUUGGUCGGCGGAGGGUGCUUUAGUGUAUGAAGUCCGGAGCUUUUUUAAUAGUUUUGAUCAUAUUUCUUGUUACUUUGCUCCUCGGGACUUGGAAGUGUAACCAAGUUGCUCAUCUAUUGGCUAAGCAGGCGCUCCUGUCUCAGGACUUUCAAGUGUGGUUAGAGGAUGGUCCUUUAUGAAUUUAUAAUGUUUUGGCCAAUGACAAAUUAUUUACUUAAUUUAAUUUUAUACUAGAUGUGAUAUAGUGGUACUCUUUUUCCUUGACCGGAUUUUUCUCCAUUUGGGGGUUUUUAAAGGCAAGGUUUUAAUGAGGUCACACUUGUUACAUUACUAAAGUCCAGUGUUAUUUUUGUACUCUAACAUUGUUGUUUCAAUGAAAUUAUCUCACUUUGAUAAAUAUAAAAAUUAAAAUUAAAAUUAAAAUCCUAAAUGUGCAAAGUCCUAAAGUGACCCUAUUUCGAAACCUUUCAGUUUCAUGGUGAGGAUCAAAGUGUUGUCCUAAACUGACCCUAAUACAAGUAUCAAAUAUCGAGAACUUAAAAUGUAAUACAAAAAGAAAAGAACAACAUUGCUUUCGACCAAUUCCAAAAUAGUCAUCUUGCACUCCUUAACGGAAAAAAGAUAUCAGAGAAAGAUGAGUGAAUGAUGACUAUUUUGGAAUACUAAUAACAAUAAAUCCUUUAAUAUUUUCUAAGUCUUAAAAUAAAUCUCAUCGUAACCCAAUAUUAUCCAAAUAUGAUGAUUGUUUGAUAUGGUUCGAUACAAGUUCAAUUCAAUAAUUUGAAUAGGAUUAGAAUACGAUAAUCUGCUUAUAAUGGGAUUCAAAUUUGGAUAUAUAGGCUUAUUUGUUGAUAGUUGAGUCAUGACCAGUUUUGUGUUUCCCAAAUAUCAAGGAAUGCUUAGUUGCGUCAUAAAUCUUUAUCCCCUUCUCUCUCUCUCUCUCUCCCUCCCUCCUUCUUCUUCUUCUUUUUUUAUGAAUCCAUACAGUUGUUUAUGCUUGUGUCCAUAUACUAGCCUAAGUGUUACGAAACCAUACAACUGUUUCUACUUGUAUCCAUAUAGCAGCAGCAUGGUAGAUCUAACCAACCCCAUAAAACUAGAGAAAUUGUAAAAACGUUUGGCCCAAAAAGAAGUAAGAAUGUGUAAAAACGAGAUUGAUUUGGAUACGUUUCAUACCACACGAAUAAAAAAAAUAAAAAACAAGUGUUAACAAAAUUCCUGAUGACAUGCAAAACCAGACACGUAAAGACCUAUUCCUAAGUAAUAGCACAACUGAAGACAAGUGUUUCAUUCUAAAAAUAACCAAAGUGCUCCCUAUAAACCUCUCCAGUAUUUCCUCACUAUUCCUCACACUUACAACAACUAGAUCAAAGCAGAGCUGUAAACAAACAACUUCUUCCAUAUUCGUCUCCAGGAACUCUAGAUUUAUUUUCACUUCAAAGUUCACAGUCAACAAUUAUCAAUAUUCAACAUGGACAUGAAGAAGAUCUCAAUUGCCAUCAUCUUCAUUGCUGCCUUGAUGGGUGUUGUCUUGGCAGCUGAGAAGAAGGAAUCCCCCAAGGCCGCUGCCCCCAAGGCUGCUACCCCUGCCCCGGCAAGCGGCGCCACCGCCACCACCUUUUCGGUUGUUGGGUCUUUGGUUGGUGCCUUAAUUUUUGCUUUCUUUGGCUAUUACCUUCAGUAAUGGUUCAGAUCAGAGAAUAAGUCAUUCUUGUAAGGGAAAUUAGGAAAAUGAGAUUCAUGAGAUCGUGAUGGAUUAUUUACAAGAGAAGAAAGGAUCACGUUUAUUUCAUGUAUUUUGACUAGCUAUGCUAGUUUCGUUAAUUGAAUUGCCUCUAUUCUUUUAAUUGAAUUGCCAAUCUUAUUGAAAACAAAAGUGAUUAUUGUCCAAAAAGAAAUUCUAAUUUGGGUCAAGUGGUAUCAAAGCAUCAGGUGAUUUAUGGUCUUAACUCGUGGCCCAAAAACUUGUAGGUCCUUGGCCUUUGGAUACAUUUCAAUUGAAAAUAAAAAUAAAAAUUGAGGAUCAAGUCGUGAGAUCCUAAGGGCUCUAUCUUAUGGGAGUAUUUUUGCUCAUUUCUUUAACUAAAUAUGUACUUUCACCAUUUUUUUUAAAAAAUUGACAUAUGUCCAUGAGUUUAACUAUAAUUAACUCUUUAUUUUUUAUUUAUUUGAUGAUAUUAUUAUGAUGAGAGAGAAACAAUGCUUUAAUAAGAUUUUUCUUAAUUUACCCUUAUUCUAUUAAUUAACUCAACAAACUUUCCACUUUUCUUGAUUAAUUUAAUUUUUAAAAAAAAUCAAAACAAUGGAAACUAAAAAGGCAGAGCAUAAGUUCUUAUUCCCAAAAAAAAAAAAAAAAGAAGAGAAACACAGAAAUCCCUUCUUUCUUUUUUUAUGAAGGAAAGUUCAUGAGUUUAUACAUGCUCACCAGGAGCGGCCCUGGGGUGGUGCAAGUGGCGCCACCGCACAGGGCCCCCGAUUCUUAAGGGCCCCAAAAAAAAAUUCUUUAUAUUAUACAGUCCUGAUCUCUUGGACCCCUGUAGUCCAAGAGAUUUAUGGUCACCCACCGUUGGAUGUAAAUUCAACGGUUGACUUGAAUCGGGUAAUAAUCAUUUAUGUCAUAUUGCAUUUAUAUAUAUCAUUUUGAACCAUUGGAUUAAUAUCCAACGGUGGGUGACCACAAUCUCUUGGACUCCUGUGGUCCAAGAGAUUGGGACUGUUAUAUUAUAUAUAUAUUAAUAUUAUAUGAAUCGUAUGGAUAUUUACACAACAGCAUGUUUAGGGGAGUUGGAUGGAGCGCAUCUCUCUUUGGCAAAAGGGCCCGAGUUCGAUGCUCCUUGAGGUCGUUCCCAAACAUUCUUAAAAAUAAAAUAAAAAAGGUUUUCUCCUUCAAGAAAAGUACUUUCUUCAUUCAAAACACCAUGAAAAAAGCUUCAUGACUUCUUCUUUCUCUUAAACUCUGAUUUUCUGGUAAGUAAUCAUCAUUGUUCAUCAAUUUCUCUUUGGUUCUUUUUUCAAUCAUUUGACAAUUUUUGUUAUUCUUUCAAUUUCAGGAAUUUGAAUACCAAAAAAAGAAAACCCUAAUUCCUGAAUUCAUAAAGACCACUCAAAAUCAAAUAGUCAUAUUCAAAUCUCAAUUCAAAUUCAGGUAUGUAUCUAAAUUUCAAUCUAUUCUAUAUAUUACAUGACUUAUUUUAUUAAAUUAUUAUCAUGUUGAUGAUUGGUUGUAUAAGAAUAUAAUUUGUAGAAAUAUUUAUCUAUUUCUUGCUGGGGUUUUCUUCCAGUUAUAGGGUUUUAGAAUUUUUCUUUAUAAUCUAAACAUUGCUCACUAGAAGUUUUUCAUUUUUUUUCUUUUCUUUGUUUGUUCAAUCAGUUUUGUUUUUUUCGUUCAGUGAUCAAAAUAUUCUCUCUCAUUAUAAUGUCAUCAAACAAAUAAAAAAUACUAAAAACUUUCUGCAGCGUCUCUCCUCUCUUCUUCUUCAACGUUUCUCUUUUUUUUUUUUUUUUCCUUCUAAUUUUUCUUUUCAGUGUCUUCUAAUUACGCCCAAUAACUAAUUCUACCCCUUUAAUCAUAUAAUCUUUCCUUUUUCAUAUACUGAUUCUGAUAUGGGAUGAAAAGAAACUGUGAGGUGCUGUUUACAUACUGAGAGACUUGGUUUCCUUCCCCUUAUUGAACAAAAAACAAGAAGAUUUUGCAGAAAAGGGAGAUGAUUCUUGUGGAGUCGUGAAAAGAAAUUUUUUUUUUUUUAAAAAAAAGGGGAAGUUGCCUCUUCCAAAAUCUUUCCUUUCCAACACAUGAAUGAUCAAGAAAUUCCCAAUCAAUGGUUGUACGCUUUUUGAAAUCAACCCUUGUUUUCGCCUUGGGAUGAUUUCAGACCACCUUGUUUUUGCUCUGUAUCCCUGACAUAGCCAUGGUCUUUUGAACUGGGCUUUUGAACGCGAAAAAAGAAGACAUUGAAUUGCCUUCAAUUGUUUGUGGCCCCCUCACAAUAAGAAAGGAUGCGUUUCUCUUUUCUUUUUUUUAAUGAAAUAGGAAUUAAAAAGAAUAAGUGAUUUUGGGGCCACCAAUAUAUUAAUAAAAAAAAUAAAAACAGUCAAUCAAAUAAAAUUUCAAAAAAUCUCCUUUAUCAAAUAGGAAAUAGAAAUUUACCCAAAUAAAAAAGGAUUGAUAUUUUAAUUUUUAUUCCUAUAUAAAGCAACAUAAAUUUAGUUUGAAGCAGUCGCACACAUCAGAAGAAAAUAAUUGCAUUUGGUUGUUUGCUCUCCAAGCUCCUGCUUCAAAAUUUUUAAUUCCAGGUUAGAUAACUUUACAUAGUCAUAGUUUUUUUCCUUUGUUUAUUUAUUUUUUAUGAGAAUAUAUUUGUAUAUGUUUAUAUGAGUGAAAUUUUUUUGCAUAGAAUAUGAGAAUAUAGUUAUAUGUUUCGUAUCUUAUAUGUUCUAUGCAUAGAAUAUGAAUUUUUUGGGUGGUAUAAUUUAUGAAUCAUAUCCUUAAUAAAAUUUGUAAUUGAUUUGUAGAUGAAGAAACAACUAAGAAUUGAUGGAUUUUUCAUAAAAAAACAUACUGAAAUAUCUGAAGUUAUCUCAUCUAUACCUUAUUCUAAUAUCGAGACAGUAGCAUUUGAAAAUUGUUUUGAUUAUGUACAUUGAAAGGGAAAUUGCAGAAAAUUUUGAAAUCGAAAAAAUUAAAAUCAAAUAAACACAAGAAUCAAAUAAUAAAAUAACCAAAAACAAACAAACCCAGAUCACCUACCUCCCAAGCCCCCCCUCAUCCCAGCCACCACACCGUACCUCCCAACCUCCUCCGCCCCAUGCCCAGCCACAAACCCAGCCUCAUUGUAACUCUGUCUCUCAGCUCCCUGGCAUAGACGACGGCGAAUACAAACAAAAUUGAAACUUGUCAACUGUACGAUUCUUACAUGGUGGAAAAGCGAGGUCGGAGAGGGAGAGAGGGUGAGGGGGUAGGCGAAGCCACUUGGGGUUGCUGUGGGGAUGAUGGUUGGGUUUGUCGUCGUCGGAGAGUGGGUAUGGUGGUCCGGUUGCGUGGGUUAUGCUUUUCUCUAAUCCUAGCACCCAUUAAAAACACUAGCCUCGAAUUUAAGUCCAAAUGGUGUGAUUAAAACAAUGUAGCAAUUUUGUGUUUCAUAUUUUGCCUUUAAAUAACAAGGAAAAAAAAUAGUAAGAAGAAAGAAAAGUUAUGAUAAUAAAAGAUGACAGGUAAUGACUCUUUGUUUACACCGUUAAGGCCCUCUGGGCANNNNNNNNNNNNNNNNNNNNNNNNNNNNNNNNNNNNNNNNNNNNNNNNNNNNNNNNNNNNNNNNNNNNNNNNNNNNNNNNNNNNNNNNNNNNNNNNNNNNUACCCGUCGGUCCGGCCAUAGCGCAAAAAAUGAUGCUCUACCUUUAGACUUACGGAGAGGGUCUCUGCUACCUGGAUCUCUACUACCAGGCAAGGACGUGGAUAAAGGCCGAUCCGAUAUUUUACUCCUCCAUCUUUCUCAAGAUCCUCAAGGCAGCAAGGCUUCCCUCUCCCCGGAAGGCCAAGUCUCUGUGCAAAGAGACCCCGACCGGGCAUGACGUUGUACGCUCUGAGAGAGUCCGGCGUCAAGGGCCCCGUCGGUAUUUUCAAGAAAGCCUCGAGGCCUCGGAAAUUCCAGGCGACCCGCACCGUUUACCGUUCAGUGACAAUAGUGCGGGGGUGUUUGGGUAAUCUGGGUUUCUUAUUUUUGGGGUUACCUUUUAAAUUUUUUAUUUUUUAUUUUGGGUUUUAGUUAAUUUUUUGGUUACUUUUGUUUUUUUGACCGAAAUGUCCCUCAAUAACUAACAACAAGUUACUCUAUUUUGAUAGAAAUUAGAAUUUGUCCUUGAAUUGCUUAAAUUAAAAAUUAUAUGGAUAAAAUUGAUCAAAUUGAAACGACGAUAGAAAUUAGAAUUUGUCAUUGAAUUGCUUAAAUUAAAAAUUACAUGGAUAAAAUUGAUCAAAUUGAAACGACAACGAUCAAAGUAAUAGAAAUGGUAAACUACAAAGAUCAAAAAUAACUGUUUUGCCAUUUUUUAAUAUCUUGUUUGGUUUAUUUGUUAUUAAUAUGCAAAUAAUGUGAUACCAAGUUAAAAGUUUGAGCUAUAUUUAGGUGCCUCUGUCAUCUGUCAAUCUGCAAGUAGCAAGAUGACUACCGCAGUGGAAAGAAUGCAAUUUUCCGAUAGAGUCCUCAUCCGAUCCAUCAUUUUGAGGGCUGAUGGAGGGUCUGGGUUAGCCGGGCAGCAGGCCCGGGUUGGUGGGUGGGUGAAGACUGGCCGGAAGGCAGACAAGGAUGCAUUUGCAUUCCUAGAGCUGAAUGAUGGGUCAUGCACUAGCAAUCUUCAGGUCAUUGUGGAAGCAGACAAGGGUGACCUUGGGCAGCUUGUGCUGACGGGUACAUGCUUGCAAGUGGAUGGCGUGCUUAAGCUACCCCCAGAUGGGAAAAAGCAGAAGGUGGAGCUUCAAGUCGAGAAGGUGAUCCAUGUGAGUGUGGUUGACGCGUCGAAGUACCCGUUGCCGAAGACCAGGCUCCCCCUUGAGCUUCUGAGGGACUAUGUCCAUUUGCGUGCCAGAACCAACACGGUAAGUAACCCUGUUUGCAUUGUAGGACCUGUUGUGCUUUUGAUAACUAGUGUUUGAUUUAGUGUAUUUGCUUUCAGAUGGGCGGUUGCUAGAAUAAGAGAUGGACUGUCAUAUGCAACCAAGAGAUUUUUCCACGAGCAUGGAUUCUGUUACGUGAACACUCCAAAUAUCACCACCAGUGAUUGUGAGGGUGCUGGUGAGAUGUUUCAAGUCACUACCUUGAUUAGUGAAGCUGAAAAAUUGGAAAAGAAUCUGAUUAAGAACCCUCCUCCGUCAGAAAUAGACGUAGAAUCUGCCAAGCUUAUUAUCAAGCAGAGAGGAAAUGAUGUUGCUCAACUCAAAUCUGUUAAAGCAAGUAAGCAGGAAAUUGGCGCUGCUGUGGCUGAGCUUCAAAAGGCAAAGGAGAAUGUCUUGAAGAUGGAGGAGAGAUCUAAGCUUCAACCCGGUAUCCCUCAAAAGGAUGGGAAGAUUGAUUAUAGCCAAGAUUUCUUUGCCCGUCAAGCCUUUUUGACUGUUUCUGGCCAACUACAACUCGAAUCUUACGCAUGCGCUCUUAGUACAGUCUAUACAUUUGGGCCAACUUUUCGAGCUGAGAAGUCACAUACUUCAAGGCAUUUGGCAGAAUUCUGGAUGGUGGAGUCAGAAAUGGCAUUUGCAGAGCUUGAGGUACGUGAAGCUUAAAUUUAGUGUAGUUUUCUCAAUAUAUAUUCAUGAUUUUAACGUUUAGUUUUGUGCAUAUGCAGCAUGAUAUGGAUUGUGCAGAGGAUUAUGUGAAAUUUAUGUGUCAGUGGCUACUUGACCAUUGUAUGGAAGAUAUGCAAUUUUUUGCUGACAAGAUUGAUAAAAGUUGCAUCGACCGUAUAACAAUGUCCGCUAAAACACCAUUUGCACGGAUUACUUAUACAGAAGCAGUGGAGCUGCUAACUGAGGCUGUAAAAAAUGGUAAAAAGUUUGAGAACCAUGUAGAGUGGGGGAUUGAUUUGGCAUCUGAGCAUGAAAGGUAGUUUCAUAGCUUUAUUCUGUUGUUCUGUAUUGUUACAGUUUCUGAUUAAAUCAGCUUACCAAUUUAUCUUUUUGGUUUCGUGCAGAUACUUGACUGAGGUGAAGUUUCAGAAGCCUGUUAUUGUUUACAAUUACCCUAAAGAGAUCAAAGCAUUCUACAUGAGGCUCAAUGAUGACUCAAAGACAGUGGCUGCUAUGGAUGUCCUGGUACCAAAGGUGGGCAUUAUACUCUCAACAUUAAAUUUAUAUCGUUGACUUCAUUGCUCUGUUGUAUAUACUUGAGCAUUGUGUGUAAUCUGUGUAUUUUUUAUGCUUUUCUUGUAUUUCAGGUGGGUGAGUUGAUAGGGGGAAGCCAAAGGGAAGAACGUUAUGAUGUUAUGCUGAGCAGGUAUAUGAGUGUUUUGGUCUGUUUUAAGUGAUUUUUAUCCGCAUCUGUUUUUUUUUUCCUUUUUUGUUGGGAGUUCUCUUGUGCACAAUGUGUUUUCUAUUUUUAAUAUAUACAAGUGAUAUUAGGGGAGGGGGUUUUCUCACACAUACAAUGCUAAGGUACUAUGAGAGUUCGAAUCUAAGACCAUUGGCGUUUUCCACUGAGCUAGACCCGUUGGCUUGUGCACAACGUUUUUUUUUCCAUAGCAGCUGUUUUGCCCCUCCCCAUAAUUUGAGUAAUGGAUAGUUUGAACUGAGAAACGUAUGUAUUGUUUGAUGAAACUAUUAUUGCAGGAUGAAGGAGAUGGGGCUGCCAAUUGAGCCAUACGAGUGGUACCUUGACUUGCGGCGCUAUGGGACUGUAAAGCAUUGUGGUUUUGGUUUGGGUUUUGAACGAAUGGUUCAAUUUGCUACUGGGCUCGACAAUAUUAAGGAUUGCGUGCCAUUCCCUAGAUCUGCUGGAAGAGCAGAUCUUUGAAUUAAUUACUAGUCUAUAUGCAGCAAAUUUUUUAAAUUUUAUUUUAGGCGAAUUUUGUACCUAUAUUUUUGGUGUACUUAGGGCUAGUUUGGCAUUGCUGUGCUUUUAAAAAAAACUACUUCUGCUGUGCUGCGAGAAUAAUCAGCUGUGAAAAUAAUCAGUUAGGCGUUUGAUAAAUUAUAUCUGAAAAAGUGCUGUGAGUAAUCAAAGUGUUUGGUAAAUGACAAAAAAAAAGUGCUUUUAGCAUGUUCAAUGACCAAAAAGGACAUGAUGAUGGAACUAUUUGUUUUUCUUCUUCAUUCUUUUUCUACUUAAAAAAACUUCACUACAUAAUGUUUUUUCUUUUUUUAUUUAUACUAUACACGUGUUCCUCUCUUCUCAGAAAAGUAAAUGCCUUUUGUUAUAUAUUGAAUGCUAACCAUUCCGACCAAAAAAAAAAAAUGCUAACCCAACGACACCAAUUGGAAACCCAACACAGCCCAUCUCUCGACUUCAAUUUUUCUCUUUCUACCAUUUACAAGUUUUUUUUCUUCAUUCCUUCAUCUAACCAAAAAUAUCUCAUGUUUCCCCAGUUUUUUUUUUUCUUUUAAUAUGUUUCCCCCAAUUGUUUUUAGUACUUUUGGGUAGGUAAGACUGAAAAGGGGAAAAAUUGUAUGUAGGGUUUAUGUUUUGGUGUUCUUGCAAUGGGAGAUAACAUAGUGGAGAAAGUAGCCAUGGUUGAAAUACAGAUUUCUGGGUUGCAGCCAUGGAGAUUUGAGCUGGUUUACAGUGCUGUAGUGGGGGUAGUUGAAGCCCCCCCAAAGUUGGGACUACUGCAACAGGAUCUUUCCACCCAUAACCAAAAACAAGAACAACAAACUCAGGUGGAACAUGAAACUCAUCACUCUCUCUCUCCCUCUGACUCUGGCUUUCUCUAAAACCUGCAACAAAUAGAAAAACCCCCAAUUUGACAGAGAAAACUCUAGAUGCAGAAAGUUUGAGAAGUAGAAAACCGAAAAAUCAUAAUUGUAAUUCAGUUACUGAUGAGUGGGCAACCUUCUUAGCAAUUAAUUUUUUGAUGUCCACAAUGAGAGUUCCAGCAGCGUCAGAGAGUAGAGAAGGAAAUGAAGGAAAUGGAGUUCGCAGAAUGGAGAAGAAAAAAGGGGCAAGUGAGGGUAUUAUGGGAAGUUAAAAGUUCAUUAAAACAACCGGUUAAAUUUUUUUUGAAGCAGCUUUUAAAAGCUGGGUAGAGACGGCUUCGAAAAAACAGCGAUCAUUGACCGCGAUUUAAAAAAAAGCAAGAUUCCUGAUGUUUACCAAACACCCAAUCGAUGACAAAUUUUUAUUAAAGCUGCUUUAAAAAAAAAUUAAGCGCUGCCAAACGCCACCUUAAUCAAACCAAUUCUUUUUUCAUGUAACUAUGUAUGGAAGGCCUAUGCCAACUGUUUAGCUUCAGUUCUGAAUUUUUCAUAAGCGACUAUGAGUAUGCGCUUUUAAAGGUGAUAAAUGGUCAAAGAUAUGAUUCAAUCUGAAGAUUUAUAAGAAUUGUUGAUGAAACAGGUAAUCCCACAUUGGAUAAUUUAUUAUCCAAUCUAAAUAUAUGAUUAAGUUGUCAAUGGGAUCUAGCCAAGUGAAAAAGGAUAUUGACUUGCAGGUUAGUAGUCUCAUGUUCGAGCCCCCAUGAUACUGUGGUAGUGUGUGAGUGAACAAAAUUCGUGCGCAAAAAAUAAACUCGUAUAUGAUGAUACUAAAAAUAUGAAGGCAUAAACUCCUAUAGAAAUUCUCAGCCGUAAAUAGAUGAUUUGGAAAUUUUUGACAUGGUAGAAGAAAAGAAACAUUUGUUUACUUUGGAUACAUCAAAUUUGAACAAUCGAACAUCAUCACAUCACAUUAUAGGAUGUUCCAUGUUUAAUCCUUGAUAAGUAUAUAUGGAACAGAUAAUGUAGAAAUGCUUUUAGAAAAAUGCCCCAAGUGACAUUUUUUGUUGUGAAGAUUAAUAGGGUGCAGGGCCAACAUUGCACCAAACAAAUUAAAAUGGUUGUUUCUUAAUUUGGUUCCAUUUUUCUUGUUUAUUUCAUGCAAAUUAAGACAUUUGAAUUCGUUUCUGACCACUAAUAUGCAAAAAUACCGUUCAAUAAUUCCUUAUACCGUGCAAAACCAAGCAUUAACCAACAACUGUUUGAUUCUAAUAAUAACCCAAAAUGCUCCCUAUAUAUUGAACUCUCCAAUUCAUCUACAUUCAUCAGCACCUGCAGUAAACAAAGAAGAAAUAAGAAGUUACUUCAUAUUCAUCUCUAAGGCAGCUGUUGUUGAUCAACUUAUUCUCACUUCAAACAAUUCAUCAUGGAAAUGAAGAAGAUCUCCCUUGCCAUCAUCGUCGUCGCUGCCUUCGUGAGCGUCGUCUUGGCAGCUGACCUCCCCAAGGACCCACUAGCAGCUGCUGCUGCUGCUGUUGGUGCUGCUACCCCAAAGGCCUCAGCAGCCCCCGUGGGCUCAGCUGGUACCACCACAAGCUCAGCAGCCUCCCCAAUUCCUUCCUCUGCAACCGGCACACCAACCUCAGCUCAUGCCCCCAGCCCAUCAGGCGCCGCCUCUGCCAUGCCCGUUGUCAGCUCUUUGGCUGGUGCCUUCCUGAUGUCCUUCUUUGGCUAUUACCUGCAGUAAGCUCAGGGAAUACAAAAUUCUUGAUGAGACUAUGAGAGUUAAAUAAGUACUUGGAAGAUGGGAUUCCCAAGAGAAGUAAGGAUGUUUAUUCAUGUUAUCAAUGUUGUUGAAUCUUAAUGAUUUAUUUUGCUUAAAUUCAGUUGCCUGUUUUCUUUCAGGCCAAAACUAAAAGAAUAAAUGUAGCAUGCAAUUACAAUGUAUAUUUAGACAGCAGUAAAAGUUUUCACAUCCAAUUUCUAUUACGGCCAAUGUUCAGUUACAUUCAGCAAUAUGUUAUUUCCGACUCUAAUCUUCAAUGUUCAAACACCACUCUGGUUGACAAACAAAUUUAUGUCAAGAAGAUGAAACAAAUACCUUUUCUUUUUUUCUUUUUUUUAAAACAAGAUUGAAUAAAUUACAGACAAAUGUCCAUCAAAAAUUAGGAUCCUCCAUUAGAUUUUUGUGCAGACAUGAGACUCUUUGUCAACCAGAUGGCUGUUUCUCUAGACGAGACAGCGUCUUCUCCGAAUGGUCUUAGCACCCCAGCAAGCUCUUCAAGUUUGUCCUGCUUUAAUAGCCGCGCGCAUACCUCUAACAGAGACUCCAGGGCGUCAGCUCUUUGCUGACUUGGAUUUUCCCAGUCACUCUUGGAAUCAUCACCACCUAUUGCAGUUAGUGUGCUCAAGGAGAUGUCAAUUGGUGCCUGAUUAACCACAUGAGCAUUAUCUUUUUCUGUCUGCGUGGAGCAAUUAUUAUUGUCUGCCUUUGCUCCCACUUCAUCUUUUUCUUUCUGUAUGGAGCAAUCAUUUUUGCUUUCAGAUGACAAGUAGUCCAGGUGACCACCUACAGGAUAUCCAUUAGAACUUUCCUUCGGUAAACAGCUUCCGGGUUCCACCUCAGAUUUAGCUGAUGACGAGCAUUUAUCAUCAGGGGAUCCAACUUUGUUGGCACAGCCUACACUGGGCACCACCAAUUCCCUACAAUUCUCUUCUUUAGCACCCUCUCCUUCUGUUCUAGCUCCUUCAGGAACUUGUUGGUCUCUACAUGACUUUCCAUCUUCAUUGUUUGAAGUCUUGACAUCAACCUCUGGCAACUGUUUGGAAUUUGUAGCAGCAGGUUCUUCUCGUUCUUCAUUUUGAGAAUUUGGUGUGCUCUCUGAUGUAAUUUCAAUGUCAGACUCGGUAUUUUCCUUUUGGUGUAUACUGAUAGUGUCAGCUUGCUUAUCUCCAUUGCAAACAGAUGCUUCUGAAUCAGUUGGUCCAUCUUUUGAAGCAUCAGUGGCAUUGGAUAAUUCCAUAGAACAGCCAACCCUCUUCAUUUCAAGCUCUUCUGCACUAACUGUGAAUACAGGGUUAUCAAUGUUUGUUAUAUACCUAUGCGUCACAUCAGCACUGCUCUCAAAUGGAUGGACCUUUUCCAGGUGGUUCAGUGUUCCAGCCUCUUUGUCUCUGUUGUCUUUGCCACUGCUGGGUUUGCUAGGCGGUGAUUUUCUAGUAGUUUUAUCUUUCAAGUUGUUUACUGGCUUUACUGGAAGAAAAACAGAUGAUGCAUUGCGACAUUGAAGAAGGUAUGGUUGUAAGUGCGGAUGCCUUAAUAACUCUGCAGCCUAACGUAAUAGAUUAUGGGAGUAUUAGAAAAAAUAAAGGUCCUCAAAUUCUUUACAUCAUGCAAGUCAGGGGUUAGCUAACUCACUGUUGGUCUGUGUUCUGGACUCUUCCUGAGCAUGCUCUUUAUGAUUUGUUUCCUGUGAUCCGGAGGCCAUACCAUAUAAGUUGAUAAAUUAGAAAAGAAAAGACAUGAAAUAUGCAGUUAGAAUAUUCAUUUAAAAUAGCACCAUUAUGUCUGAUGAUUUUGAAGAUAUUACUCACAGUGUGGAAGAAUACACAAUUGGCAGAGGAGAAAUGGUGGAUCUGUUAAUUUUAUUGAUAAGCCCAGCCAUGUCCUGUUUAAUCAGGUAAUUUAUAGGAUUUAUUUACUCAAAAAUAUAUGCCAACAGGUUUAGACGCAUCUUUGGCAGCCAAUAAUAUCAAUGCAACAUCAAACGCUCAAGCUUAUACUUACAGGAGCUCUAAAUGCAGGCUGAUGUGCAGCAAUCUCAAACAUACAGCAACCUAAAAACCAACAGAAAAUAAAAAUUAUAUCUAUUCAAAAUCAUGGGCAUGAGCCUGUGAAAAAUAUAACUAUUAAGAUUCUAGAGUUCUUACCAAGCGACCAUAUAUCGGAUUUAUAGCCAUAAGGUAUAUCUGCGAGGAGCUCAGGACACAUGUAGUUUGGAGUUCCAACAACCUAUGUUGAAAAUAUAGCGAUUGAAAAUGAACAGACAUAAGUGGAUUUAGUGAAGUAGUUGCAGGUUUUAACAGACAUUCUAGAAGUUCAGCCACAAAUACUGAGGAACUAUCCUCUCUUAAGAUAAGGUGGCCUUGUCAAAUGUGGAAUGUUUGAAUAUAGUGCUUGGUGGAGGGGAAGCAAGAGAAGUUUGCAACUAUUCUAUGGAAGUUUUCAUGAAAGAAGAGACGUACAAAAUUUUAAGAGACAGUUCUGUAGGUGGGCAUAAAGACAAUCAAAUAAUGUAAAUGCAAGUUCAUACCGAAGAAGUAAGAUCUUCUGUGUUGAGUAGUUUUGCGAGUCCAAAGUCACCUACAAGGUCCAUGUAAGAAAUACAUAUCUUUAAAAACAUCAAUAUAUGGAAGCCAAACCUUAUGCAGCAAAACAUCGCUUCUCUUAGCAAUCAUUAUGUCUACAUACCAAGUCUGAUGUCAUUGUCCUUUGUAAGGAAUAUGUUGGAGCACUGCAAACAUUAUAUUUGUAUUAAAACAAACAUCAUUAGUAUUUAUCUUCACUGCAACUACAGGUACACUAUAUUACCUUAAGAUCCCUGUGAAGUACACGAUUGGAGUGCAAGUAGUCCACAGCUAGUAACAAUUGAGUCAGCCAUUUGCAGAGCUUCUGCAGGGCAAAACAGAAUGGCAACAGAGAGCAGUUGGUUUCUACCCUUUACAUAGGUACAUAUACAGGACGUGAAGUUUCACUGAUUACCUCCUCUGGAAAAAAUUGUCCUCUGGCUUUCUUUACCAUCUCAGCUCUGUUAAGAAAUGAGUUGUUUCUCAUUCAUUAAUCAUGGGAAGUAUUGUGAUUGAUUCUCUAAUUCUUAUGUAAUAUUGAAAAAGAAAAAUCAAUACUCUCUGAAGUUCCUUAAAUGAGAUCUUAAUUCUCAUCUAUUAGAUUAGAUAUGGACGGUUGAGACGCAUCAUGGCUGUCCAAUAUCUGGUCUAAGGACUGAGAAACAAGACUUCAUUGAAGGACCCUAUUUAUGGACUUUAGAAGAACAGGACUGAACAGUAUAUAUACGUAGUUUAACAUGUUGACUAUGAAAAAUAUGAUACUAAAUUUCCUCCUAUAUUUCGUCCAAAAAUCAUGUGGAUUAUCAAUGAGUUUCAAGCUAAUAUUUGGAUGAGAAUUAAGGACUGAAAUAAGUGUUUUAACUCUUUACAAAAGCAAAAGAUGUUUUAAAAAAUGGCUGUUUCAAAUCAAUUCCUCAUUUAAAGAAGAAAAAGGGCAUUCUAGCAUACCAGAGAAAACAUAUCUAGAACAGCAAUGAUCCACAUUGUGUUACUUACAUGUCACCUCCUUCGCAAUAGCCUGUAACAAUGCAUACGCAGUCUCCCUACAGAAAAUAUAAACGUUUAAGCAUGCGUGUAUGAAGUGAAAUAUUGUUACAACAGCUAAAGACUUCUCCAAAUUUAUACUCUCAAGCCGUAUUCAAAUAUAAAGAACUUUAUAAAAGAAUCACAGAUUUACCUUGUCAACCCAAGCAUCUUUAUAAUCCACAAUAUAUGGAUUGUUUAGCUUUGCAAUUAAAUUCAUCUGCAAAAGAAAUUGAGGGAACACAUCUUUCAGUCUCACUUCAAGGACAUUGACAAUUAAGGUUUUCUUCAAAUAUGGUGGGUGGAAAACUAGAUACAAUAUCAGAAACACAUUAAUGAAAAGAAAAAAAAACACUAGUGAUACAGUAUUGAGCUGGAGGACAAAACAAGUUUUAUCGUCUUUUCUAAGUGGAUAUAACAGGGGAUUAUCCAACCAGAAGGUUACAAUCCAGGAUCAUUGUAGUUAUGAGAUACAUAUUUCAAAUGUCUGUGCAAAAGCAUGCUUGUUUCUUCUGAUUUCAUAUGCAUAUCGUUUCAAGAACGCAACUUCCCAGUAGAUUGUUACAUAAACAGAUCUUGGUAUUUGUACAGAAUGAAUUGUAGCCCAAGAAGCAGAAAUGACAGUACUGAUAUGGACAAGCAAAGAAUGAAGUUGGAGCUUAUUGAUGCAGGACGCUUUUAUAUCCUAUUUUGACUGCCAAGAAAACAGGAAAGAUGGAUAUUUGAUGCUACAUUUGAUUCAUUCUCAGAGUACAGCUGAUAUGCAAAGAGGGAGAGAACAACAAAACAAAACCUAACCCUUUGAUUGGUAAUGUAUCAUGUUGAAAAAUGGAACAAUUUGAAAAAUAAAAAAUUGUAGCUGACAGCCAGUUCUACAUUUAACAAUAUGCAAACAGUUUUCGAGAAAGCAACCUCUUGGUGAGCUGUGCGUUUGAACUUAUCUGUUUGCUUAGCCAAACGAAUCUUUUUCAACACAUACCUAUCAAAAGAAAAACUCAAUAAUUAUUAAUUAAACGCAGUUGGCAAAACAUAGGUUUAAUCAAGUUGAGCUGAGUACCAAUUGUACUAUCAAUCAAAUACAGAAUUUUGGAUUCUCGAUUACCUUUCUUGUGAAAAUUCAUACCCUGAGAUGUAAACUUUGAUAAAGUGUAUAGAAAAAAUCAGACAGUUCCCAUUACCCCAUUAUUCAGUUUUCUUGCUAAAUUCUGUCUUUAAUUACAUAAUUGUCUAGCAGAUUACAAGAAUUACAUUAUUUAAGAAAAGAUCCCUUUAAAAGUACACAAAAUUAUAAUUAAAAAAGGUUCGUAGAAAAUACUCUUACUUCUUUUUCUGAGUCUUAUGAAGAACAAGAAAAGCAGCUCCAAAUGCCCCUCUCCCAAUCUGCUCUAUCACUUCAUAAUCCUCCAUCUUUGACUUCAUCUCACCAUCAUCAGUCUCCAUAGUCACCUAAUAAGACCUUCAAAACCCAGAAGAUACAGAGUUCAGUAAGUCAACCCAGCUUCGAUGGUCGAGUCAAAAUUGCUAUAUUCACCCAAUUUGGAUCAAUUUCAUAAACUUCAAUUCAUAUAGUACCAAGAAAAUUUGCUGCUUUAUAGCAAAAUUCGACCCAAAAUUUAAAAACCCAGAAAAGAAAAACUUGCAGAAUUACCAAUAAACAAAAAAAAAACGCAAUAAUCAGCUUGGAAAGCACCAACAGCUCUGUAAUGCUCCUCAAAGGGAGAGUCUUGAGACUUUGAGGCUACUAAAUUUCCCAAAAACUAGAGAGAUCUUAUAGGUAAGAGAGAGAGAGAGAGAGAGAGAGAGAGAGAGAGAGAGAGAGAGAGAGAGAGAGAGAGAGUAAAGCUAAAUUCCAGAAUAAUAAUGAGUAUCACAACAAUACAUGAGACUGAGACAAAGACAGAAGGAAAGAGAGGUGGAAGGACAAACUCAAGUAAAAGCAACAAGAGCACUGAAAUGAUGAUUAAGAGUGUGAUGACUUACCAAAAAAAACGAGUAGAGGGAGUUAGAGAUGAGAGGGUGGAAGGGCAGUCUCAAAGUAAAACCAAAUGAGGCAGCUAAUUGUGUAAUCUUUAAUAAAACUAUACUUAAUUGGAAGUUGAUUAUCUACCAAAUAGAAAGUUGGGUUUGUGGGGAAGAGAGAGAAAGGAGAGGGCUUGGGAAGCCAAAAGCUAAAGUGACAGGUACUGAAGAGAAUGAAGACUUAAAAGAGAAAAGCAAAGCAUUGCUUGCAUUUUCAGAUUCAUGGGAGAGAGAGAGAGAGAGAGAGAGAGAGAGUCUCACCAGGGAAUGUUUUUCCAGCGCGUAGUUAUGAUGUCACUGUCCUUGGAACUUAAAAAUCUAUUUGUUUUUUGUUUUUUGGGUUUCUAUUUUGGGUUUUCUACAAUUCGUGCUGGUCCACUUUAGUCGCUGUGCUUCCAUUUAAUACUCGGCCUCUAAAUUAUUUAUUACUGAAAUUAUUCUUUUAAUAUCUCAUGAGUUGUCGCUAUAAUUCUUUAAGAAAUUUGGAGAAGAAAAAUAAAAACUCACCAAGAUGUUUGAAGUUGACCAUGAUGGCUCGUGUCUUGCAAGAUAAAUAAAGGGAUUUAUAAUUCAAGUGAUUAAAAGUAUUUAUUCAUAUACCUAAAGUCCUAAAUUCGAUUCUCCAUUCCCUCAAUAUCGCUUGUUAAAAUAAAAAAUUAAUCAUGUAAACAUCCUCAAUUACAGUCCAAAAACUUAACUUUGGUGAUAUUUCACUUUGAUCUAUGACUCUAAUCUAGCAUUUUGAAAACCUUGUAUUGCGUUCAUUAGGUUGACUAUCAAGUCAAUUGACGUGAACGUAAAAUUUGUGAAAAAAGGAAAUGGGAAAGAUAGAAAUUUAUCUUAUCUUUAAAGAAUACUGAAAAAUAAAAUAAUGUUACCAAUAUUUUGGGUUCAAAGCUUCAAAGCUACACCUAAAACCCCUCUAAAAACUAAAGCUAUUGAGAGAUGUAUCGUUCAUCCCAAAUUGACGGGUGAUAGAUACUCCGUGGUUUACCAACUAACACAGAAAAGGAAUAAAUAUCUUCAAAAUUUUCAACUGGUUAAGAAAGACUUUCAAGGAGCAAUUGGCCAUGUAGAAAGUUGCAGCUACCCAACACCCGAAACUUUCAUUGUAACGCAAAAUUCCAACACCACCAAAAACCAUCAUUGAAAAAGAUAAAUUAACUGACUGGUCACAAGCACAUUAGCAUUGAGAAAAUGCAUCUAAAACCAUGAACAGAAGAAAAGUUCACAUACAAUUUCCAUGCGCAUUUAGAUAUCUAACAAAAGGGCAUUACAUUGUUUGCGAAAAGAAAUUUGUGCACGUUAUCAGAAGGUCAAGUUACUUGUGCUUUGAUUUUCUGGAGGACAUUUUCCUUUCAAGUUUUUUCUGUGUUGCCUCAAAUUCUUCUUCUGAGGGUUCUGAAGCAGCACUACACCCGCCAUAUUUGGAAAUUAGAGAAGAGAACAUAGAAUCAAACUGGUUUUUCCUCUCAUUUCGGCGCUGAGAUAUGAUUGCAUACAGAUCCUCUGACUGUUUCUUUGGUCUGUAAAAUAUUUAACCAUAAAGGUUUUUCAUUUCUUGAUUGAGCUAAACAUUAAAUUUAAGCAAUUAAAUAAACUUGAAGCAAAGUACUCACUUGUCCUUCCUCCUUAAAGGACUAGUAGGAGGUUUUGCUUCAGAUACUUUCUUUGCCCAUUUCGUGUAGGCUUUGGUUGAUUUCAGUUCUCCUGUGAGUGAGAGAGAGAGAGUUAGCAACAUGAAAGAUACUCCAGCACACCCUUAAAUCCAGGAAAAUUCAGUAUGCCAAGUACAUCAAUGUUGUUAACAUUACUUGCAUAGAAAGUUUGAUUUCUAUGACUAAGGAUGUGCCAAUAACCCCCAUUGGAGAUAAAAUGAGAGACCCAACCAUGACAGUUAGGCAUGUUCAACAAUGAUUCAUAGAUGCACCAAUCAGGAGUGACUUAAUCAAGAUAGAUGAUAGAGCUUAGAUGAGUAAAAGUAAUUAUUAAAUAUAUGACAGGAUGUGAAUUACAUGAAAUGAUUUGUCAUAGGACAAAAUGGAGGACCAAGAUUCAUGUAGCCGACUCAAAAUGAUUGGAACAAGACUCUUAUAAAGGUUCAUUCGUUGAACCCAAAAAAACUGAAGCACUGUCAAGAGGAAAGAAUCCAAAUGGCAAGACCACACUAAGGAGCUAACUAAAGGGGGAAUCUGAGUGUCUGCUCUUGUAUUGUGGACGUCUAUAAUUUGAAACAAUCAAACCAUGUCCAACCCCAGAUUAAAUGACUCUACACAAAGACUAUGCUGUAAGUUUUGUGGUAGGGCAUCUAAGCAAACCUGGUCUAAGACAUCAUUUAAAACAAUAAAUUAGGAUCUUGAGUUUGACAAUAAGCUUAUAUUCAGUAGAACCACAAAAAUACUAAAUACAAUGUACUAGAAAUGACUAGAUAUAAUGUAAUAUCAUGAAUUUGAAAUUACUAGGUUUGAUGAAUCAUUAAACCCAUGCACUCCUUCAAUCACAUAGAUAAAUUUGCAUUGUCAACAAUAUAUUCAAGUAAUUAAACUAGAAACAACUGAAAACCCUGUUUUGAGAUUUAGCUUAAAAGACAUCCACACCUGCAGCAAUUGCCUCAUCAAGAAUAUCCUUGAAACGGUGUGAAUCAAGUUUAGGGUCUGAACAAAGCAUUGAACAGAAGAGUCUGCAAGGGAAACAACUGUCAGCACCAAACAGGAAAACAAAAGGAAAAAAGGAUAAACACAAUGCUACUACUACCAAUACCUGUUCAUAUUACCCUUGUACUUGCUAUACAGAUCAAUCAAAUCUUUCUUCUCUGAAUCGGAUCCUCUAUAGUUUGCUUCAAACUCUUCAAUAUCAGCUUCAGUGACCUGCAAUUGAUGUAUAUGUUGUCACAAAUCUAAAGAAGGCAGAGAGUGUACAAACAACAUUAUUACAUCAAAAGACAGCAUGAAGAGGUGAAAACAUUGUGACCUUUUUAUAUAUGACUCGGAAAUAUUCACGCAGAUUUUGAACAACAUCACCAGCAAGGUCCUGCUCAUGAAAAAAGCACAACCAAAAUAAGCACCAUUUGAUUAGUAAGGCAACGCUGGAUUUCCCAAGUAUCUAAACCCCAAUUUGAUCUUCCAAAGUAGUUGAGUGAGUACGAAGUAGUUAUUCUAAUUUAAGAACACCAGGUUGACACAUUUACUUGUCAUUUCUAGUAAUGCAUCCAAUUCAUCACGCUGCACGCAGCAUUGUCUAGAAAUGAACGAGUUACAAAGGAUGGGUUUUUCUUUAAAUUGCAAAACAAAGAAAUUACACACUCACAUCAUCGUCAAUGCAACCAGUCUGGUCAUAGAGUGCUCGUUUCUCCUCAUCCCCAAGAAUUGAUAUCACUUUUUGCAAUUGCUGAAACUUCUCUUUAGCUUCCUAUAAAACAAAACUGACAAAUUAUACUUGCAAAAAAUCCACAGUUCACAGUUGAGAGAAAAUCAUCAAACAAAAACACGAUUUUUUUUCGACGUUCACCUCAUCGCCCGGAUUUUUAUCAGGAUGGAGUCGUAACGCUAACUUAUAAUACGCCUUCUUUAUUUCCUGUUGAGAGGCGCUUCUAUCGACGCCAAGAACCUACAAAACAAGAAUAACCUAAUGCCUUAAAAUCCCCAAUUUUCCAAAUUAGGGCAAUGAAAGCUCGAAAAAUCUAAUUUUUCUAGCUUAAAGAAAGAGAUCAAUAGGUUAAUCAAAAAAUCACAUCACGCAAAUUCUGAAUAUAAUUCUUAAUCACCUCGUAGAGGGUCUUCUCGUUGGUGGAAGUGGGGUUGUGAUCCACGUCGCUUUGUUGUUGUUCUUCUUCUUCUUCGACUUGUCGUGCUUGCUUUUGCUCAGAAACCCUAGCUCUCUUUCUUUUCCCCAUUUUCGAAUCAGAAGUUUUGAAAUUUGGAGAAAUGGUUUAUCAGAAGUAGGGGCUCUACUUAUAUGUGAACUUUCGGGGCUUCGAUUUGUUCCCGCCAAUUCGCUCUCCAAUUUACCCUUUUCCCGCCGCGAGAAUAUGGUAGAAGAAUUCCUUAACUCUACUGAAGUUAGUGGACCGAACCCAGCGCCCGUGGGCGGGCAAAAACCCGAUCCAACUGCCCACACCAACCAAACCAACUGAGUGGGGUCCGCUUGAUUUGUCAAAGAAAAUAAAUUGUUUCGAACUGGCUACACCAUUCAAACUGGCUAUUGGUUUAAGUUACGAUUUUACGCUAAAAGUACAAUAUUUGACUGAAUCAAGCCAAACUAUGAUUAGUUUAGUUUGUUUCAGUUUAGAAACUGCACAAACGAACCAAAACCACAUAUAUUAAUUUAGUAUCUCCUUUUUUUUUUUUUUUUUCCAGGAAAAAUUUAGUAUCUCUUAUUGGUUAUUAUAAUUUUCUAAUCCUCCACAUUGAUAACAACCAUUUAAUGCCAACUGAAAUCUCUAACCUAUUCAAAUUUUACAUAAUCUAUUUUACAUAAUUUGUCAAUCUUCAAGCAAAUGGGGUCUACCCUAAUGGAAAAUGACUUUGACUUGCAUAUUAGUGGUCUCAUGUUCGAACUCCUAUGGCAUCUUAGUAGUAUGUGUGUGAAAAACCCUCUUCCCCUUAGAGUUUAAAUUAUCGCUUGUAUUAAUUUAAAAAAAUUGCAAAUCUUCAAUAAUAAUAAGUUUUCUCACAUGUUCAGUUUAUGAGUCACUUUGGCAUAUGUAAGAGGACAUAAAAUAUUUGCUUUAAGGGAAAUACAUGAACCCAACCAAACACUAAAUGAUUUGGUUUUGCAUUAGUUAUGCUACUAACUUGGGGCCUAAACUAAAUCAGUUUGAAUUGUGAUAUUGUGUUGCUUUGAAGUUUAAACCGAACCCAACAAAACUAGGUCCACCACUAUUACAAGGCAAAAAGUUACUUUCGGUUCAUGUGGUUUUACCAAUUUUACCACUAAGGUCCCUUUGAUUUCAAUUUGGUCACUUUCACCAACGUGAUUUUCAAUUCCAAGCAAUUUUAGGACGAUGCCCAAUUUCUGUCAAAUUCUUCUAACUCUGUUACUUGUUGAAUAUGUGCCUCUCAAGUGGAGGGGGCAUUUCUAUCAAAGCUGACUCUCAUAAUUCACGAGAAAUAUUGCACUUAUCUCUUGGAAGUGAAUCAUGUGGGCUUCCUUUUGGAUUGAAAGUUGUGCAAGCCAUGAAAAGCGAUUGAACUGUAGGUUGCUUUGGGCAAUACACGUCUUCGGCAUGUUGGGGCCUUAAGGCUUGCUGUGGUUUCGACAACGAUGGUGUCUUUAGCAUCUUGGUGCCUAGAUGAUUCAUGAUUUCUUCAGCACGAGUAUUGCGAAUGGAAAAUUAGGAGGUGCUAAUCGGAGGAGUGCCGAAGGGCACUAAAGAAGGGGAGAACGAUUGAAGCAUUUUGUGUCGAUCCCCACAAACGACGUCAAACUGUUGAUAACUCCAUAUUUGUGUUUAUUUUCUAUACCCUAUUCUUAUGCUUUGCAUUAGUUUCUUCUGUAAAAUUGGUUAUUUUGAUGUAUUUAAUGUGAGUUUUGUAGGAAAUCAUCUCUAAAGUUGAGUUGGAGUUAAAAAAGAAAAAAAAAUAUUGUGAAAAAGAGCAAAGAAGGCAGAAAUUUGGAAUUAGAAACUUAGAACUCAAGAAAUUGCAUGUGCAGAUGGGUCAAACUUACGGAUUUAACUGUAUGUGCUCAAGAAGAAUCAGAUAACGUGUUGUAUAUUCUUGGAAAGCUCUGGAAGUCUAGUUUCUAGAGAAUUUUACGGUUCGUGAUUUCGAGUUUUAUGGAGAAAGUUACAUCAAUUUUAGUACAGUGGGUCAGUGCUAGAAUUUUGCGCGAGUUUUGACAACUUUGCAUCACAAAUUACCAUUCUUGGUAAGCAGGCUUUUGGACAUCCUUGGGAGUAUGUCCACCCCAAAAGGCUAAGGGUAAGGCUAAGGCAAGGCAAGGGCUGUCACUAUUCAUGUGAAUAGUGGCAGCCUUGCCUUUUUUGGUUCCACCCCAAAAGGCUAGGACAAUGGCAAAUACUAUUCACAUGAGAUAUGAAGAAAUGAAUUUGUAUAGAGUUUUUGGUGUGGGAAGUAAAGAAUAUGGUUAGGUAUUUAUAAAAAAAAAUAAAAAAAUUUGUAUUUUUUUCCCUUUUUUUUUGUUGCUGACGUCAUUAUGAUGUCAACAUUACAUCAUUCUGCCCAGGCAGCAGUUUGGGCUGAAUUUGCCUAUGGGCUUGCCUGGGCUCGUGGGACCUAGCUCUUGCCAGGGCUAAACCUUGUGCGCUAGAAGGGGUUUUGGAGCCUGGGGCUGCCUUUUACCCGGGCUGGGCCCAAGCGCUGGAGUUGCUCUUAGGAGGCACCUAAUCUUGUGUUAGGUCAAUUAUAAAUCACCUAUAAUUGCCUAGAUCAAUUGGCAUUUGGUCUGGUCAAAGAAGUGCAUCAAAAGUCAAAGACUAACUCAACUAGGAAAACAAACUCUCUAUUCUAAUUGGAUUUUAUUCGUAUUUUUCUCUCCUAUCCCACACUGACCUAUUCCCCAAUAUCCAUAAUGAUAUUUCUUUUGUUCUUGUUAGGCCAAUUGACCUCAACCAUGUUGGUGGGACAAUGAUUAUUGUUUACUGUCAUGCUUUCAGGCUUAUCCAUAAGGGUUUGCCAUCUACUAUCAAAUCUUGAAUUUGAUCUCUAAAUUGCACGCAAUUAACAAUGACAUGAGAGAAAGAGUUGUGUCACUUAUAGUAUGAUUUCCCCUUGACUUCCUCAGGCUUUGUGAAAACAUGCUUAUCAUCAAACUGAAUCAUCUUGGCUCUCAUUAGCUCAUCAAAAAUACUCUCUACCUUGGACAAGUCAAAAGAAUAUGACUUAUACUUCUGCUUAUAAGACAAUGGCCAUGUUAGUAUUUAUGUGCUCGAGCCCUUUUUCAACCAGUCCCUCUACGAUUUCCAUAUCAUGAAUUGGAUUCUGAGUCUUCAAGUAAGUAGAUUUGGAAGUGUUCUUCCUUUGAAUUUCUUCUUUUAGCAACAGUUCAUACGUCCCUGCCCUCUGAGCUAUAUCUUGAAGGUCCACAAACUUAGUAUCAUCAAACUUCUUCCUUAGAGAAAUUUUUAGGGCAUUUUGAGCAAUUUUAAUGAAAUGUUUUUCCUCCAUUGGAAUCUUACAUUUCAUCUUGAUCUUCUUGAAUCGGGCAAUAAAAUCAGGAUCCGUCUCAUGCUUAUGUUGCUUUAAAUAAGUAAGAUCAUUGAUAGUGAUUUCGGGCUCAGACCUAUAGUACUGGCUGGUCUAUGAAAACUGUCUCCAUUUCAUUCCAGUCUUGAAUAGAAUUUGGAGGCAAAUUUAAAUACCAAGUAAAAGCUUGGCCCGAUAAUGAACUUCCAACCAACCUUAACUUCACUAGGGGCUGAGUCUCAAUAGCAACACAAUGAGCUAAGAAACACCUAAUGUGUUCUAGAGCUGAAGCGUAGAGAUCUUCCCCAUUGAAUAAGUUGAAAUUUGGAACUUAAUUUGAAACCCCUUGGGAAAGGAAUAUCAUUAAUAUGAGCUGGAUAAGGUUUUUGGUAAAUAGACCUCAAGAAACUGGAGCUGCUACUGCAAAAACAGGUGGAUGAAUAGGUAUUUCUUCCAUCUCAUCAUCAGAAUCUUGGAUUGGUUCAGGUUGUUGCACGUUAUUCCCUCUACCUCUGUCAUUGCCUCUAAUAUUGCCAUUGUUGUUGGCAAUAUGAGUAUUAAAAGCAAGGGGUUGCCUCCAUCUCUCAGCAUUCACAUUUCUCCUUGAUGGCUCUGGUGGCAAAGCUGCUUCACCAUGUCUCUGAGCUUGAUACCUUGGUGGAGGAAUAAUAGCAGGCACCUCCACAGCCAUAGCUUGAUUAUUGUUGGUCUCAUCUUCAGCAGUUACCACAGGUGCAACUAGUAUUAUGAUCGGGGUCGUAAUUGCUAGUAUAAUUACUGGCAUAGGUACAUCAAAUGGACCUGUCACAUGAACCUAUGAAGAUGGAGAAUUGGCAUGAUCACUGGUUUGCCCUUCAGUAAGUCUCGUUAUCUAUAUACCAAAUGCUCUUGAAGCCAUUUCAUCACUUUGUGGGCUUCGACUACCUUGUGCUAUCUAUGUUGAUAGCUGAGGAAAUAUGAAAGAGUUUCACUUCUUGAAGCUUGGCAUGGUGUUUUGCUUAGGCGUGCCACUAUUGGAACUAGCUGCAGCGCAAUAUAAAUAUGGAUGUAGUGUAAGAUGAAUUUACACAGAUCUUGACUCCUAAUUAAGCCAUUGUGCUCCAAAGGUGUACUGGCUCGAAUUAGUUCUUUUAUACGCCUCAAUUAAGAGGACUUCAAUAUUCUUUUAUGUGUGCCCUGGCGAUGUAGUAGAUAUAUUGCGUAUCUUGUAAGAUGGUUUACUGUUUUAAACCACUAAAGUGAUCUUCUAAUCGAAUAAGGAUUCCUAAGAACUCAUGGUUUAUCAGAAAGUCUAUUCCUAUCUGAUAUGGCAGCCUAAUAUAAGUGUUCUAGAUAUAUAUUAACAGGCUUAAGGAUUCCUACUUUGAUAAGGAUUAAGAUUACCUAAUCCUAUAAGCAUUAAGGUUAUCUCUAAGAGUUCAUUGAUGGGCUAAACUCAUAGAGAUAUGCAUAUAAAUAAGAGGCUCCUUCUAGAGCCGAAACACACACAAAUAAGCAUACAAAUAUUCACCCCAAAAUCAGAUUUUUCACCUCAGCUCUCUCUCUCCUGGCGCGCUCAACUUUUCUCUCUCUCUCUCUCUCUCUCUCUCUCUCUCUCUCUCUCUCUCUCUCCUCCGUUUCUCUCUCCCCGACCCGAGCACUCUCUCUCUUCGGUUCUCUCAGCUCCGGCCACGGCAGAACGUGAGACCAGUCCCAUUAGCUGCAUUUCGACGCCCCGGUCAUGGCCUGCAGUUUUCCCCGCCAGAAAACUCGAGUAUCACCGACGAUAUCGACUGGUUUGAACCGGAGAUUUCUCGUCGUUGAGCCAUCGCCUCCGCCGCCCGAUUCUGGUGAAAAAUGUGAGGUUUCUUCCUCUUUUUAUUUGUUCUAGCUGUCUGUUGCUUGGGAUUAGAUCGAUUUUUAGUUUGGGAAAUCGAAUUUGAAAACCUAGGUUUUGGCCGAAUUUCAAAGUGAAAUUCCGGCCAGUUGCCGUCCUAUUUGGACCUCCCCGUAGUUGAAUAAAGUGAUCCUUGCUUCGAGUAGAACCUAGGGUAGGAAGGAGGAGCGGUGGUGUGGAGAAUUUCCGUCGUCAGAAUUUACUCUACACACCCACACACUGCCGCCGAUGUGGCGGCAUGUGGGCAAAGGUGGUGAAGCUAUAUUUUGUCCUGAUGAGAUCCUCAUGUUGUCACGAGUGUAUAGAAUUUCGCGGAUCUCAAUUCGAACGUCGUUUGUCUAUCUAACGAAUUUCGCAUAUUGUGCGUUAUCCGAGUUCGAUAGGUUCUGACCGUUGGAUCGUUUUCCAAUUAAAUAUGUUGAUCUAAGUACUCUUAGAAUCGUAUAGGAAUUUGCGGAUCGUGAAUCGGAGCCCCGGAUGUUCCAAUUCAAUAAUUCAAAGUUUGUGGGUUAGCGAUAACCGUCCAAUCGUGAGCGAUUCCUAAACCUGUAACUGGACCUUAGGAUACCUCGUUCAACGUACACGCACUGGGAACUUAGGAAUUUAAGUAAUUAAUUUGUGAUUUCCGUUUCGAAGUAAUUUUAUAUUGAUUAAGGGUUCGUAUCUCGAAACAGGUGCUCCGACCGCUCGUACCCAGCAGGCGAGACCCUCUCGUGGUCAGGCAGCGUGGGAAUACUUGUGAAUGGACUUUGUUUUUAAUCAUAUGCAUGGUUUUAUUGAUGAAAGAUUUAUGCAUAAUGUUUUAAAUGGUAUAUUGAAUAUAUUAUAUUUAAAUAUUGAAUUUGAUGUUUGUAUAGCGCUUUGGCAAUAUAUUGUGGGUUUGACAUAUUUAGGUAUCGAGAGUAUGUUUGUAUGGAUUUUGGGGAAGUUCUAUAUAUAUAGUCGAUAGGUAGGAUACUUAGGUUGUUGAGGUGAGAUUGUGGAAGGACUUAAGUAUGAGGGGUUGUUGAGAAAAGUUGUAUGAUUACACUAGGGGUGGAUACGGUUCGGUUUGGACCCAUUUUUGCCUCAAAUUAGAACCGAUCCGGUACUAUUUAUCUGGUUUGGUUCGGUUCGAUUUUAAUAAAAAAAAUUUCAAAAACUGUCCGGUUCGGUUUGAACCGAUUUCGGUCCACUUCCGGUUUCGAUUCGGUUUUGAACCAGAUUAUAAAAAUUAUUUUUUUAAAUUAUUUUUUAAUACAAUUCUCAACUGAAAUAUUAUUUUUUUUAAACUUGAAAAUUAACAAAUUAUUCAAUUUCAUAUAAAUAAAUAAAUAUUAAAGUUAGAAAAGAGAGAUAUUUUGAAAUUGAACUUGGAUAAAUAUUAGUUUUUUUUAUUAUAGUGAAAUUCAAAAUAUAGCAUUAAAUAUAAAUAUAUAUUGAAAUUAUAUAUAUUUUUAAUUUGACCGGUUCGAUUCGGCUCAGUCCGAUUUUUAAAGACAUGGAACCAGAUCCGGAACAGGUCCAAACCAGUUCGGUUUGAUUUUUGACUGUUGUUGACGUUUUGGUCAACUCGGUUUUUUUCGGUUUGGUUCGGUGCGAUUCGGCUCAGAUUUUCGGUUCGCCGGUUUGAGUGCCUACCUCUAGAUUACACUUGUAAGUAUCUUCCCUAGUAACUAGGCUUCCCACACAUGACGUUGGAUGUUCCGGCGUGUGAGACACUUCCCAUACGCGGCAUUGGAAUUUCCCGCGUAUGGGAAGAUUAUAUAUAUUGCUUGGGAUCAUCACACAUGGUGUUGGAUGUUCCGGUGUGUGAUGAUGUAGUCUGCGCGCAUAGGACUUAGUAUUUGAGCUACACGUGACGUUGGAUGUUCCGGUGUGUGAGCUAUGGAGUUUCGUCCCCCAGUUGGACCGGUCAUCCCUAAACGCAAGAUAGCACCUGAAAAUCUUACGGGCUAGUCAAACAAUCCCCUGAUUGGAUUGUUUCUCCGGUACCUAGGUAGUGUGACGGGUAUAUUAUAUAUUGUAUAUUUGUAUGUAUAUAUAUAUAUAUAUAUAGUAGUGGAAUUUUGGGGAUGAGGUUUAUGGAUUGAGUGAUUUGUGGUUUUAAAGGGUUUUAAAGAAUAAUGUUUUUGAGCAUCUAUUUAUGAAUUGUGAAUGUUCAUGAUGUGAGCAUUAUUUUUACACGGUGGGGUUGUUAUGUUGUUUUAAAUGCAAAUCUUGUUUUUGUCCACUCACAUAUUUUCUGUUUUGCGCCCCCCAGCCAUUAGUCGCUCCAGGAGGGUUGCAAGCGGUGUUCGAAGGCCGAAUCGUUUACAUCAGUAGAUUAGGCUUCGAGUAAUUUCCUUCUACUCAACUGUUGUUGUAAACUAAAUCUGUUAGACGCUCUGUUAUUGCCCAUAUUAGGUUUUUACUUGAGGCCGGAGGCCAUUUACUGUGAACUGUUGUAUGUUAAAAGCAUGCUGCUGGUCGGGAUCUUAUUAUGUAUUCUAUGCAGGUUGAAUUUUUUGUUGGGUUUGUUCAAUUUACAAGGGUGACUCUGCCAAAAUUUUGGUAGAAAGUCUCGAUUUUUAAUAAGUGGGCCCGGCAUCGGGGUGAUGUCGGUAAAAAGACAAAAUUCGCUCCAAUUUCUGAAAAAUUUCGAAGCGGGUCUCGUCAAACCAUGGUUCCUUGCAAUUUCAGAGAAGACUGAAGGAAGGUGCUGAAUUUUGUUGUAUACCUCCAAUCCUUCAACUCUUUCUAUAAAUUAAAUAGAUUACAGCUAGUCUACAGUACACACAAUACAUGAGAAAAGUAUAACCUCUCUUAUUCUACUCAACCUAACCUCCUCAAAACUCUAACCCCCCCUUACCUCCUACGUCGCCAUCCACCACCUAGUGCUCAGAACUUUUACACCACGAUUACUUGAGGUAAUAAUCCUGGAUCUGCCAGCACUAAAAUUACACACCCAUUUGUUUGGAGCAUCAUGGCAUCUACAUUUGUUUAUUCUUUUCUAAAUCAUCUAAGUCAUUGCCAACGGAUGCCCUUAAUUCCUUCACAUUUCUUACUCCAGAUUUAUAUUCUUUGCUAGUGGUGGAAUCUACCGGGCCUGAGGAAGGGCCUUAACCACUGGGCCAACAUGAUAUUUAAUUUUAGUUAUUUUGUCUUGUGCUGUGUCAUAGGUACGUUAGCAUUUGGAUUAUACUUGUGGCACAGUUAUGUAAUAUUUAUUUACAUAAUGAUAUUAAUAAUAUGUAUUUGUACCUUUUGAUUAAUUGAGUUUGUUUGUAUAUUAAUUAUGUGGUUUGAAGUUGCUAAUUAAUGACUCUCAUCUGAGUUGUAGGCUACUCUAUCUUAAUGAUGUUCAAAAACCUUUUUCUGCUUCGAUUAGCAACGCCUCUGCUCCGAAUACCAUCCCAUGAGCCCAGCACCCGUUCUACUGAUUUUGCCAGGCCUGCCGAAUUACUCUCGAAGCUCUCGAUUUUCUGGUUCAGCCUACUAUCCCCCAAGGACCAGCAAGACAAGAUUGAGCAAAUCUCCAACAAACUUGCUGCGGAAGAUGUUAAUGUCGGAAGCCUUGCAGCAGCAGCAGGGGAAACCAAGGAAGAUGUGAGAAGGAAGGCAUUCGAGAUGCUUUUUAAUAAAGCUCCCGUCGUUACACGAGUUGAUUUAUUCAAGGAGUUUACUUGAAAGACGCUUGUGUGAGGAGAUUCUUUUGUCCAGGCAACUGAGUUCCAAUGAGCAACAAAAAGAGAUAGAUGAAAUCAAGCAGUCCCGCUAUGCUGAAUUUUACUUGGGGCUGUCAAUUAUUUGGUUCUGAGCUUGAAACCUCAUUCAAGUAGUUGUUGGUAAAGCCGGAGUAGAUGAUGAUAUAUUUGAGAAACUCGUAAAUGAGACUGAGGAGGAUUUCAAGCUCAGGAGAUUUACAGAGUCGUUUAAACAACUUCAAUUCAGUUCCCAGGAGGAUGUUGUGGAAUUUAUUCAAGAUGCAGUAUUUCGUGAUCUAGUCGAUGAUGUGUCUUAACACUUUUGAAAUGAGCGAUGGUGUUAGACGUAAUAGAAUUUAUGGAACAGAGAGGGUGAGAGGUAAUGUUGGCAGGUAUUAGCCCCGUUUGGUAUUGCUCUUUUCGCCAAAAACCUGCUUCACUUUAAAGUUAAACAGUUUAAAGUAUUUGGUAAAAAUAAAAUAUCCUGAUUAUUUUAAAAGCAGUGGCGUUUUGACAGCAGCUUUUAAAAGUAGGCUAUGAGUUGCUUUUCAAAGCUGCUUUCAAAAGAAGCAUAGAUGAAUCUUUAAUGAAUUUUUUUAAUUCCCAAAAUACCAUUAUUCAUUUUAAAAAAUAACACCACCUCCACUUCCACAUCCAACUCCACCACACCACCACCACCACCACCACCACCACCACCACCACAGCCACACUGCCACCGCCACUGCCGCAGCCACCAUCGCCGCCGCCGCCAUCGCCACCACCACAACCGCCGCCACCGUCAUCGCCGCCACCACCACCACCUCCUCCACCACUUCCACAUCAAACUCCACCACUUACACCAGCACAUUCACUACCUCCACAACCACUGCCAUCGCCAUCGCCACCACCACCACCACCUCCUCCACCACUACCACCUCCACUUCCACAUCCAACUCCACCACUUACACCAUCACAUUCACUACCUCCACAACCACUACCAUGAGUCUUCCAAAUAAAGGUCCUAAAGUCGCUAUAAGCAAUUUCGGAAAUAAUAUUAUGCAUCCCUAUUGGGAACCUUCGCUAGAAUUCAUUAAGAUGAGUCUUCCAGAUCUAAGAGGUCCAAAAGGAGCAACAGCCACUCAAGGAGGGCAGGGGACGAGUGAGCAGUAGGAUGAUUUGCAGUCAUGCACUGAGGAUGAUUUGCAGUCAUGCACUGAGGAUGAUUUGCAGUCAUGCACUGAGGAAAUAAGCCUUCAAUGCAGAAGAUAAGGUCAACUCGUAUCAGCAGCACUACUCUUGUUUAUGAGUUUGACCUGUCUUGUGCCAGUACGUGCGUUUUAUUUGUAUGCAAUAUAGCAUUAUUCUUCUUGCUUUCUACUUAUCAUAAUUACCUAAUGUUGUUUGUUUCUUAAUCAAGGGAUUAACUUAUACCUCAAGUUGUUCUUUUGCUUUUAAGUUUGGCUUGUAUUUGGUCUUAGUUUAGAGAUUGUACUAAUGUUUGGCUUGAGUUGAGGGGCCUUACUAGCUUCAUCCUUGGUUAUUUUUCAUUUUUUUUCUGAGAGAUGCUCCAUCCUUGUUCUUAAAAUGGGAUAUGAGGUACUAUUAGGCCCAAAAGCCAUUGCAUAAAAAUUAUACAAAACCUGCUAAUUAAAGUAAAUAUAUGAAACCCAAUUCCCAUGCACCCACCGCAACAGAUCCUCCAAUCAAUAAAUAAUUAAGGCUGAGUUAUGGAGUCUACUUAGAGGGUUGCAAAUCGCAUAAAAUAAGGGUAUUAGGUCCCCUGAUGUUGAAUGUGACUCUAUUUGUUGUUUCUCUGAUGGCCAAGGUUUCUAACCAAUUCCACCCAUUUUUUUGUCUAAUUGAAGAUUGCAAGUUGCUGCUACACCGUGAUUGGAGCUGCAAGAUUUCUCAUAUUUACAUGGAGCAAAAAAGAGUUGCUGACCACCUUGCUAAUUUGGGGUAUGAAUUACCUUCGGGGCUUCAUAAUUUUGAGUAAGCUCCGAUUUCUAUUUGGAACAUCUUAUUGGAUGAUGUCCUAGGAAGGGCCCUUGAGAGGGCUAUGGUCUGUUAGUUUUUUCUUCUUGUUUCGUCUUGGCUUUGGCCUCUUUGUAACCAAAAAAACAAAAUAGUAACACAAAUCCGCUUGCUGGACCAAUGGAACCUCACCUCGUGUUGGCGAGAUCCUAGUUCGAUUAUGAGAUUUAUUUUCUAUUCUAUUAGAAUAUCUACUUUGGAUAUGUUGCAAAUUAAGAUCUAUAAGGUACAAACUAAUGCAACUAGGAAGGUCCUUUUUAUUAUUAUUAUUUUUUUAUUUAAUCGUAUAGCCGGGCGGCUAUACUACGAUUUACAAAUAUAAAAAUUAUUAUAGCCGGCCGGCUGUAUUUUUUUUUGACAUGUGGCUUUAAUCGAUAGAGGUUCUUCUUUAAUUAUUUUUUUUUAGAGAAAAAAAAAAAGAAGUACAGCCGGGCUGCUAUACUCCAGGUUUUUAAUUUUGUUAAAAAGACAUGUGUUGACACGUAGCUGUUAAUGAAUGUGGGAUCCUCUUUUUUACAUUAAAAAGUAGCAUAGACAGGCGGCUAUACUUAUUUUUGACACGUGGCUUUAAUCGAUAGAGGUUCUCCUUUAUUAAAACGAAACAAAGGAGUACAGCCGCACGGGUAUACGCCAUGUUUUUUAAUCUUGUGUAAAAAAAGACAUGUGUUGACACGUGGCGCUUAAUGGGUGGGGGUCCUCUUUUUUAUAUUAAAAAAUAUUUUAAAAUAGUAUAGCCGGACGGCUAUACUCAGUUAAAAAAAAAAUGGUAUUGCCAAACGGCUAUACUCAUUUAAAAAAAAAAUAAACAGUAUUGCCGAACGGCUAUACUAUUUUCAAAUAGCUCUGUUUUUUCUUUAGAAAAUAGUAUACCUGGGCUAUACUAGAUUUUUCUCUUAUUUAUUUUUUAAAAAAUAGUAUAGCCAGGCAGCGUUCCUGUUUUUUUUAAUAUAAAUUAUCUUUAUUAAUAAAUAGUAUAAACGAGCGGCUAUAGUCUUUUACAUAUGUAUAUAUAUGUACGCAUUUUUCAACAAUACAUUCGUGUAGUAUACACGUUUCACGUUUUCUUUAAAAAGCAAAUAUAUGAUAGUCGUAUUGUACAUGUACGUACAUAUUUCUAAAGUUUCAUACACAUAUUUUCUGUAAAAGUUUCAGUAAGACCCACAAAAUUCACAUAUUAUACAAAUAAUUCUCACAUAUUAUUGAAUAAGAAUAACACAUGUUAUAAAAAUUAUAUUAAAAAUCAUAUAGCGAAAGAUUAAUAUCUACUUUGGAUUUGUUGCAUAUUAAUAUCUAUAAGGUACAAACUAAUGCAACUAGGAGGGUCCUUUUUAAUUAUUAAUUUUUUAGUUAAAUAGUAUAGUCGGGCACCUAAUGGCUGACAAGCGGCUAUACUUAUUUUUGACACUUGGCUUUAAUCCAUGUUUUUUUUUUUUUUUUUUUAAAGACAUGUUUUGACACGUAGUGCCUAAUGGCAAGGCGUCCUCAUAUUAAAAAAAACUAUAGCCGCAUACUCAGUUUUUCAAAAUUUUCAAAAACAUAUAUAGCCGCGUGGCUAUAUCUUUUUCACACAUUUGGGCUGCUCUGUUUUUUUCUUUUGAAAAUAGUAUAGCAGGGUAGCUAUACUCGAUUUUCUUCUAUUUUUUUCAAAAAAAUAGUGUAGCAGGGCAGCAUUACUGGUUUUUUAUUUAUUUUUAAAAUUAUCUUUAAUAAAUAGUAUAGACGAACGUCUAUAGUCUUUUACAUAUAUAUGCAUAUACAUAUACGUAUUUUUCAACAAUACAUUCAUGUUGUAUACACGUCUCACAUUUUCUUUAAAAAGCAAACAUACAAUAGUCGUAUUGUACAUGUACAUAUGUAUUUCUAAUCUUUCAUACACGUAUUUUCUACAAAAUUUUCAGUAAGGCACAAAAUUCACGUAUUAUACAAAUAAUUCUCACAUAUUAUUGAAUAAGAGUAACAUAUGUUAUAAAAAUUAUAUUAAAAUAUCAUAUAGUGGAAGAUUAAUAUCUACUUUGGAUAUGUUGCAAAUUAAUAUCUAUAAGGUACAAACUAAUGCAACUAUGAGGGUCCUUUUUUAUUAUUAAUUUUUUUAAUUAAAUAGUAUAGCCGGGCCGCUAUGCUACGAUUUUUUUAUAAAUAAAAAUAGUAUAGCCGUAUUUUUGACACGUGGCUUUAAUUGAUAGAAGUUCUUCUUUAUUAUAUAUAUAUAAGGGGAGUACAGUCGCACAGAUAUACUCCAUGUUUUUAAUUUUUUUUUUAAAAGACAUCUGUUGACACGUGGCGUCUAAUGGCUGGGGGUUCUCUUUUUUAUAUUAAAAAAUAGUAUAGCCCAAUGACUAUACUCAGUUUUUAAAAUUUUAAAAAAAGUAUCGACACACAGCUAUACUAUUUUCACAUAGUGGGCUGCUCUAUUUUUUCUUUAGAAAAUAAUAUAGCCGUGGCUAUACUUGAUUUUUUUCUAAUUAAAAAAAAAGUAUAGCAGGGCAGCGUUACUGGGUUAUUUUUAUUUUUAUUUUUAUAAAUUGUCUUUAAUAAAUAGUAUAGACGAGUGGCUAUAGUCUUUUACAUAAGUAUGCAUAUAUAUAUAUGGAUUUUUCAACAAUACAUUUGUGUUCUAUACACAUCUCACGUUUUCUUUAAAAAGCAAACAUACAAUAGUCUUAUUGUACAUGUACGUACGUAUUUCUAAUGUUUCAUACACAUAUUUUCUAUAAAAUUUUCAGCAAGACACACAAAAUUCACGUAUUAUACAAAUAAUUCUCAUAUAUUAUUGAAUAAGAAUAACAUAUGUUAUAAAAAGAGUGCUACUAUUUCCAUCCGUCUGUCCUAUUUUCCCAACCACCAUAUAAAUUUUAAAAAACACAAUCCUAUUUUUCCACCCACCAAUAUUCCUAAAAUACCCUUUUAAUUAUUACCUCAUUUUCUCUCUCCUUUAUUCUCUCUGCUCAUGUCUUCUCUCUCUCUCUGACACCCACACAUCUCUAUCUAGCAACUUCACAUCACGAAAUUUGAUGACAAUGGCUGGUCAACAGGUAAAAGAUGACGAGCCCUUGAAACGAAAACCUGGCUCGCUCUCCCCAAUUCUGAACAUACCCAGCAACCUCUUUACCCACCUUCCAAACUUUCUGGUCUGCUGACAGAAACUUGUUCAUCCCCAAGUUUUCAUGUUUUUAAUUUGUAUAAGAAAAAAAAAUUAGAGUCCAAGAAAUACUCAUCUCCCAAUGCUUUAAGUAAUCGUAAAGAUCUUAUAAAUUAUGUUCAAAUAGGAUUCUUACCUUUUCGCCAAAGUCGUUUUCUUCAACAUCCAUUCUCUUGUUGUUUUCUUCUUCAUAAACAAUUUGAUUGAAUGAAUAGAAAAGAGAAGAAAAUUAUUUGAGAAUUGAGUUCUGAACAUUGAAAAGUCAUAAAAGGAAUCAUGAGCAAGAAGUCAUAGCUUUCUUGUGUUUUUUUCUUUCUGUCCAACAAUAGGGUUACGUGAGAACAGAAGUCUGUUUUUUUUUUUUCCUAUUUCUUUUUCCUAAAGUCAUUUUAAGUCAUUUUACAAUGAGGUUAAAUUUGUCUUUAAAAGUUUAAAGAUAAGGUGUGUAGGAAAAUAGGGCAUACAGGUGGAAAUAGCAGCACUCUAUAAAAAUUAUAUUAAAAUAUCAUAUAGUGAAAGAUUAAUAUCUACUUUGGAUAUGUUACAAAUUAAGAUCUAUAAGGUACAAACUAAUGCAACUAGGAGGGUCCUUUUUUGUUAUUAAUUUUUUAAUUAAAUGGUAUACCCGAGCGGCUAUACUUAUUUUUGACACGUGGCUUUAAUCGAUAGAGGCUCUUUUUAUUAUUUAAAGUGCAGCCGCACGGCUAUACUCCAUGUUUUUAAUUUUUUUUAAAAGAAAGACAUGUGUUAAUAUGUGGCGCCUAAUAGUUGGGGUGUCCUCUUUUUUAUAUUAAAAAAUAGUAUAGUCGGAUGGCUAUACUCAGUUUUUAAAUUUUUUUUAAAAAGGCUAUUUUUGACACGAGGCUUUAAUCAAUAGAGCUUCUUCUUUAUUUAUUUAUUUAUUUAUUUUAAAAAGUACAGCCGGACGGCUAUACUCCAUGUUUUUAAUUUUUUUAAAAAAGAAAUGUGUUGACACGUGACGCCUAAUGGCUGGGGGUCCUCUUUUUUAUAUUAAAAAAUAGUAUAGCCCGACGGCUAUACUCAGUUUUUUAAAUUUUUAUAUAGCCCCGUGGCGAUACUAUUUUCACAUAGUUAGACUGCUCUGUUUUUUCUGUAGAAAAUAGUAUAGCCGUCCGGCUAUACUUAUUUUUUCUAAUUUUUUUAAAAAAGAAAACAGGGAAGCAUUACUGUUUUUUUUUUUAAUUUUUUUUAUAAUAGUUAAAUUGUCUUUAAUAAAUAGUAUAGAUGAGUGGCUAUAGUCUUUUACAUAUAUAUAUAUAUAUGUAGGUACAUAUUUUUCAACAAUACAGUCGUGUUCUAUACACGUCUUACGUUUAUUUAAAAAACAAACAUACAAUAUUCGUAUUGUACAUGUACGUACGUACAGUGGCGGACUCACAGAAGCCCAAGUAGGCGCAGGUGCACCUCCCCUAGCUUGAAAAUACCAUAGAAGUCAAUCAUCUUAAGCUCUUGGGCGGCUGGGUGGCUGGGCAACAAUGCCCACAGCCUGUUUGUGGAAAGGCUGGAGUGAAGAGCAACAGUAGCAAGCACGAUCUAUUUUUCUUUUUAAUGAUCUGGCCAAAACGAAUCGUUUUGAGCUAGAACAAUUAAUAUGUUUUAAAAUCUCUGUGUGCAUUACACGUGUUUAAUUUUUGUUCUAUUCAAGACCACAUCAUGCUGCAACUUUAGUUUGAGGGUAGAGUAGUCAUUAGAGUUUGAUGGCUUAACCUAGAAACACUUCGAUAUAUAUAUAUAUAUAUUAUUUGUUAAUGUUAUUGAAUUAUUAAUGAAAUUAUUUGUUAAUUUAAUCUUCAACGCAAGGAAAUAAAUUGCAAGUUCUUCUUUUCUUUUUCUUCUUUUCUUUUUUUUUUCUUUUCCCUGAAUAUAUAAAUUGCACAUUUAUGACAAGCGAAUUUUGUUAAUUCAUAUAUACAUUACAAGAGUGCUGCUAUUUCCACCCCAUGUCCUAUUUUUUCGCCCACCUUUUCUUCCCACCCACCAUGUAAAUUUGAAAAAAUAAAAUCAUAUCUUUCCACCCAUCAUUAUUCCUAAAAUACCAUUUAAUUAUUAAUUCAAGAAAAUUCUCUUUGCUAAUCCAUUAGGGAUCCGGAUCCUUUGCUUUGGUUUUUCUCAUAAUUAAAACAUACAAAUAUAUUUUCCUUCAAACGUAAAUUAAUUCCCUCUCUCAUUCAUUAUUUGGCGUCUCUAUGUUUAAUUAAGGAGUUUUUUUCCUUUUUAAUUAUUAUGAAAUUGAGUUUUUAUUUUAGGGUUGAUGUUUUUUCCUUAAGUUCUUAAAAGUCAUUUUGCAAAUGGGUAAAUUUGUAUAUAAAAUUUUGAAGAUAAGGUGGGUGGGAAAAUAGGAUUGGUGGGUGGAAAUAACAGCACUCUAUUGUAAAUCCAAUUAAUCAAUAUAUACAAAUCAUGAAUGUGCGUCAUGCAAGUUUUUCAAAACAAAAAACAAAAAAUUCAUCAGUGAUUUUUUUUUAAUUAAUAAGAAAAUGUUAUUUCUUUCAUGAAUUAUGAAUAAUAAUAGUAUCAGUUCAGUUAUACAUGUUAUUUUUAUCUAAAGAACUGACAAUUUCCAAAGUAAAUUUUUUUGUUGUGUGGAACAGUAAGCCUUUGAAAUGUUGCACCUCCUCUUAAAAAUUCAUGGAUCUGCCAGUGUGUACGUAUUUCUAAUGUUUCAUACACGUAUUUUCCACAAAAAUUUCAGUAAGACGCACAAAAUUCACGUAUUAUACAAAUAAUUCUCACAUAUUAUUGAAUAAAAAUAACAUAUGUUAUAAAAAUUAUAUUGAAAUAUCAUAUAGUAGAAGAUUAAUAUAUACUUUGGAUAUGUUGCAAAUUAAUAUCUUUAAGGUACAAACUAAUGUAACUAGGAGGGUCCUCUUUUAUUAUUAAUUUUUUAAUUAAAUAGUAUCACCGGAUGACGAUACUAUGAUUUUUUUAUUAAAAAAAAAUAGUAUAGCUGCUUAUUUUUGACACUUAGCUUUAAUCGAUAAAGGUUCUUCUUUAUAAAUUUUUUUUCAAAAAAAAGGUACAGCCGCUCGGGUAUACUCCAUGUUUUUAAUUUUUGUGAAAAAUGCAUGUUGACACAUGGCGCCUAAUGGGUGGGAGGUCAUCUUUUUCUUUUUUAUAUUAAAAAAAUAGUAUAGCCGUCCGGCUAUACUCAGUUUUUAAAUUUUUAAAAAAAACGUAUAGCCGCACGGCUAUAUUAUUUGCACACAGUGCGGCUAUAUUAUUUGCACACAGUAGUGGGGGUGCUCUGUAAAAUAGUAUAGCCGUACGGCUAUACUCAGUUUUUAAAUUUUUAAAAAAAGCGUAUAGCCGCACGGCUGUAUUAUUUUCACACAGUAGUGGGGUGCUCUGUAAAAUAGUAUAGCCGUGCGGCUAUACUGUUUUUUUUUUCUUCUAAUUUUUUUAAAAAAAUAGUAUAGCAGGGCAUUGUUACUGGUUUUUUUUUUCUUCCUAAAAAUUGUCUUUAAUAAAUAGUAUAGAUGAGCGGCUAUAGUCUUUUACAUAAAAUUCUUAAGGACUGUCUGGACUUGGCUUGGCUUAAUUUAAGUUGGAUAACACUUAUCUUAUGUUUGGUGUAUGCUUAGACAGUCGUGUAACAAACGAGACCUAAAUAUUUUAAAGUCCUUUUCAUUAAACUCAUGGAACACACGAAGUGAUUUAAAAGUUCGAGGACACAAACAAUAACUUUUGAAAAAUUCAGAUACCAUUUAUGAUAAAAUACUGGGAAAAAAAAAGGUUAUUGUCAUUUGACACGAGUUUGGCAUUAUUGUGAUGUGAAAAUAAUUGCUGUCAGAUUUGCUAUGAGAGAAAGCAGUUUGGCGGUAAUUUUUUUUUUUCAAAGUGUUGUUGGUAUUGAUUUCCACAUAAUCAGAAAAUGAUUGCCGCAUAAUCAUUAAACCGAGCGCCUCUUUGAAACUGAUUCCUACAUAAUUAGAAAAUGAAAGCACCUCAUUAGCUGUUCUCCCUUAUAGCUUUCUCUCACAACAGUUUUUUAACAAUAAGCGAUUUUCUCACAGUUUACCAAUGGGCUUUCCAAAUUUGUAAAAAAUCACUUAUCACCCCAAAUAAGCAAUGUCAAACGGGCACUAAAUAGGUCGCGGUUUUUUCUUGAUAAAUUGGUACACGUGUCACAUUUAGGCUAAGCCCAACAUUUGUACGAGCAUGGGUCCAGCCCAGCCCAAUCUCAAGCCCGAACUCUGAGACAAUCCGAGUCAGAUAAUGAAAUGGCAACACCGCAAUUACGCGGUCCUCCAAGGGCGGUUAUCGCAGCACCACCGACUCAGUGGAGAGCGUUCGUUGGCAAAGCGGAAAGCUAAAGUUUUAAAUACCAACGGAGAGACCCCACGAGCCUCCAAAACCAAAACCCAAAGACCAACCUCCCUUUAUCUUCGUCUCUUUCCUUUUAUUUUUUAUGUAUUUAAAUUUUUUAUUUUUUUCUGUACAAUUAUCUCGCAAUAAUCUCCUCGAUUAGGGUAUCCAAAUAAUCCCCUCUCUGCGUAUUUGAUUUUUGUUGUUCCUGUAUAUUUAUUUGAUUUUGCUUUCUGCAGAGGUUAUUAAUUUAUUGGUUUUUGAAUUUUUGAAUUUUUUUUUUUUCCACGAGAAACAGGAAUCGCCUGGUUCGAUUGUGUGACUCGAGAUCGGCCAAACCAAGCAGGUGUGGAAUUUAUGUUCUCUAUGAAAUUUAUUAAUUAUUUAUUCGUUUUUCGGGGUUAAUUUUUUGCACUUGAAUAUGAAGCUGGUGAGUUGCAUAAAUUUAUUUUCAUUAUGUGUUGGUUGAUUACGUGUAUAGGGUUUCAAUCAUCGUGUUUGAUAAAAUUAUGUAAGCGUUCCUCUGCUGUUGAAAACGUUUCCGGUUGAAAGUUCAGAUUUUUCGUUGCAUGACUGAGCUUGUUCAGAUUUUAUGGGAUUUUUUUUUCAAGAUUUCGGUAUUUACAGAGCAAACUAUGGAAGUUUUGUGUGUUUCCUGCAUUUGAUAGAACUGAGCUUGUUCAGAUUUUGUCCCAUUUUUUUGAAGAUUGCGGCCUUAUAGGGAAAACUUUAGAAGUUUUGUGGGUUUUCUGCAUUUGUUAGAGUUAUGUGGUUGAAAUCGUAAUCUUUGGCCUGAAUUAAUCAACUGAGGGAUUUCGAUUUGCAUAACAGAGCAAGUGAAAUUGAUGUUUUACCCAGGUUGAAAAUCUCAAACUUUUCAGGGAAGGAGAUAAAUAUCUAGAAUUGAUGAGUUGAAGUGGAUAAGAGUUGUUUUCUUCUCUUUUCUUUGGUUAUGUAGUUGCUUUAUUCUCUUGAAUUGGUUAUAUGUGUUCACUAUGCUGGGCAUUUGGAGUUGCCCGAAUUUUAUAGUAUGUGUGUAUUUGUCGAAAUUUGUCCUUAAUUUGUAUGUGUAUAAUGGUUUGAUAUUUUUGCAAUGGGUGAAUGGAAACGAUGAGGUGCUUUUUCUUGUUCUUUUUUCUCUUGCAGAUAACUAAUAAACAUGGAAUCUCACGAUGAAACUGGAUGCCAAACUCCAGACCGCCCUAUCCUUUGCAUUAACAACUGUGGAUUCUUUGGAAGGGCCGCUACAAUGAACAUGUGUUCUAAAUGUUACAAGGACACACUCCUAAAGCAGGAGCAAGCCAAUUUUGCUGCUUCAUCCAUUGACAGCAUUGUGAAUGGCAGCAGUAGCAGCAUUGGCAUUGGCCCAGUCGUUGCAGGUGUUGUUGAUGUGCAAGCUGGACAAGUGGAGACAAGAGUUGUUUCAACAGAACCAUCCAUUGACUCAUCUUCGAGCAUGGUGUUUGAGGUGAAAGAAAAAGAGGGACCAAGCAGAUGCACUACUUGCCGAAAGCGUGUUGGUUUAACUGGCUUCAAUUGCAAAUGUGGAAACACCUUCUGUGCAAGUCAUCGUUAUUCUGACAAACAUGACUGUCCUUUUGAUUAUAGGACUGCUGGUCAAGAUGCUAUUGCAAAAGCCAAUCCUGUCGUCAAGGCAGAGAAACUUGAUAAGAUCUAGUACUCAUGGGCUGAACUGAAGAUUUGUGUAUUGAAAGAUGAUGGUACUCCUUCUUGGUUUCGUGUCUUGUUAGGUCUCCUAAUGGUAAAAAUGCUUAAGUCAUGAUAAUGAGGACAUGAUUUUAUGGGAACUCUAUUCCUAGUUGGUGAAGUAUUCCUUUGCUGGCUCCAGUGUGUAAGUCUUUAUUAUUGUUGGUUUGAUGGAUGUCUUUGGAGCAAUGUUUCAGUGUGGUCCUCUGCUUGGUAUGCAUUUCUUUAUUGCAGUACAUGGAAAUAUGAAAAUUUCAGCCUUCAGUACAAUUAUGUUGUGCAAUUAAAACUUCCUUAAGUUGUUUGUUUUGUAUUUUCAUUCUGUACAUGUGUGCCCGGCUUGUUUUGAAAUUUGAAAUCAUGUUGUUAAAACACUUUUGUUAUGCUUAUAUGAGUAUUCCUUGGCAAUCAAUUGUAUGUGGAAAUUUCCGUGUGACAUGGUUAGGGGCUUAUUGGGUGGGUAAAUGAAUUCUCGCUUAGGACUUGUUUGGUUGCUUUUAUCUUCUCAAUUUUGUUUAUGGUAGUGUUUCUGUACAUGUAUGACGCGGUGCCUCUUAUUGAUGUGUGUGAUUGCUAGGUGCAAGGUCCAGGUCAGGUUAUUCUAGUCCUAGAUAAGAGAAUUUUGGGCCGUGAUCUUCUUGUGUCAGUAUUAGAUGCCGCUGGGCUCCCCCAAAACAUGACUAGUGGGGAGUGCUGGUUUGAAGUUAUUUUCAUUCUAUUUUACCAUUAUACUUUUAUCUUGUGAGAGAGUCCCUCACAUAAACAGGGUGCAUUCUUGAGAUUUCGAACUUCUGGGAUUGGAACUUGAGUGAAUCAACGGAAGAGUGUGAGACAGAAAUAUAGUCAUUGCUUUAUACAUAUUAGUAUAGAUUUAGAAAAAGGAAAAAAGAAGAAAGGUGUGCAUAGAUAAUAUUGGCAGGUACUGAAUUUGAUUUUUUUUCCAUUUUAGCUUUUUAAUGAUUGAAUAAGGCUCCCACUUUUUCUUGUAGCUAAAGAGGGAAGGGAACACAACACCACCUGAAGUAUCUGCGACUGUAAUUCUUCCUCUGGUGUUGGAUGCUAAUGUUCUUUCUGAUGGUGGAAUAAACAGUCAUUAGGUAAGACCAUACUGAGCAAAUAAUACUCGGUGUUUCGGGUUGCAUCGAGGGAUGGUAUGUGUAUAUAUUAUUCAGUAAGUAAAACAGUUGGUAGUCCUAUGAAUCUAGUAAAUGUGUUACUGGGUUAGCUGUGUGUCAGGGUUUUUAAGCUUGGUGGGAAGUUGGGUGCACCUUUUGGCAAGAAGGUAAACGGAUUGCACCUGGAAACAACUAUUAGUAGCUGUUAUAUAGGAGGGGAACACAUGAAAUUCUGGCUUUUUGUUUCAUAUUUUUGUUGCUCUGCACUUUAGUCUUUCAGGAUACUGCUAUGUAACCAGAGGAGUGGUUAUUUAUCGAUGCCAGGUUGAGGGAACUUUUCUCUUCUUUUAUUUUCUUCAGCUGUUGUAGCUUAAACAGGUGGAGGUCUUGCUCAUUUCUCUUGAAGCAACCUGUUUGAGGUUCAUAAGAGUGGAUUAAGUUUAUAUUUGAUCAUUGGUAUGCCUUCGAAAACUGGCUUGAAGCAUUUUAGCAGUGAGUGAGAUAUGACAUUUGUUUGGACAAUCAAUUUAUGAUUUAAGAUGGUGUAAUGGCAUCAAAAUUCAACAAAGUUCUUAAGGUUAUUAUACGACCAAAUAAUUUAUGGUAUGAACUAAGCUUAAAAUACAAAAAGAAACAUUUAUGCACGCAUCUCAAACUGUUGCUUGUAGAAACUCACUCAGCUACGAUGGAAUGCAUAUUUCUUGACUUCUUAUGUGUUUACUAGCGUAUUGGUGUUAGAAUGAUUCCAAUUCAUGACUUCCGGUCUUCUCUUACAUCUACAAACACACAAGGAAUAAAGAAAUUAUGUGAAUUUUACAUUAACAUCUGUAAUCUAGUACUUGAAAAUCCGGAAUAAAUUUGACCAUGAGAAUCUAAAGAUAUGCGGAUUUUACAUUUAAAAUGGUAAUCUAAUACCUGCAAGACAAAAAAUUAGAUUGAUGAGUAGUUAAUGUCAUACUAAUUCCUCUCCCCAACUUUUGAUUUCUCCGAACUUUGACUUUCACACAUUCCAGAUAAGUAAAUCCAAGUAUGUUCUUCCAAAACCAAGCAAUCUCUGUGGAAGUCAUAAAAGGAUCACCAAAGGAGUGUCAAAACAUGGCAAGCAACAUGAACAACCAAGUGUCCCCACUCUCCACCGUCUGCUGAAAGCAAUGUCAUGUUGGUAGAGGCUAUGGAGUGUGGUGCAUUAUUGCAUACUGUGUUUACCCAUUACCAGCACCAUGGCUAUUAGCUACCUUUCUUUAUUGCAAUAAGUGGGUAUUUGAUAACAGCAACUUUCGACUCCCCCACCACCCCCAUGCUUGUUUUCUUCUUCAAAGACAAAAAGGGGCUCCCUUCAAAUUCUUUUUUGGGGACUUGGAGACAAGUUUUCUAGGGAACACAUUACAUGCAAAUACCCUCUCUCUCUCUCUCUCUCUCUCUCUCUCUGACAUGUAGGUGAUUAAACAAAUGAAAAAUUGCAAAUGAUGUGCAUUAUUUUUAUGUCAUUGGUCUUUGGAUGCUCUAAAAGCUAAGACUCCUUUGAGCUAAACCUUAUCUAGAUGCUACAUAGUCAAUUCAUAGGAUUAGAUUCACAUGUUUAUUUUAGGGUUGAAAACAGACAUCUUUCUAUUGGUUGACAUUCUCAGCUCUGAGUCACAAACCUUUUUUUUUUUUUUAAUUAAAAAAAAUUUUAAUAUGGUACAAUUUUGGUGAGUAAAAUAUGUUAUAAAAUAAGAUUUAAUUUCGAGGCAUGCAUAGCUCGAUGAGUUUGAACGCCAUGAUCGAUGUAUAGAUUACAAAAAUGCAUGGUUGACUGGUGAUACUCAUGGUUUUGGGGAGGAAAGAAAGAGAGAAUAAACAAAAUGGUAACAAGCCAAGCAGUAGAGUUUACAGUUGUAGUUUGCUUUUAACUAUUGUGGUUUUGGACUUGCAAUUUCUAGGUAUGAUUAGGGGUGGGGAUUGUUUGGAUUGGAUCAUUAGAAAUAGCCACCACUUUUUGGGAUCUCCUCGUGGCUUAUAUCAUGGCACAUUGACCUUUUAAAUGGAGAAUUAUUGAUAACAUCCACCUGAUGAUACUGUUGGUAUGAGGUAUGAACAUUGUAGCUUUCUCCGUCCUUAUUUUCAUCAUGUUUUACAAAUAACACGACUCAAAACUGACACGAACGUAACGAAUUUAGAUUUAUCGUUAUUUUAGACAAAUACAAAUAGUGUCAAACUUGGUAACCUAAUUUUGACACAAUAAACAAAUUUACUAUGUUAUUAAUUCAAUAGCUAAAAUUAUAGUGUUACGUUGAAAAACUAUGUGUUCAAGUAACGAGUUGUCUUAUUUAAACGAAAUAAGGGAAAACUAGGUAUCUUUUUCCUAUUGGCCAAAAUUUCUUGACUUGUGUUGAUGUGAUGAACAAGCUAUCAAGGGGAUUAACAAGAUAAAAUCAAAUUAACCAUGCAACACAUCCCACUAAUGGGAAACAAAAGGCCAAUUGAACUUUAAUGACUUGCUCCACCAAAUCAUUGACAUAAUGCACAAUUUAUGAGUAAUGCAUGAGCAUUUUCUUUUCCUAGUCAGUGUCAAAAGACAAUAUCAUGGAAAUGGGGAACUUUAUGCACAUCGAAAGGCAUCUUGCGAUGAUAGCAUCCUCCUCUGUAUUCAAAUCUUUCCUUGAAACUUAUCUUGCAAGCCGGCUAUGUUUGUUUGUGAAGCUAUGAUGAGAAAUGUGGCAUUGCGUUACUAUAGUUUUGGUCUUAACAGCUGUAUCUGCUCAGUUUAAUUGAUUGGACAUUGUUACUCAUUAGUGUUGUUUGAUUAGAAGGCAAUAUAGGGUGCCUGAAUAGAAACAGCACCACAGAAAGGGAUCGCGUAGGCCAGAUGACGAAUGAUUAUUUACCCUAAUUAAUUGAUUAUAUUAUUUUUUGUCGGUACAUUAAUCUCUUAAUCUUCCAUAUAAACUAUUGCCAGAAAUCUACUAUCUUUCGGUCUAAUGCUAUUUCUCUUUUCAUUAUUGGAAUAAGUCUCGGUUCAUUAUGUAGAAAACGCUUUCAUAUUGAUGACCAAAAAUAUGUAUCUGUGUCAUGCAAGGAGGAAUAUAAGUGAAUGCAAUUUUCAUUAAUGAACUAUUUCUAAUAGUUGUCUGAUAUGUGUUCAAUUAUGAUUAGUUUAUAAAAUUAAGCUUUGUUUUAUGUGGUUCCGACUGUAAACCCCUCUCUUUUUCCUUCUGCAUGAGUAUCGUUAAUAGGCCUCUCAUAGCCCUUAAAAGUGAAGGGGAGAGGACGCCUAAGCAGGAGUAAGUGAAUGACCUAAUGGGUAUUGUAAAGGGGGCUUGAAUGCCUUUUCAACAAAUGCACCUAUCCACAGUAUAGAUUUCAUCUUCUGGUGAGAGGGGAGUAUCGACCUUAAAUCAUACAAAAUUUAAGAAUUUGAAUGUGAGACAUUUUUUAAUAUUAAAAAAAACGUAUUAUUAUGAACGUGUAAGGAAAAAUGUACAAAUGUACGAUUUGACUCCACCAUUCUUCUUAGCAUGGGUGAAGUCAUAGUGUCGAGGCUGAGGUUCCUCACAUGUGAAAAAAAAGGUUCCAUUUCUUUCUUUUAUGUAUUUCUACAUGUCCUCUGUGAACAAUUUAGAAGUAGAAAAGGUGUCAUUUAAAUCUGCAAAAUGAGGCAUCAUUUUAACCAUUGAAUUGUUUUGAGCAGCCAGAAAUAACUCCUUUUUUUCUUCGUGGGUCUUAAAGUUGACAGAGAGAACAUUGUAAAAUUUUUUAAUUCCUCGUUAUGUUGUUAUUCAAAACCUUCAAACAUCAAAUCAAACUAAGGAGCAGAUAUCAUAUAACGUCACUUUUCUUCCCUUUGGUCUCUCCGAAACCAGAAAAGAAAAGAAAACAGUUGGCAAUGUCAACUGGGCUGCCUGCCUUCGGCAAAGCCUAUGGCUUUUAGGGUUUACUGGUACACACACAGAGAAGCCUUCCCUGACACGACAAUGAAAUUUCCACUAGAUUUUUUGGCCAGGCCACUGCAAUUAUAACACUUGUCCUUCAACCUUUCAUUUUAUUUAACUUGCACUCUGAAAAGUCAAAACCCUCUGAUAAAUUGUCAACUCGAGCAUCACCCUUUUGCAUAGCAGCCAAUUGAAAUUUACCAGGGACAGGACCCCAUUUGCUGUUGCUGCUGCUGUGUUUUACACUUUUACCUAAACCUUCGUCUUUUCAUCAACUUCUUUGAAUUUCACGCUUUUCCCAUCACCUAAUACGUUUAUGUUUUUCUUUUCCCUAAUACGUUUGAAUUUCACUCUUGCGUAAAUGCUAUAUUCAAAUUUGAGAUAUCUUUCAAAAUCGAGAAGAGAAAUACUAUUAGAUCAAUAACUAGUCAAUGAUAACUUUACAAUGUUAAUUAAAAAAGAUUUCAGAAAUCUAUUUUCUUUUUUCCAGUAAUUAUAUUUUGUAGAUAGAUAGAUCAUAGAACUGUGUGCGUGUGCUGUGCGGCAUCUAUGAUCUAAGAUCUCGGUUGUCACGUGAGAAGUGGACUUUUGUCUCAUCUUCUCAGUCCCUAUUUGUCGUCACUCCCAUAUUCCCUCUCUGCCUCUCACUCUCACUGACAGUCUUCCUUCACGAGGACACCAAUCUCUCUCCGCUGACCGCCUCCCUUUCUUUGUUCAGAUCGGUCUGACUCUGAACACCCUUUUACAGUUUACAGUUUACAGUUUACAGUUUCUAUUUUAAUGUAUUUUUCUUUCAACUACUUUUUUCUUGUCUCAUUUUACCUUUUUACCAUCUAAAAUUACAGCGACAGCGACCAAAUGGGCAGUGAGAGCUGCUUCACAUGGAAAUUUUUUGGCAGAAAAGGGUAAAAUGCAUGUGACAGUGAAUGUAGAUUUUCUUUCUAAACAAGGUUUUCUGUGUGGUUGGUAGAAGGUCAAAUCCUGUCCUCAUUCUGUAAAUUUUAUAUGGUUUUUUUUAUUUUUUAUUAUACAGAAUAUUAUAUGUUUCUUUGGAUUCUUUUUAUCUCAUGAUAAUAUUCAGAAGGGUAAAAAAAAAGUAAAAAACACAAACAACAAAGUGGAGUUUUGAUGGGUUCAUUUGAAUUUUUGUUUUGGGUGGGUGUGUGUGUUUCAUUUCCUUGCUAAAUCUCAACUUUACACCAAAUUAAAGGUUCUCACUUUUUGGGGACUUAUGUGUAGAAUAUUACAAAAUUUUUUUUGCUCUGUUGUGGAACAGUAAUCAAUUUAAAAUAUCUGUCAGUUCAUGACUAAGUUUGAUGCGGACAUGAUUAAUCGUGUUCCUUAUGAGCCUAAUUUGGUAGCUGACUAACCAAAUUAGGAUAUUAUUAAAUUUGCUCUGUAGACUCGUGAUGUUAAUUUUUAAUUUAACGUUUUUCCACUGCAAUGAAACAUGUUUUCUGAUUUGAAAUAAGAAAAUUUAAGAAUAUAAGAGAGAAAAGUUGCUUAUAGGAUUGACCAUGAUCUAUUUCAUAGUUUCAGGUAUUAGCUUGCGGAUUGUAACGUUGAAUAUCCGUACUUUUUGAUUCCGUUUGUGUUAAUAAACACACGAAAAGUCUAGAUUAUAAUACAUACUCUAGGUAAGAAAUAAUAUUGUACUAAAAUGGUUCGUUUGGUACACUUUAUUAGAUUCUGGAUAUGAGUAAAUAGUCCAUGUCAGUUGUUUGGUGUCAACUUAUAUUAAUAAUUACAUGCAUUAUUUUACUCAAUCUUUUGCAUUUGUGCAAAGCAGAAUAUGCAGUUUUCUUUUUUAUGAUUUUUUAAUUUCGAAUAUGUAUGCAUAAAAUUUGAGUUUUUCUAUUUAAACCCUGCACUUCUCUUUGUCCAAGUUCUAAGUUCGCCUCAACUUCUAAUUCAAAUUUUCACAAUUUUCUAAGAAAAUCCCACUAUCUUUUCAAACUACCCCUAAAUACACACUCAAUAGGAAAAAAAUAAAAAUAAAAAUAAAAAUAAAAACUCAUCAACCUCACACCCCACACCGCUAUCUUGCCUCUCACCACUAUAAGUUCACCUUGACCUCACAUUACUUAAAGAGAUAAAAACAUUGUUGUCAAAUAUGUAGCAGCAUUGAGAAUGAACUAGGAGGUUUUGUGAAGAGAAAAUAAGAGUAGUAGGUUUCUUGAAUUGAAAGAAAAAAGUAAUCUGAUAAUAGGGGUAGAGGAGUUUAUGUUUUUUUAAACUUAAUAUGAAGAGUGGUGGGUUGUGUGGGGGUGUGUGUAUAGAUGUAUUAAGGUUAAGUAUUUAGUUGGAUAAUCUUUUUUGUCUUUUUACACAAUAAUAAAACUUAAGAGUUUAAUAAUUUAAAUAUUAAGAUGAACAAAGAAAAAUGCAGAAUUUAAAUAGAAAAAUUCUAAAAUUUUCAGUCGUUUGCAUUACAUAUGUAUGAAGUAAUUUUUCAAUCUUUCUUUUUUUCUAUUUUUUUAUUAUAUAAAAUCUUUAUUUUUUUCUAUUAAAUAUUAGUUGGUGAAUUUACUUUACAUUAAUGCAUGCACUGUUUGUACUUGUACCUUUUGCAAUAAAUUUUGACAAUCCUCAAAAGUUAGGAUGACUUUUUUGCAUCUUUGCUGAUAUUUGCUGAUAUGCCCUUGAACCAACCAAACAUCCAGCAAUUCUUAACUCUUUUGUUCUGACUCAUUCACUCACACUUUCCCACUUCACUGAUAUAUAGAAAAAAUUGAGAGGAACACAACCAAGCUCUCUCUCUCUCAGAGUCACCUCCUCCAAUGGCUACCACCUGCACAUUUCCUUUGUUUCUCUCUCUAAUCUCCACAUUCCUCAUUCUCAGUUCAUCAUCUUCUGAGGCAGACAUUCUUCUCACCUUCAAGGCUUCCAUUAAAGACUCUAAAAACUCUCUCUCAAGCUGGUCCAACUCCUCUCUCACUCAUUUUUGUGAAUGGACUGGAAUUACCUGCACAACCACAGCUCCACUCUCUGUGACUUCUCUCAACCUCCAAAGCAUGAAUCUUUCAGGUGAAAUUCCAUCUUCAAUAUGCGAGCUUCCCAAUCUGUCUCAGCUCAACCUUGCUGAAAAUCUCUUCAACCAGCCCAUCCCUCUCCAUCUCUCUCAGUGCACUUCUUUGGAGACUUUGAAUCUCAGCAACAAUCUCAUCUGGGGUACAGUCCUAAACCAGAUUUCUCAGUUUGGUUCCUUAAAAGUGCUUGACUUGAGCAAGAACCAUCUUGAAGGAAACAUCCCACAAGGCAUAGGCUCACUCAGCAACCUCCAAGUUCUCAACUUGGGAAGCAACUUGCUUUCAGGUAGUGUGCCUUCUAUCUUUGGGAAUUUAACUGAGCUAGCUGUUCUUGAUCUGUCUCAAAAUUCAAACUUGGUGAGUGAGAUUCCUACUGAUAUUGGUAAGCUUGUGAAGCUUGAGAAGUUAUUCUUGCAAAGCUCUGGUUUUCAUGGUGAGCUUCCUGAAUCUUUGGUGGGUUUGCAAAGUUUGACUGUUUUAGACCUUUCCCAGAAUAACUUAACAGGUAGGGUUCCUCAGACACUUUGCUCUUCUCUCCAGAACUUGGUGUCUUUUGAUGUAUCUGAGAACAGGCUUUCUGGGCCAUUCCCAAAUGGCAUCUGUACUGGAAAAGGCCUUAUAAACCUCAGCCUUCAUACCAAUGUCUUCAAUGGUUCAGUACCCAACUCCAUUAGUGAAUGCUUAAAGCUAGAGAGGUUUGAAGUUCAGAACAAUUUAUUUUCUGGGGAUUUCCCAGUGGGGUUAUGGUCUUUACCCAAAAUUAAGCUUUUGAGAGCUGAAAAUAAUAGAUUUUCUGGAGAAAUACCUGAGUCAGUAUCAAUGGCUGCUCAAUUGGAGCAGGUUCAAAUAGAUAACAACAGCUUCAGUAGCAAAAUUCCUCAGGGUCUUGGGUUAGUCAAGAGCUUGUAUAGAUUCUCUGCUUCUCUGAAUGGUUUAUAUGGUGGACUUCCUCCAAAUUUCUGUGAUUCCCCUGUUAUGAGUAUAGUAAAUCUCUCCCAUAAUUCACUUUCGGGUCGAAUUCCGGAGGUUAAAAAAUGCAGAAAGCUAGUAUCAUUGUCUUUGGCUGGCAACAGUCUUAAUGGGAAUAUCCCAUCAUCUCUUGGUGAAUUACCAGUGCUAACUUACCUUGAUCUUUCUGAUAAUAAGCUUACCGGUCCAAUCCCUCAGGCGCUUCAAAACUUGAAGCUUGCACUCUUCAAUGUUUCUUCUAAUCAGCUAUCUGGUAGAGUCCCCUACUCUCUUAUUUCAGGCCUGCCAGCUUCAUUUCUUCAAGGAAACCCUGACCUUUGUGGUCCAGGAUUACUCAAUCCUUGUUCUGAUGACCAACCAAAACACCGUUCUUUUGAUCUCACAAUCUUGACAUGUGCCCUGAUCUCUAUAGCUUUUGCUGUUGGAACUUUCAUUGUUGCUGGCGGGUUUAUCGCAUAUCAUCGAUAUCGCAAGCAGAGAACCCAAGUUGGCAUUUGGCGGUCGGUGUUCUUUUAUCCUCUCAGAGUCACUGAGCAUGAUUUGGUGAUGGGAAUGGAUGAGAAAAGUGCUGCAGGAAGUGCUGGAGUAUUUGGUAGAGUUUAUAUUGUAAGUUUACCAAGUGGUGAACUUGUUGCUGUAAAGAAGCUUGUGAAUUUUGGGGUCCAGUCUUCGAAAGCUUUGAAGGCUGAGAUCAAGACCUUGGGCCAGAUCAGGCACAAAAAUGUUUGUGAAAGUUCUGGGUUCUGUCAUUCCGAUGAUUCGAUAUUUCUGAUAUAUGAGUUCUUACAGAAAGGGAGCUUGGGGGACUUGAUCUCCAGACCUGAUUUUAAUUUGCAGUGGAAUGUCAGAUUGAGAAUUGCCAUUGGUGUUGCCCAAGGAUUGGGAUACCUCCACAAGGAUUAUGUUCCUCAUUUACUGCAUAGAAAUGUCAAAUCGAAAAAUAUCCUUCUGGAUGCAGAUUUUCAACCAAAGCUCACAGAUUUUGCUCUUGACAGAAUUGUGGGAGAAGCUGCCUUUCAGUCAACUAUGGCUUCGGAAUCUGCUUUAUCCUGUUACAAUGCGCCAGGUAAGAGAAGUGGAAUUGCAAUGAAUUCUUAGAAUUUUUUUUUGUUUUGUUCCACUACUAAUAUUCUUAUAUGUUCCAAAGCAGUCUUUCUUAGAUAAUUAAAUUAACAUCAUAUCUGUAUCCUUAAAAUGUUCUGUUGGUAAUUGAAGAACAAAUUUUUUAUGACAUUUAUUUGUUGUUUGCAGAAUACAAGUACAGUAAGAAAGCAACUGAGCAAAUGGAUGUUUACAGCUUUGGUGUUGUAUUAUUGGAGCUAGUUACAGGCAGGCAAGCUGAACCAUCUGAGUCUCUCGACAUUGUAAAGUGGGUGCGACGAAAGGUCAACAUUACGAAAGGCGCGGUCCAAGUUAUCGAUCCAAAGAUCACGAAUUCUUCCCAGCAAGAGGUACUUGGAGCUCUAGAAAUCGCUCUCCGUUGCACUUCUGUGAUGCCGGAGAAAAGACCACCCAUGUCUGAAGUUGUGAGAUCACUUCAGUCCCUUGACUCAAGGACUGACAGUGCUGUUAUUGACUUCUCUACCUUUGAGGAACAUUCUGCUUCAGUCUGAACAUUGAAUUACAAGUGACUGCAUUUUUGGUUUCCUUGUAUGUAAAUUAAACUUGGUUUUACAUAUUUACUUCUGAUGGAGGAAAACGGAUAGGGUUGGGCAUGGUUUUUUUUGUCUGUUCAACAGAAAAUGAUUUGGGAUUUGGUUAACAGUAAUGAGAGUUUUACAGUAUGAUGUGAAUGCCAUUAAUUAUGCCCUUGUAAGAGGCUGAGCUUUGCUGCAAAUGCUAACCGAAUCCAGCCCAUUUAAAAUAGUUUAGACUAUUGUUUGUAUUAAAUAAGAAUAAAAAUAAUCGUGUUUGGUUCGAAUUGUGGAAGCACAAUCAGUUGAUCAACCUAUUAAUAAUGCAGAAUCCAGAUUGGUUGAUGGGGAGGGGAGGGGGGCCGUGAUGGUGGCUGAUGCAAAAUCAAGUUUAAGAGAUGGAGUCUUAUCUAAGAGCCUCGGAUAAGGCCUUCAUUAUAGAAUUCUUGAUUAUUGUGUGCGUGUUCUUGUAAUGGAGCCGCGCACUCUGCCUAGCCUGUACAUGCUAUAGGCCUGGCCUGAAUUUAGCAAUUGGUAGAGAUUCGAAUUGGGCCACCAACUCCCAAAUCUCCACUUCGCUGCACAAAACAACUUACAUGAACAUACACAAGAGACCAAAUCCUUAGCUUCGGAUUCGACAAUGAACCUGUUAAAAACCCAACUAGUAGCCAAAUUUUCAAAUUGGAAGCAUUGGAAAUUUUCAAACUGAAAUAAUUAUGAUGAGGAUGCAACAAAAGUAAGGACAUUUUCGUACUUCACUAAGUUACCAAGUUAGUUUUUCCUCUUCUUUUUCUUAAUGGAGAAGAAGGACAAAAGCUUUAAAAUGCAGGGUGGAAAAAUAGCUGCAGAACAAAAAAUGGCAAGCAGUUUUGUAUUUAUUACCACAACUGCUUACGCAAUAUAGAAUAUCGGUUCUUAAAUGUCUCAUUACAUUUUUUCAUGUCUAGAGCACUCCGGAAAAAUUAUAAUUUUCUUGAAUAUUAGUGAAUAAUACAAAUCUUCUGGGGUUAGAGAGCCUAUUACUGAUGCUCUUAGAGGGUAAAUUCCGAACAUUUUCAAUCCAACGGUCACAUUUCUUGCAUGCAUAUUCCGACAAUAUAAGCUCCUCGAAGUGAAACCCAGUGGCAUCGGUAACUCUAAAACCAGUGAUGAUUUGCAUACACAUUUAAGCAUGCACCAAAAAGAAUCAUACAUUUGUUGAUAUGAAAAGAGGGCAGUUUCUAAAUCACCUCAAGACCAAAUUAAUUAAUUUGCUAUCAAACCAAAACCGGAAGAAAAACAGCACCAAAAGUUCAAAUUGGAAGCAGUGGAUUGGUGAGCUUGUAUAUAUCUUGUUGACAUUUGACCAGAAACGUUUCAGAUAGCAAAACGUUGACAUGAUUGAAUGCAUGAAGCUAUCCACCUGUUAAUAUUGCCAAAACGACAUCAAAUGAAUAAAACCUGAGGAGGGAUUGCAAUUUACAGACCACCAAAUGAAUAAAACCUGUUGCGCAUGCACAACAAUUUGGCUUACACCUUGCACACACUGGGCUGGUAAUGCCUUCAAUUUUGCUUUACUUUCCUCUUUUCUCUUUCUUUUAUUGGUUUCACUUUCCCUUUUCCUUUUCUUGUUCAAAGUACACUACCGUUGCCUAUGUAACACAAUCGAAAUUUCUAGACCAAUUCCUCAAUUUUCAGUCGGUUUAUUUAUCUACUGUUUUGUGUUCUCAUUUCUCAGUUUGAUAGGAUUGUGAAGGUUUAGUUUGCUUUGAAGAGAGAGAGAGAGAGAGAGCCACAAAAGAAGAAAGGCAGGUAAUGCUCUAUCAAGAAUCAACUCACAUACAAAAUACAAAUAGUCUAAUAUUAUGAUGAGAUUUAUCUUUUUUCCUUUUGAUGAUGAAUUUCCUAUAUAUAAAUCACUACCGAUUAGGCAGAGGCUUAUGAGUUGGCUCUUCAGCAGGUAAACAAAUUUGUUCAGCACUGAGGUGAUUUACUAGAUCUAAGAAUUUCCAAAUCCUUGAAAGUCAUCAUUUCUUCAAAGAACCAAGGUGAUAGAGUACUAGUGUUUUCAUGAUUUGGUCAUGGUGCCCAUUUCACCUUAAUUAUAACCAGAUCUUGAACUUCUCAUGUAUUUUGCUACUACCCAUCCCCACUUUCCUCUCUGGUUACAAUAACGUCUGCAGUUAAGAGUUAAAGAUUUAGGAAUUGAAAACAAAUAGAUAUGAAAACACAAACUGAGAAGUGAAAUAUUGUUUUAAAUUUUAAGAUGUUUCGCGCCAAUCGAGUUCAAAUUUGUUUAUCCAUCUUAUAUAGGUAAUUAUAGAAUUUUGGCGCGCAAUAUGUUUAUUUUAUAUAUCUACAAUGUGGAAAAGAAACUCGUAAUCGUUAGCUUAAAGUGGUGUAAAAUGAGAUUUUUUUUUAAAUAUUUUAGUUUAUUAUUAUCUUACUUUUUGAAGUUAACGGUAUGGUGAUUAACCUAAUCCCACAUGUAUAUGUUAUAAUUUUCAUUUGUUUAGGUACCAAAUAUUCAAUACCCUUUCCUCGUAGUGUCGAACUUUAAUAAAUAAAUGAAAUGUGAUGAACCGUUAUUUAGUGGCCAGACCUCCUGGAAUUUUAUUAAAAUCUAACGUUGUGUGUUAGACAUAUGUAAGAAUUCCUCAUGACCAUAACACUUAGGGAUUGAAUCUAUUUGUUAAAAAAAAAGCAUUACUUUUUUAUAUUAUUUAUUUCGAAUGAAAAUUUCAUUCAAAGGCUGCUUGUAUUGGUGUAUGUAUUAUUUUUUAUUAUAAUAAAUAUUGUUAUAUAUAUCAAAAAUGCUAGUUAUAUCACAUUUAUAUAUCACUUUGUGUACCACCUCUUUAAUAAAAGUGGGUCCCAUUGUAUUGGUGGGUUCCACCUCUAUUAAAAAGGUGGUACACAAAGUUGUACCCAGAUAUGAUAUAACUAGCAUUGCUCAUAUAUAUAUACAUGUUUAAACAUAUAUGCAUAUAUAGAAAUUUUUAUAUAGUAAUACUUUUCAAUUCAAUGUUUUCCCUAAUUUGUUGCAUACCUUUGGAUAUAUUUCUAUUCUUGUUCAUUUCCUACCAACUGUUUGCUAAAUUGGUUUUGUUGAUUAAUUAUGUCACUUAAUGACUAUCCAUUACUAGAGCUUCAUGGCAUUAGAAGUAUAGAAAUGUGAAAAAUAUAUAUUAUCAAUUAUAUCACUUAAAGUUAAGAUGUAGUAGAAAAUACAUAGAAAAACAAAAGAGAGAAGAUUUCGCGUGUGUCACAGCCCUCGACUGCCCACGGUUAGUGCCAUUCGACUACCAGUGCAGUGUGGUAACAUUUUGGCUGUAUCACUACAGUGCAGAGAUAAUUGUUGGUGUGCUCUUUCUUUUAGUUUUUGAAAUUUUUUAGGUUCAUAAAAUCUAUUUGUGUAUUAGGUAUGAUGUUUUAGGGGACUUAUGAGUUUAAGAUAUAGAUAGAUAUUAUAAAUUAUGAGAUUGAGGUGUAUUACUUAAUUGUAUUGCAAUAUCGCAGUAACAUUUAGGUGUUAUUAUAAUGGAAUAACAAAUCGUGAAAUAGAUAGAGAUCGUUGUGUCGACCGUCCCAUUGUUUCAGAAAUUCUUUUUUAAUUUUUCAAAAGUGGUGGCCUAUUUGUUUUUGGAUAGAAAAAUAAGUUAUAAAUUAUUUUUUAUUACUCGAAAAACUAAAACGUGUGAUCAUUGGGUCUAAGAGGUGCAAAUUGAGACGCCUUUUGAGGGUGUGUUGGUAGCCUUUCCUUUAGUUCAUUUUGUUGUCAUAUUGUCCUUAAAGUUUUUUAGCCAUUGUAAUUAAUUUGGAUUUGUACUUUCAUGUUCAUGUGUUAAUUUGGAUUCUAAGAUGUAAAAUAUAUAUAUAUAUAUAUAUAAAGGCAUAAUCCACUAUUUUUUAAUGGGCCUCAUUCAAGGAAAAGGCCAUUAAAAGAUAAUUUAUAAUUAGUGGCAGUGAAAUCUCUUCACUUGUUUGGAGAAGAUCAAAUAACUUUAGCAUUAUGGUAAUGCUAUAUGAACUCAUGUACUAUCAUAAUGCAUUGUUUAUCGUUCAAUAUUGUUUGGAUAUGCUAAGCUAUUUCCCUAAUUAAUUCUUAAGUUUUUCUUCUUCUUUUUUGUCUGCAGGAAGUACUCUUAGCCCUUUCAACCAUGAACUCGAGUGACACCGUCUAUUUUUCUUCUCCUUUUUCGACUCAUUCAAUUAACUCUGAGUCUAGGAAUUACUCUCCAAUGUUCUUGAAUGAUUUUGUCAUUCAUCCAAACCAAAGUCAUGGUCUUUCAUUUCCGAUGCAAUCGAAAAACUUUGAUGCUAAUGAGCUGAAUGAUGGUUUUAAUAAUUUUCAUAACAAUAAUUCAGAAGUAAGGCAAAGUCACCCUAUGAAAUUCUAUCCUCCAUCCAUGCUUGAAAGUUCCUUGUUAGAAGCACCCAAUUACUACAAUAAUUUUCCCAUUUCCAACCAUCCAUUUUCAUCAUCAUUGCAUGAUAAUGGUUUUACUGGUGGAAACUACCAAAACUGUAAUUGUUUCAACAUGUAUGAGGAGCCACUUAUAAGGUAAUCCAAGCUUUCUUUUUUAUAAAUUUCAAUACUAUAUUUCAAAAUUUUAAUUAAUUAUGUUAACGUAUUAAUUUAAGUAUUGUUCCACAAUGAUUAGUGACAGUUGCAGCGAUGAAGAAGACAAUGGUGGAAAAAAGAAAUGUAAACGUCACAGUAAAAGCAAGCACACAUUUGGCCAGAGAAGCUCUAGUUUUCGUGGGGUUACAAAGUAUGUUUAUGUUUGUUUGUUUUGUAUUGUUAUAAUCAAUUACAUCUCCAUAAGGUAAUUUAAAUCAUCAUUAGCUAUUGCACACACACUUCCACAUGCUUGUCAAGGCACUUUUGCUACUACACUUUCAUGAAUAAUUGACUUUCUAUACACAUUAGCCAACGGGUUUAACCUAAUGAAAAAGGGUAUUGACUUGCACACCAGUGGUCUCAAGUUCGAACCCCCUUGUCAUCCUGGCAGUAUGUGUGAGAAACCCCCCUCCCCUUAUAGUUUAGACACAUUAACUUGCUAUAUGUACAGGUACGUAGGGGGACGUUUUGAAGCAUUUCUAUGGGAUAACACUAAACCAGGAAAGAAAGGCAAGACAGGUACCAAAAUUACUUAACUAUCUAUCUCCCAUCUUUUGUUUACAAAUCAUGCGUCAUCCAAAAUUAUCCGCUAACAUUUUUUUUUAAUGUUUCUUCUUGGUGCCCUCCAUUCACAAUAAGACAGUUUAUAUUGGUGAGUGAACUUCUUGCAAAUCAUGUCUUUAAUUAGACACAAACCAUAACUUAGAACCUUUGCAAGUUAACUUAAAGCAAUGAAAAAACAGAAGUAGAGUUUUCUUAAGAGUUUCUGCUUAAUUUGGCAGGUGGAUAUGAUACAGAAGAGGAGGCUGCCAUAGCUUAUGAUAUAGCUGCUCUAAAGUUAUGGGGAAAGUCUGCUACAUUAAAUUUUCCUGUAUGUUAAUUACUACAUUGGCAUUAAUAUAUAUUUGUGAUUUGGUUAUUGUUUAUUUUGGAUCAUAUUCCCCUUGUGACUCCUACAUAUAUCUAUUGUUGUAGUUGAGGAAAUACAGGAAAGAUUUGAAGAAGAUGAAGCGUAUGAGCAAAGAGGACUAUUUUAACCACAUUAGAAGGUAAUAGUGUUAAUUAAAAAGAAAAGAAGAAUACUUGGUAUUGCCCUAAUUAAUUCAGUUUUUGCUUGUUACCCUAGUUAAUUAUUCCUCAUUGCAUCUCAAUUAAUUAGCUGUAUCUUAAACUUGUCAAAUUACAGAACAAGUGCUAGCUUUUCCAAGGGCUUAUCUAGUUAUCGGGGAGUUUCAAGGUAUUAUAACUACUAAAUCCACCUCUCUCUCUCUCUCUCUCUCUCUCUCUCUCUCUCUCUCUCUCUGACAUGCUUGAAACAGGAACUCGGACAACAAGAGAUGGCAAGCUAAAGUAGGGAAAGGAAGAGGGUGCAAAGGCAUUUAUCUGGGCACAUUUGGUAACUCCUAUGACCCUUUAUGCCUUUAUCCAAUGACUAAUGAUUUGAAGAUCAAGAAUAGUAGACCACAUCCAAAGAUAUUAGAAUUGAGCUAAAAUUAAAAAUCAUAUCAGCAGUUCAUUUCAACUAUACUUGAACUUAAUUAAUUGUCUUACUUUGAAUUAAUGACAAUUAGAUACUGAAGAGGAAGCAGCCAGAGCCUAUGAUGUUGCUGUAAUAAGGAUGAAAGGCAUAACAUCGGUUACAAAUUUUGACCAAAGUGAGUAUGAUGUCAAAGGCAUUCUUGAGUGCGAAAUGCUUCCAAUCGGAAAGGGUGCUUCAAAGAGGGUACGGUGGUCUUCAGUUGAUGAUGUCCUUAAAAAGGGAAGAAACACUAAGAAGAAGAAACCCAUGUUACAACUAAAUAAUGGUGAAAGCUCAGGCAUCUCUAAGCUAAUCCCAACAAUUCCCCAAUCCUCUUCAUCAUUUGAACCAAUAACUCAUCAAAUCCUACCAACCCCCCAUAAUUCAAACCCCACUCAAUAUGUAGACCCCUUCCUCCGUUAUGCUUUCCAAGAUACUGAUAUCCUCCGGUACUCCAACGUUAACCCUAGCUCUCAAGUUCCUCUUCCUGGAUACCAAAACCUUAACUUUCAAACAAACCCUAAUUUCAAUAAUUGGGCUGGUACUUUUGGUGGAGGUGAUAAUUCAGAGGCAAACUUUCUGACAAACCCUAGUUUCAACAACUGGGUUGGUACCUUUGGUGGAGGUGAGAAUUCAGAGGGAAAUGGAAUCAAUGUUGGAGGGUCUCAAAUUUAUGGAACCUUGGAUCCAACAAUGGCACAAAUUGGUGAUGAUAAUUCAGGUUACAAUUUGGGCAGGGGAAUUGAGCUCAUGGAGCCAUUGAACCAGUUUGCACCCAUCAUACCACCACAAAACCAAGAGUUUGAUCAGCUAGAUCAGUAUAGCAGUGAUGCCUAUGGCCAAUGCAACAAUGAAAGCUCUAGCUCCUCAUACCUUCUUCAAGACUCCCUGCAGGUUCCAAAUUAUCCUCAAACAAUUGACCCUACUUUUCUUCCUGGGUUGACUAACGACCUUGAUCCAGGCCCUAGCUAUGUUGGAGAAUCUUACGAUAGUGUGGUUCCCGAGGCAAUUUUGGAGGCGAUGCUGGCGGAGACUAAUGAGAGUUGCUGCUGUGACAUCAUGCGUGAACCUCUUACUGUUUUUGAUUAUGAAGUACCUGAUAAUGUGGAGGGAAACUCAACAGUGCUACCAAGAAAUGCAGAAAAUAGAAAUAUUGUUGAAGACUUUGGGGUGGACGAAUCAGCUGCAUUGGACACUUACUUUCCUUCUAGCUGGCUGGAGAUGUUCUUGAUGACCAUAUAGACGGUUCUGAUUGCAAUGUCUAAGGUGCAUUGCACUUAUCUGUUGCAGGAGUAAAAAAAACCCAUCAAUUUCUCAAGUUGCCAAACUACUUUACUCCCUUCACAGAAAGACCCACAGUUUCAGUUAUAGACUUUUCUUAGAUUUGAGGAACAUUUAUUUUCGGUCUCAAGCUUGAAUUACAAAUGACUGCAUUUUUUUUGUCUUUUAAGCAAAUUGAACUUGAUUUUGCAUAUUCUCUUUUGAUUGGGAAGAAAAAGAUAGGGUUGUUGAAAUCCACAAUUUGGGUUUUAGCCCAAAAAAUCUCCCCUAAUGCAUGUAUUUUAAAGAGUGAAAAUUUGGCUUAGCAGUUGUUUGAGGCUAUAUUAUUUCACUCUAAUUUUUGCAUGGAUUGGAAGAGAAGUAGAGCCCAAACUGACAAAAAGUAGCCCACUAAGGCCAUCUCCAGCAAUGGGCUAAACCCACAAAUUUAGUCAUUUCAUACCCAAAAGCCAUCUCUAGUAAAUGGGCUAAAUGUGCCUUGUUAUUGGAUCAAAACCCAGUCGGAGGGCAAAGAAGCCAAUGUAGGGCCAAAUUGAUCCUUAGGUGGGCUAUAUCCUUUGUUUUUAUAAAAUUAAAAAAAAAAACUAAAAAUGGGUUUUUAAAAUAUUUUUUUGUUUAUAAAUACCAACCUCAUUUCUACAUAAUUUUCCGCGUUCUUUUCAUCCUUCUAUCUAAUUUCCCACCAUCUUUUCAUCAUUCUUUUUACAUACUAUCCUAUCCUUCCACGUAAUUUCCCACAAUUUUUGCAUCCUCUACAUUUUAUAUAUCCUUCCUCUUUUCCAUACAAAAAUUACCCCCUCAUUGUUACGAAAAAAAUGGCUGCCACUUCGAAAAAAGGCGUAAAUUGGACUCGAAAGGAAGAUGAAGCUCUUUGCAAGGGUUUCUUGAAAGUCAUUGAAGAUAAUAUACACGGUACUAGCCAAGCCUCAGACGGUUUUUGGACGCAUGUUUCUCACAAAUAUUACAAGCUUUAUGAAGGCACCAUUGAAGCGACCCUGAGAAAUCUUGAAAGUUGUGCAAGUUUAGGUGGUAGAAGCACAUAUAUCCAAGCUUGAACAAAUGGUAUCAAGCAUUGAGAAAAGAGAGGGGAGACAUGCUAGCAGAGUAGAACGCCUAUAGGAGGCAGCGAAGAAGAAGAGGAGGCACGAAGAUAUGGUCCAACAAAGGCAAGAGGAGAUGGACAAGAGGAACAUGGCUAGAAUAACCACAAACAUGACUCCAACUAAUAAGGAGUAUUUCAACGGAAAAAAGAGGGAAAUUCAGAACCGCUUCAGCUUACAUGAGUUGUUUCCGAAUGCAGUUUCAACGUCCAAUUAUCAUCCUACAAUGUCGGGAGAUAUGAUUAUCUUUUUAAUUUUUUAGUUGUUGUUUCUAAAUUAAUGUCUUGUUGUUUAUAAAUUCAUGUUUUAGUUUUAAUUUUUAAAUUAAUGUCAAAAAUCCUAUCAAAAAAUAUUUUUAUAUUCUAAAAUGAAUUUUAAAUAGGGUCUAAGUAGUACUUUAAUUAAAUUAAUCAAUAUAUUUAAAGAAUAUACUAAAAAUUAAUAAAAUAUUGAGGGGGCUAUGAUUUAGCCAUGUACUGUUGAAGACAGUAAAAAUAUAGCCCAUCACUAUUCCUUAGAAAACUAUAAAUGAUGGGCUAAAUUUAUGGGUGGGCUAUGUUUAGCCCUCCACUGUUGGAGACGGCCUAAGCAUACAUAUCGAUAAUGUUAUCUGUUCUAAGUGAAACAAAAUCAAGUGACAUGCAUUGUUCUGAACCCCCUAAUAAUUUGCAUACAUUUGUAAGAUGGAAUUUCUAAAUCUUAAAUAGCAAAGAUAAAGUCCUCAUUAUCUCUACUGACCAGAUUAAUUAACUUGCCAUUUAACCAAAACCGUAAUAAUGAAGAAAACCCGACCAGUAACCAAAAUUUCAAAUUGGAAGCAGUGGAUUGGUGAGCUUAUGUCCUCUUAUCAUUUGACCAUGGUAAAGUUGACAGGCUUUUCAAUGCAGGUAGAUUUCCACCUGUUAAAGAUGCCAAAACGACAUAAUUGUAGAAUUUAAUGCCGAAGGGCUAAAUAAGGUAGCAAAUAUCACCCUCUAUUCAACACUUGCAAUUUAGAGCACCUCCAAAUGUGGCUCAUUCUCACACAUAUCAUUUAAACUUGUUGAGCAUGCAAAACAAUUUGGGCACAAAUCGCUUACACUUGCUCACUGGUUUGCUUUACCUUUUCCUCUUUUCUUUAUUUCUUGCUUCACUUCCCCUUUUCCAUGUUGUUCCAGCCACUUCAUUAUCGUUCCCAUAUGUAACAUCAUCAAAAUUCUACACCUUUUUUGGAAUUGGGUUUACUCAUCUACUGUUUUCUGCUCUCAUUUCUCAAUUUUGCAGGGUUGUGAAGGUUUAAUUUGCUUUGAGGAGAGACAAUCACAGCAGAAGAAAGGCAGGUACUAUCCCAUCAAAUCUAUAUGUCCUAUACUGUUUUCUGAAUUGGUCACGGAGCUUAUGCCACACCUUAAUUAUGACCACAUCUUGAACUUCUUUUUGGCUUUUGUUGGAGACCACAUCUUGAACUACCCUUCGAGAUUUCAGUGUUCAUUGACAACCAUUUUUGCACAUAUAUACACUAUUAGUUAAGAGUUUAGGAUUUAGGGACUAAAAACAAAAAUACAGACCGAGAAUUGAACGGGAUUUGUAAUAUAAGAUGUUUGGCGCGAAACCUAUGUAUUCAUAUUUGUUUAUUCCUAUAUAGAGUUUUGGCGCGCAAUAUGUUUUUAUUAUCAAUUUUCCAUAUGUACAACUUUAAUGUCAUCUUAUUUUUUAAAGUUAACGGUAAGAUUCUAGAGUGCUUAACCUACUUCCACGUGUAUAAGUUAUCAUUUUUAUUUAUUUUAUCUAUCAUGUAUUCAGUGCACUUGACAACUUUGUCAAACUUAUAAGAAAAAGUGUGACAAACUAAUAUUUUUGGUGCAACCCUACAUAUAUAUUUUUUUAAGUGCAUAUUUAACAAUAAUUUAUAUAUAUUAUUCAUGUUAAAUGAAUGAAAAUUUUUCUGGUUGUUUAUAUUAGUGGUAGUGCUAUUUUUAUUAUUAAAAUAAUUGUUGCUAAUGCAUAUAUAUAUAUAUAUAUAUAUAAAUAUAUACACUUGUCAAUUGUACUCUCUUAUUUUUGGCAUUCAAUUAAUUCCCUAAUUUUUGGCAUUCCCUUGGAUAGAUUUCUUAUUUCGUUUAAAUCCUACCUACCUACUUUGUAUGUGCGCAUUGUGUCACCAAUAAUCUUCAAAGAGCUAAGGUGGUUUGCUAAAUUUGUUUUAGUGCUUAAUUAUUUCACUUAAUUACUAUCUAUGUCUAGAGUUUCAACGUGCACUUGAUACGCAAAUGUGAAUAUAAAAGUAUAAUCAAUCAUUCCCUACCCCCUAACAACAUCUCAAAAUACUUAGAAAAACAUUAAUGUAUCAAAGAAAGAAAAGGGAAAGAAUGUCAAGUGUUACGUUGAUGUUUUACUUAAGGAAGUUUGAGGUUUCACCCCAAAAUUAAUUGGCAAUGGGUGAAGUAGCCAAACUCUUUAUAAACCCAGGCUAGGUCCUUUAGGGCCAAUUUCAUAACUAUUUCAAUUUUAGUUUUUAGUUUUCAUUUUUUGUGCUAGAGUAAAGAGGAAAAUAAGAGUGAGAUAUGGGAGUGAGGGUGAGAUUGAGAGAGAGGAUGAGAGGGGAGGAUGAUAGGGAGGAGUAACAAAAGUGAAAACAAAAACUUGAAAGUGAAAACAAUUUCAAAUAAAUUUCAGUUUUUAGUUUUUGUUUUCACUUCUGUUACUUCUUCCUCUCAUCCUUCCCUCUCAUUUUUCCUCUCAUUCCAUCUUCACUCUCAUUCUCACUUCCAUUUUUCCUCUUUUCCCUCUGUUCCCUCUAUACUCUAGCACAAAAAAUGAAAACUAAUUGAAACGGUUAUUCAGGCCUUUAACCUUUCAAUGUGGGACAAACACUUUCAACAUGCCACCGCACGUGCGGCAAACUUUUAAGCCUAACAUGUGGACAACUCAUAUUGGAUGACAUGAGAGCAUGACCACACACGCCCCACAAAUAUGGUGAAUUUUUAAGCCUUAUACGUGGACAACACAUAUUGGGUAACGUGGAAGCACGUGUGACCUUUAGGCUUAACACAUGAAGCCUUGCUCUGAUACCAUGAAGGAAGUUGAGGUUCCACCCCAUAAUUAAUUGGCAAUAGUAGAGAGUAGCUCAACUCCUAAUAAACAUAGGCUAAAUCCUUUAACUUUUCAAUAUGAGACAAACACUCUUAACAUUUACAAACACACUUAACUUUUCUGUAACAAUUUGCGGGCUGAACUGCAGUCCAGUGACAAUUAUUGGUGUAGUAUUUGUGCUUUAUUUUUUAUUUUUUAAGGGGAUUUGUGGGUUUAGAAUAUAGGCCUUAUAGAAUGUAUAUGAAGAAGUAUAAAAAUAGUACUGUAAUAACAAUGUGUCAUUGGAGUGUAAUAUAACAACAACUAUAUGAAGGAAAAGCACAUUCGAAGACUAUUUAUAAUUAGUGGCAAAUGCUAUUUCUACACUUCGUGUAGAAGAGCAAAUAACUUUAGCAUUAUGGCAAUGUUAUUUGAACUCCUCAAGAUUUUUCCUUUAAAUGGUGCUUAGUUUAUACUUUUACUUAUAUGCAAUUGUCAGUCAACUUUUUUACCUAUGAUUUAGUAUUGUUGGGAUAUGCUAAGCUAAUUCCUUAAUUAAUUUUUAUGUUUUUUUUUAUGUUUUUGUUUUUGUUUUUGUUUUUUUGCAGGAGGUAGUCUUGGCCCAUUUUCCCAUCAAGUGUGUACUAUGAAUUCAAGUGGGAACUUCUGUUUUCCUUCUCCUUUGUCGGGUAAUUCAAUUAACUUUGAGCCUAGGAGCUCUUCUCUAGGGUUCUUGAAUAAUUUUGUCAUUGAUCCUAACCAAAUUCGUGUUCGGUCACUUCCCAUACAAUCACCUGUUUUAUUCUAAUGAGUUAUAAAAUGAGGGUUUUACUAAUUUUUCACAAUAAUAAUACUUCAGAAGUAGUGGAAAGUAACCAUAUGCAACACAAUUCUCCAUGGAUACUUGAAAGUUCCCCAGUUGAAGCGCCUUAUUGCAAUACUUUUCCUUCUGCGAACUACCCAUUUUCAUCAUCAAUGCAUGUGGAAAGUGAUCAGGAUUUUAUUGGUGAAAAGAACAGAAACGACAAUGGUAUCAACAUUUUUGAAGAUCCAUUUAUGAGGUAAUAAUCAAAACUUACUUUUUAAUUUACAAUCCAUAUUUCAAAAGUUCAAUUAGGUUAAUUAAUCUAUUUAUGUUUUGUUCCACAAUGGUUAGUUACAAUUGCAUCAAUGAAGAAGACAAUGGUAGAUGUGGAGAAAAACCGACGGAAAGGCAACGUAAACGUCACUAUAAAAAUUCGAAGAACAAAAUUGUCCCAAGGGGUUCUGCAUUUUAUGGAGUUUCAAGGUAUGCUUAUACUAGUUUGUUUUGUUUUGUUAUAAUCCAUAUGUAAAUUUGAAUAAUUAUAUAUAUUUUCUACCACCUGUUCAUUAAGAACAUCUCAUAAAUUUAACUAGAUACAUUUAUAAUAUUUUCCAAAGAAAAAUUGUUCAUACGUACUAUUUUUCUCAGUAAUAUUUAUUGGCUCCGAAGAUUUAGAGAGAGAUUUUAAUAAUGAUAAAGAGAACAAUCAUAUCGCAUUACUCAACUACACCAGUUAAGGGAGAACUACACCAAUACUACAUGAAUUAUAGGCCUUGAGACAAUUUGUCGUCUAAAUGUCCACCUCAACUAGAACUUUGUUGUAACUUACUUCAUCUAUUGAACCGUAUUUGGACGUGGGAAAAAUUGUUACUCGCCAUUUCUAAACAGUCAUAUGCGAACCUCGUGAAAUUUUAUGGCCAUAACCCCGUGCAAUUUUAUGGCUGAAAUAAAAGAACGGAGUUAGUUGCAGGUAGCACAUUGCAACAAAUUCUAAUUGGGAUGAAAAAUUGACUCAAUUAUAACAUAAGUGAUUUUGCUUUUAAAAACAAGUAGAGGAGAGAUCACUUCGUUGAGAAGUGUGUGUGCCUUUAGAUAAGUGAGUAGAUAGCCUUCUUCAUGUAUUCAACGAAUACCUUAGUUGCUUAAAUUUAUAUACAUUAUAAUGUGACGAAAAGCACUCUCCAAUGAAUUUUGCAAAUGUAUAUAUACAUAACAAUGAACUUGCUAUAUAUACAGGUACACAGGAGGUCGUUAUGAAGCAUUUCUGUGGGAUAACACUGAACCAAAAAGUAAAGGCAAGACAGGUAUACCAACAUUAUUUCAUUAUCCAUUUCCAUCUUUUGCUUGCUAAUCAAGCAAUAACAUCUAAUUUAUCAACUAACUUUUUUCUUCUUCUUCUUCAUGUUUCCUCCAUCGACGACACGAUACCGCAGUUUAUAUUGGUGAGUGAAUUUCUUGUAUAACUCUUUAGUUUUAAACUUGAAAAGUUGCUGGCUUGUCAAUAGUUUCUUCUUAAUUUGGCAGGUGGAUUUGAAACAGAAGAGGAGGCAGCUAGAGCUCAUGAUCUAGCUGCUCUAAAGUUAUGGGGCGACUUUGCUACAUUGAACUUCACUGUAUGUUAAAUACUACAUUUGACAUCAAUAUGUUUUUGAUUUGCUUAUUGUUUAUUUUGAAUCAUAUUCCUCUUCUAAUGAUUUACCCUCCAUAUCUCUAUAUAUACUGUUGUAGCUGAAUGAAUACAAAAAAGAGUUGGGGGAGAUGCAGGGGAUGUCCAAACAAGACUAUUUUCUCCACAUUCGAAGGUAAACAGAAUAUGAGAGUAAGAUCUAUGUCUGAAUUUCUACAACUUAGUGGGGUUCUUCACUCGUGCUCUACUUUCUCGCUCUAAUUCGUCUUCAUAUGCCCGAAAAUUGCAUCCUUUUAUAGGCGAAAGACAUCCACAUCUUCCUUCUUGUUAGUAAUGGCCCCAAUUACUUGAAACUGAAUUGGUCUUCAUACACCAUUUAAUCCCAGUCGUAACUAGUAUAUGCUUUUAAAUGUUGCUUCUUCAUUUCUUUCUCUACUAAUUUAGCUGUAUCUUAAACUUGCCAUAUUUCAGAACAAGUGCUACUUUUGCCAAGGGUUUAUCUACAUAUCGUGGAGUGUCAAGGUAUUAUGACUAAUCCUCUCUCUCUCUCUCUCUCUCUCUCUCUCUCUCUGUGACAUAGUCAAGCCUUGAAACAGGAACUCGUACCAUAAGAAAUGGCAAGCCAGAUUAGGCAAAGGGGGAGGGCUCAAGGGAGUUUACCUGGGUACAUUUGGUAAGAUCCUAUAUGACCCUUUAUGCCUCAUUUUAUCUAAUGAUUGAUUUGAUGAUCAAGACCACAGCAAAAGAUGUUACAACUUAGCUACAAAAGAAUAUCCACAGUUGGCUUUAACUACUUGAGCUGAAUUAAUUAAUCAUUUUGCCAACCAACCAGCAACUGAAGAGGAAGCAGCAAGAGCUUAUGAUGUUGCCGCGAUAAGGAUGAAGGGCACAAAAGCAGCCACAAACUUUGAUCUAAGUCAAUAUGAUCUCAACAGCAUUUUUAACAGCGCAAAGCUUCCAAUUGGAAAGGGUGCUUCAAAGAAGUUAAGGUGGUCUUCAGUUGAUGAUGUCCUAGAAAACAGAAGAAGCAGUGGUGCUAAUGAGAAAAUUCCCAUUUUGCAACGAGAUGAGGAUUAUAGCACAGGCAUCUCUAGGCUGAGCUCAACAACUCAACCAUCAUCCUCAUUUGAGCCAACAAUUCAUCAAAACCAACCAACCCCCAAUAGUUCAAACCUCAAUCAAUAUAUAAGCCCUUUCUCCCAUCAUGCCCUCCAAAACACUGAUAUCCAAUAUAACCAACUUCCCCAGGACUUCAGUGUUAACCCUAGCUCUCAAGUUCAUGAUGUUUCUGGAUGUGAAAACCUUAACUUUCAGAGAAGCCCUAGUUUAAAUCAGUGGGUUGGUACUUAUGGAGGAGGUGAUAAUUCAGAGGGGAGCGGUUUCAGUGUUGGAGGGUCUCAAAUUUAUGGGAGUUUGGAUGGUGAUCCAACAAUGAGACAGUCUGUUGAUAGAAAUUCAUCAGGUUUCAGUUUUGGCAGGGAUGUUGAGAAUCAUGAGUUUGAUCAGUUACAUCAGUAUAACAGUGAUUCCUACAGCCAAUACCUCAACCAAAACCCUAGCUUCUCCUCCCUUCUUCAAGACUCCAUGCAGGUUCCUAAUUAUCCUCAAACAUUUUACCCCACUUUUCUUCCUGGGUUGACUAACCUUGAUCCAGGCGCUACCUAUGUCGGAGAAUCUUCCCGUAGCGUUAGUCAGGUUCCGGAGGUGAGUUUGGAGGCCAUGUUGGCGGAGACUAAUCAGAGUUGUGGCAAUGGCAUCAUCAAUGAAGUGUUUUCUCUUGAUCAUGAAGUACCUGUUAAUAUUAUGGAGGGAAACUCAACAGUACAACCAGGAUAUGCUGAAAAUGGAAAUUUUGUUGAAGACUUUGGGGUGGAGAAAUCGGCUGGCUUGGACCUUGAUGAUGACUUUCCUUCUAGCUGGGUGGAGAUGUUCUUGAUGACCUUAGAAGGUUCUGAUUGUCAUGUGUGAAAGGUAGCUUGGUAGGCAAGAGUAGAUGGUGUGACUUCAACUGGGAAGAUAAGUGGAAAGAGUAUAAGAAACCCAUUGAUGAUUGAACAACCCGCUGAUAUUUUUAAUUUGAUUAAGACUAGUUUUGUUUGAAUUUAUCUUAGUGGACCCGCUAUUUUGCAAUGUUUGAACUUUGAUGUUUUACUUUGGCUGCUCUUUUUUUAUCCUAUUGUAAAGCUCCCAUAAUUGUUUGGGCUAACCACAGUGCCUGAGAAUGAUAGUGAAUUUGCAUAUAUAUAUAUAUAUAUAUAUAUAUAUUAAGAUUAUACAAUAUUCUGGGAGUGGGUUGCAAAGGUUUUUUUUAAAGGAUUUUACAAUAUUAGAAUUUUUUUUAUUUUAUAGAAAACCAAUAUUAUAACAUUAUGCAAAUUCACUGUCAUUCUCAGGAACUCUCGUUAGCCCAAACAAUUAUGGUUGCUUUAUAUUGAAUUUUGAAUUUAUCCUUGAAAUUUCUCUUGUUUUCUCCUUUUUUGGGCAUGAAUUUUUGCUUGUUCGGGGUUCGGCAUUUCUUUUGGGCCUCUGCUUUCAACAAUAUCUGUUGGAUGCAAGAAUUCUAUAGCGAGCGCCGUAUAUAAGGCCCUCAUUAUAGAAUGACUCAUGUUAGAAGUUGAAAUGCAUUCUUCCUUUUUUGGGAGGAUUCUAUAAUGAGGGCCUUAUAUGUCGAGGGGGGGUGUGUUGAGACUCGAGAGGUUCAAUCUAACUGGAUAAAAUAGCUCUGCAAUUCAUCUGAUGGCAAGUAAGAACCCCUCAACUUUCCCUUGGGGGAGCAAACUGGUUGCUGAGACUAUUGUCCUGCAAUUAGCUCCCCUGCUUCGUUUCUAAUAACAGCAACCAUCCCCCUCUUAGUUACCUUGUCACCACAAGCUCCAUCGAAAUUCAACUGGAAGAAAGAAGCCAGUUUUGCAAUGUGAUAGUCUCCAUAGAAUAUGAUGCCAAUAUCUGAACUUGAAGAAACAAGCUCCAUCAAAAUACAAGAAGAAAAGGUAGAUAUUCUUACUACUCUUGUUCAUUUCAUUUCAUUUCACUUCACAAAAUUCUUCCUUAAAAACCAAAUCUGCAUCGCCAACCACGGCAUAAAAAAAGAUAUCUGUAGCUGGAAUGAAGCCUCCCAAUUUCAAUGCAAUUGGGUUGAGAAAACUAAACACUUGUGGCAUUUGACAAGUCUUGAGUGUCCUGAAGCCCUGAAGCUGAAGAUAGUUUUUAAAGAAAAACAUAGGGCGUGCUUCCUGUAUGAGUCCACAAGAAGAUGAUCCUAGAGUUUGAUCUCCAAUCUUGGUACAGGUAAUAAACAUGGAAUCUAUUUGCACAAUCCACAUUUGAAAAAUCAGGGCCACUAACAUGCAUUAUGACUAUUAUUAAUCUUGACAUCAGAUAAAUUUUUUGGCUCGCCAGUGACAUGUACAACAUGAAAAACUGUACUCAUAAACUUGAUAGCAGUUUCUUUAUUACAUACACUUAUUGAUUUAGAUAAUUACCAACACAAUCUAUAUAUGAUUUAGGCAUUUCUCUUGCUAGAGGCAUACAAAUUCUACGGUUGAAGGAACCUUUUCUAUAAGCUGCUGCCUAGCAAGAUUUCUUGCAUUUUCUUCCCUCUCCACUUCUUCAAUAGUCUUCUUUAUUCUGUGCUUAGGAAAACAAUAAUGUGGUUCGAUAGGAUCAGCAGGAUCAAUAACAAUUUUCUCCAGUUGAACAGCAUUCUCUAUCAAGUACUUGACAAUUUCAAAAUCACUUGCACGACCAUCAUACCCUCCAAUUUCCACUACCCUAAGGUACUCAUGGGAGCAUUUGGAUGCCUUCUUAAAUCUCGUUUCUCUUCUCUCGCAUAACGGGUACAACUGCACCAAGGAAACAAUACAACAAGAACCAAAAGUUCCAGGAAGUCUAUAGCCACCGAAUAGAACUAUCAUUAAACUCAAAAGUCUUUUGAGUAAAAGUGCACAACUUGGGAACUGGAAGCUACAUUACCAUAAUUAGCUACCAAAUAGAAUUACCAUUAAGGCAAGCUUGUAAAUCUUUAGAACCUCAAAUUCAAAACAUAUUCAGGGUUCUUUCAUCUAGGGAUCCCAAUUUUAAGAAAGGAAAUGGAUUGCAAGUGCACCAGCUCCUCAAUACGAUUACAUAAAAGGGAACAUAACACAUAAUAGUAAAACAUGACUAUGACCAUAAGUAACUAAUUCAUAAAUCUUCCAAAAUUCAGUUUCAUACUCAAUACCACAUAACAGCAAGGCCUAUAUCUUAAAAAAUUUAUGCCCAGAAAUCCCCUAAACUAGCUUUGUGGACUUGGAUUCUUAACUGCCCUGACUACUUGACCAGUACCUCAUAAACAAAAUCACCAAAGUGCAGAUACUAAUACUAAGUUUUACUGGUACAGGAAAUAGAACUAAAUAAAAAUAUGUACCUCCAACACAAGUCUCUGCAAGUACGGAGAUGCCUUAAUGAAAGAAGCCAACUGUAGAAGGAUGAAGCAAUCAUUUGCUUGAAAUUUUAGUUCCAAUUGCUUGAGAUUUGCUAGUACAGGAAAUACAUGAUUCCUUUCUUGGAACUGAAAACCAAACAAACAAGGACUAAGGCACUAACAGAAACCAACAAGAAGAAAGUAAAACCAACACUUAAAACUUAGAUAUACUAACCAGAAGUCCGUUCAGUUUGAGAAUCUCUAGCUGAGAAAGACAGCAUGAAAGUUGAGUGAAGGCAUCCCCUAUGCUCUUAUAGGAAAAAUCACAUACCUCAACAAGAUGUGGUAGAUUCCUAAGAAGCAUGUUUAUCUCACAUCCAACAUAAAUAAACGAGACUAGGUUUGUGUCACAUAUCUCAAUGCUUAUGAAGCUGGAACAUUGCUCUAUCACUAAGUACUUCAAUGAAAUCGAUGGACCAACAACUCUUAGAUUGCGUAAAUUUGGUGAAUCAUCCACUAAUAAUCGUUCAAGAACAGGACAGUUGGACAAGAAGUACUCAAGAACUUCUUCCUCCACAUCAACACUUUUGAAAUUAAGAACUGUGAGGGACUUAAAGCCAAUGCAUGCACAACGGUGGAGACUUGGAAUAUCAGAACACAAGUGCUUCAAAGUGGACUCUUUUUUUAUACCUAAAAGUUCAUGGGGAAAAAUGUAGCACGGAAAGAACUUCCGAGGAAAAACACCAUAUGAUAACAAGUCCAACUCAAGCAUUUGAACUCCCUUUUCCAUUGCAAAUUGAAUCCAUUUAUCAAGGGAACUUGAAAACUUAGGAUCAAGAUCGAAACAAAUCCUGAAUGUUUCAACCAUUGGGCCUCGAUGAUGUUCCACCACAUUAUUCACCCAAUCAACGUACCUACAGAUUAACAAGUCUCGUGCUCCUGCUCUGAGGUUAGACAAUCUGCAUAAAGUUUUCUCAGCAUCAAAGUCGAGAGUCCUAGUAGAUGCUAACACAUGCCGCCACAGAUGCUGCCAUCGCCUAGAAAGGACACUGGUAGCUUGUGCUUCCUUUAGUGACAAGAGAGACAGUAUACUAACAAGGACUUCAUUUGGCAAACUACUAAUUCUGUCCAAGCCCAAAAUGUUGUUGCAUUCAUGCUUAUUUUUCUUUCUAUCUCUCAAGUUGUAACCCCCCUAUGAAAUGAAUGGAACCACACAAAAAAAAAAGUCAAUUAGGAUUAAGGACAGUAACCAGGUACUCUUCUCUCUUUCAAAAUUCCCUUAAAUUAUGAAAUCUAUUUUACAAAAGAGACCCAAAUAAAAAUCAAAACGAUCGGAAAAACAAAAGCCAAACCAAAAAGAGGAAAUUAUACACUCUUUGAUAGAAAUUAAGGAGAGAAUUUAAACAAAAAGCUUCUUUUUUGUACUAGUUAGAUAUAUGGGAAGAAAAAAGAUGCAAACUUCAUAGUAUUUUUACCUGUUCUUGGGCAAAUUGAGAAGUUGGUCGACGCACCCUUUUCUUCAUUGAAUCUGACAGUGGUUUUUUCCUCUUUGAAAAUCUUAACCUGAAAAGGGUCUUCUUCUAACUCACUGCUACAGCAGGCAAGCGAGUCAGCGAGUGGAAGACGAGUUAGUGAUUUUGGGAAGAGGGUGGUAUUGGAUUUAGGUCUUACUGUUCUGUGUCGUCUUCAUCUCUCUCUCUCUCUCUCUCUCUCUCUCUCUCUCAAUGCUAUCAGCUCCGACACUCAUUUUCGGCUCUCAAUAAUAGCCAAGUCUUGUUGGACUUUCUCUGUGCUUUGUCUGGUUUCGAGGGAGGCCCUGUUGGGCCCUUUUUGCAUAUUCUUGUUUCCUUUUAUUUUUAUUUUUUGAGAGGCUUGUUUCCUUGUAUUAAUUGUUGUUGGAAAAAAAAAAAAAAAAAAAAACUUGGCUCUGGAGCUCCUCUUUACCAAUAUGGUUUUGACAAUUGUCAAAUUCGUUUAACCUUUUUUUUUUUCUUGGAAGUUUUUACUAGAAUUUGACAAUACGAUUGCUGAUUUGGGACGUCAAACACCCAAUUUGUGGCCAUAUAAACAUUGGAUCCCACCAAUUCUUCCAUUAAAUUUUUGUGAAAUAGACCGAACAUGGGAAUACAAUUAAUAUGCUUCAAAGUUGCAUCUUUUUAUAAGCGGAACAAAUUAUCGUUUUUCUUCUUAUGAAUUAAUACAACUUCCAACUACUUUAUACUGAAUUACAUCUUUUUAUAGGCGAAAUACAUUAUUAUCUUUCAUCUUCACACACUCUUUAGUCUUUGUUAUACCUAGUCUUUGUUAUCCUCUUUCAUCUUUUUAAUCAUUUGCAAUAAUUGUGGGCAUUCACAUUUAUAUUGCAACAGAAAUCAUGUUUUUUUUUUUUCACAUAUAUUUCCUAAUGAGUAAUGCUACACUUACCACAUUAUUAUCCUACAUUUCUGCACUAUAUGAUGUGACAUAUCCAUAUCAUAUGUCACAUCAAUUAAAUGAAUGAAGUGUAUUUUAAUAAAUAAAAUUAGAAAAACAUAAACUAGUUACAUGAUGUAGUAUGUACACAUCAGUUGCCACAUCAUGUAGUAUAAAAUUGUGGUAUAAAAAAUGUAGUAAGACUAGUAUUAUUCUUUCCUAAUUGGCUAAAAUGCCAACUUUUAAACAAUAAAUAAAUCAAAACUAUUCAUUUAUAGAUAAUAAAAUUCCAUAAAAUUCAACUGAAACCUACAUCAAUAAAAAAGAAAAACAAAUUAACAAAGACCAACACACAAAAUCACUCCAAGAAUAGGAAAGGUGUAUAAAUUCCACAUGUUGUGGACAACCGCAGUACAUUGCUGAGCCUAACAAGCCGAGGACUAAGAGCAAAAUUUAAUUAAUUAAGCCCCUCAAAUUCCAACUCCAAGUCCCCAAAAUAAAAAAAAUAAAAACCAUGAAUCUUGAUCCUUACUUUCAAAUCAACUAGUUAAACAACUUUCAAUCUGGGUGAUUUUUGGAGAGAUGAACUACAAUUAAGACAUGAAAAUUAGACAGUUACAUUAUUGAAAUAUAUUACAGAGUGAGACCUAUAGGAUGCCCCUCGAAUUAUUUAAGGAAUUCCUCAAUUAAAGCCCCUAAAUAUGCGUGUAUAUAUAUAUAUAUAUAUAUAUAUAUUCCUAUAGAAAAAGAAAAGAUGUCAAACCAAAAAGGAGUGUAUAGACAUAAGAGAAACAAUGAGAGAUGUUUUAGUACCCAGCCACUAUAUUAUGUGUACAAGAUACACAACUAACAUAUUAGCCCAACAGUUUAUCAAAACAACUCCUAAUAUAUUCACAUGAGUUAAAUGGGUACCUUGGCAUGCAUGUUCUUGGUUAGAAGCUCUCGAGAAUCAACACCCAUAUUCUAACAACUCCAGCUCAAAUAUAUAGCAUUUGAACUCUUCUUUUCUAUCAUUGAAAAUUGAAUCCAUUUAUUAAUGGAACUUGAAACUUAUCAUCUAGGUCAAAAACAACACCUAAAUUGCUCCAUGACUGGGCCUCUAUGCUGUUAACAUUCACCCCAUCCACGUAACAAGGCACUUCAAGCUCUUCUGCUUCUGGUUCUAGGUCAAGCAAACUGCACAAAGCUUUCUCAGCCUCAGCCUCGAAAGGACACCAGUAGCUUGUGCUUCCUUCAGCGGCAAGAGAGACAGUAUACUAACUAAAAUUGCAUCUGGCAACUCACUGAUUCUGUCCAACAACUUGUUGUGGCCAUGCUUACUUCUCUUUCUCUUUCUCAAGUUAUUGUAACCACCCUAUGAACAUGAAUUGAACCACAAACAAAAAGAAAAAAAAAGUUAGGUAAUCUUUGUUUCUUUCAUGAUAAAUAACGAGAGAAAAUAAAAAUAAAAAUUAACACUGUUUAAUUUUUCGUUACCUGGUAUUGGAGAAACUGAGAAGUUGGUCGAGGCCUCUUUUUUUCCAUUAAAUCUGAGAGUGGUACUUUUCAAGGUCUCACGGAUAUAGCGAUGGUGGCGAGUAACAAGCAUAUAGUUAGAGAUUUUGGAACUUGUUUAUUUUAUUUCCUUUUCUUUUUGGGUAUUCUCAAAAUUAUUAGCAUAACUGAUUGAGGAAACUAUAAAUUGAUUUGAGCGUGAUCAUUAAUUUGAUUCGAUAUUGAUAAUUGAAGUCUCAAAUGGGAAACACCAUUAAGCACUUGUAGGGAAGGAAGUCUUGCAGCUUAAAAAAAAGAUAUAUUUAAUCAUAUACCCAUUCUUAGCACUAAAAUUAUAAAUAAACUCUACAUCAUUUAAUUUUCAUAAACAUACCCAAAAAAACCCAAAAAAUGACAGGUGUACAUAUUGAAUUUAAUUUUUAUUAUUAAAUAACUUUGAUACCUUAUUGUGCGUUUUGGGUUUUUUUAUAAGAUUUUGGGGUUGGGUUUGUUUUAAGAAAUCAAUGACAGUUUUGUAAUUCAAAAGAAGUUAAAAACAUUUUUGUUAUGUUGUAAAUGGGCAGGUGUGUUUCUAAAGUCCAUUUCAUAUAGGUUUUUUUUAAAAAAAAUUUGGGCCCCUAUAUUGGGUAUAAUAGUGAAUCUCCUUAAAAAAAAAAAUCAGAAUGUUUUGACUCAAAAAAAAAAAAAUCAGAAUGUUAAUUAAUAGGCAAAAAGUCACUUUUGGUCCCUGUAAUUUGCCACUUUUAUCACUUUGGUCCAUUUUGUUUUAAUUUUGUCAAUUUUAUCCUUGUACUUUUAAUUUCGAGCAAAUCAAGGAUAAUCGUGAUUUUUUGUCAAAUUCUUUUAACGCUUGUUAUGUUUUGGUCACGUGCCCCUCACGUGGAGGGACAAUUUCGUCACUUCGUGCCCACCUAAAAGCUGCCCUCUCUCCUUUCAUGUUCAGAUAAGACUUUGGAAUUGUGGGAAAUGAUUCUGGAAGAUGCCUAGUUUUCAAUGGUGAAAUGAGAAUAACAAUUUCAAAGACUGAUAGGAGUCAUGGAAGAUGAUUCUGGAAGUGCAAUACAUUAUAUGUAAUGUCAAAUUUUGGUCACUGUGUUUAGUUAAUCCACUCCUUAAUUGUUUGAAAACCAAACAUAUUAUUGGAUUUCUCAUCUCCAAUUCAGUCCAAUUCGACUACAUAAUACAAUCCAAUUCCAAACCACAAACAUAUGCCCUUCGAUAGGGGUGGGCUCAAUUUCAAGUCAACCUGACCGAAGCACCCAACUCGAUUAUAAGAAGAUUGGGUUGGUUUGGGUUGGUCUAAUAAUGAACGGGUCUUGAGUCUAAGAAAUCAUAAACCACUGUUUGCAGGUUGGGUUAUGAGUUGAAACCAAAACUUAAGAGUAAUCAUAAUUUUGAAUUAACCUGACCAAACCGCCUAACUCAAUCACAAAAGAAUUUGGUUGGGUUGACCUAAUAAUGAGAAGGUCUUGAGUCCAAAAAAUCAAACACCGAUAUAUAUGAAUUGUAUUACGAAUUAGGACCAAAGCCAACCCACCCCUACCCUUUGGAUUAUAUUUUUACCAACUCUCCUUUUUACCAACUCUCAGGCAAGCCAGGUAUGUUAAGGCCAUCCCCAAUGGGGGCUCUAUUCGGGGCUCAACCACCACAAGGCUCCAAUAUUCAAUUAAACAACUUGUUUGAAAGGGACAAUUUGUUCCAUUAUUCGAUUAAACAACUCAGUCCUCAUGCGAAAUCUAUUACGAAAAUCUGAAGGGGGAUACAACGGAUGGUUAGAAAAGUAAUUUUGGAAAAGGUUUUCAUGGGCACUUACUCGAUCUCUUGGUAUAGUGCGUCGUCAUGAUGAUGUACCCCCAUGGACAACCAUCGGGGUCUUCUCCUUCUUCUUCGCUGCUUUUUUCCUUCGGUAGUUUUCUAACAUUUCCAAAAACAUUAUGUUGGCACCUGUCUCAUCACUAGAAGAGCUAUCAUAUCCAUUGUUGGCCAUUUUAGUGCGAUGGUAGAAGAAUGAAUAUUGAGAAUACAAGAGUUGGGAAGUGGUGUGUUAUGAAAAUAAGAUGGUUGUUCAUUUAUAGAGGAUGUGAUGGUUUAAGAGAUAACAAAUAUACGGAUAAGAUUCAUAUGAGGUAAUUCAAUCCAAUGGUUAUUGUAAGAUGUAAUUUGAAGAGAUUAGAUUUUUUAUCUGAAGCCAUAGAAUGAGACCCACAUCCAUCUACCACUAUUAUUAUCUGACAAAAGUAAAAGGCAUAGGAAUGAAAGGCCAUCACGAAGGGGACAUCACCAUGCCUACCACAAUUAUUAUCUAACAAUGUAAAUAAGAGAGGGGUGGAAAGCCAUAAUGCAAGGGACCCAUAUCCAACUUUGGGAUGACCAUUGUAUCUAUGAAAUAAAAUGUUGAUUUCCAAAUCUUGUCCAAAUUUUGAUUUUUUUUGGUUGAAAUAUUCACACAAAAAAAAGAACUAACAUAACAUGAACAAACAUUAAAGUAAAAUAGUUAACAAAAAAAAAAAAAAAACCACGUAAAUCAAAUUACAUCAUAAAAAAAUAUAGAGCCCGCCAUGAAUAUAGAGUUUUCCAUUAUAAGAGAGAUUUCUUUAAAGUCCCAAAAAUUUCAUCGGAGCACUAAAAGGGGCUCAUAGCCCCAACCAUUAGGGAUGGCCUAAGAGCCCAAUCAAUGAAGCACCGGGCCUUAAAAAGAGGACCCCCACACCCCCGACCCCCCCCCCCCAUAAAAUUGGACAAUUCAAGUUCGUACGAAGUUCGUUCUAAAAUGAAGUGGUUAGGGUAUUGCAUAGUUAUAGCCCUUGAUUUUCACUCAAAAAUCACCAAAUGACUCCUCCCAUUAUAUUAUGAGGUUGCCCACGUUUUGGACUCAAUCCAAUAUCAAUUGGUCCAUGAAAUUGGACAAUUCAGGUUCUCACAAAGUGCGUUAUGACAUGGAGUGGUGGUGUAUUGCAUAGUUUUAGUCGUUGUAUUUCACUCAAAAGGCACCAAAUGACUCCUCCUAUCAUAUUAUCUUGUUCCACAGGUUUUGGACUCAACCGAUAUCGAUAGGGCCAUGAAUUUGGCACUUCAGGUUCUCACGAAGUCAAUGUGAGAUGUAUUGCCUUGUGUAUUGCAUAGUUUGAGCCUUUGGAUUUCACUCAACAGGCACCAAGAGAAAUCCUCCAAAUAGAUUAUCUUAGUCCACCGGUUUUCGUACUCAAUCCGAUUGCAAUUGAGCCAUUGAUAUUUGGGACAAUUCAGGGNNNNNNNNNNNNNNNNNNNNNNNNNNNNNNNNNNNNNNNNNNNNNNNNNNNNNNNNNNNNNNNNNNNNNNNNNNNNNNNNNNNNNNNNNNNNNNNNNNNNCCCCCCCCCCCCCCCCCCCCCCCCCCAAAAAAAAAAAACAAAAAAAACAUGUACUUAAGUGAAGAACAAAACCAGAACUGAAGGGCAAAGCAGGCAAACAGUUGCCAACGUUGGACUGGACGAGGAUAUCAUCACUCAGCAAAAUCCCAAUGAGGAUGGGCACCUGUGAGCCGCUGUUUUUGUUGGCUCCUCGAAAUUGAUCAAAACUGGGCAGAGCCUUCGAAACAUCAGCCAUUCUUCCUCAAAGCCUCGUUCUUUGGCCGGGAGAUAUCUCUUGUUCAGCAAAACCACAACUUUUGAAUCAAGUUCACGCCUCAAUUUUCUUCAAAGCCUCAAUCUUGAGCCAGAUACCAACAAGGGUAGCUUUAGCUUCCGCCUGAAGAACUCAAUGAGCCAUAAGGCUGAGAUUUUUCCCUGCUGAUAAAGCUCGCUGAUGAGUUCUGGUCAUAACCCAGAAGAAAAGGAAAAAAAAAGAAAGCAAUGCAGGUAAGCAAUUCUUGCCCUUGAAUGAAUUACUUGUUGAAGAUUCAUUCUUUUUUACAAGACACAAUAGAACUAAAUGUUCCUCAGAUUGAGGAUGGGUCUGGCGUAUAGGAAACAGAGGAUUUUUAACAUUUAUUCUUUUAAAAAUAUGAACUUUAUUUUUUUAAAUAAGAUAAUUUCCUCAUUUUUAGCAGUGACUUCCACUCCCCGUAUAAUCUAAUCUUCCAUGACCUUUUGUCAAUCUGGGGGGAAGAUGGUUGGUUCUCCAUGGUGUGCCUGCAAGGCUUGUCCAUGCCCAAGAAGCUCUAGAACCGUGUGUUUAGAGUUGAGGUCUCUUUAUCAGCCUUUCAUAUUCUUUAAAAUUCUAUCUCUGACAUAGCAGAAAAGCCUCUUUCUUAGGACAUAGCAGAAAAGCCUCUUUCUUAGAGCUAUCCCAUAUAGUGCGAAGCCCUACAUAUUUUCCUGGAUUCACUGUCACAUUGAUCUUGAGUACGCAGACAUUUGUUGGAAGUUAGGAGGAGUACUAGGCUGAAAAAUGGACUUGACUUAUUAUAGUUCACCAAACAAGCUUGUACAUUACAAGAUAGAUCCAGGAUCCUGGCCAUUGCCUUGCUAUUUUCAACAGCCGCGUUCACAAAAAUAGAGAAUCAUCUACAAGUAGCAGAUGACCCAACAUUGGGCCAUUCUUAUAAAGUGUCACCCUUUGUGACCUUUUAGCUUGAAAGGACUUUUGUACCAUUUGAGAUAAAGUUUCACCAACAAAAAGAAAUAGAUAGCAGGUAAGGGAUCCCCCUGUCUUAUGCCUCUAUUUGAUGUAAAUUUCCUGCUUGGAUUCCCAUUUCCCAACACUGAGCUGAUUCAUUUCAGUUUCACAAUCAAACCAACCCAAGAUCGAUUAAACCCCGUUUUGUGCAUUUUUUUUAUAUAUAUUCUUUACUUCAUAAUUUAAGAGAAUCAAGAAAAAGAGAAGAUCACUUGUGACACUCAAACUAUUUUUAUUUUUGUUUUUUGCUCGGUUCAUAGGGUGAUUACAUCUUGAGAAAGAGUAACAAAAGUAAGUAUGAUUACCACCUGGCAGACCGAAUCAGUGAGUUGGCAGAUGAAAUUCUUGUUAGUAUACUGACUCUCCUGCCGCUAAAUGAAGCAGCAACUACUAGUAUCCUUUCUAAGCGAUGGCGGUAUCUGUGUCAGUAUGUAUUGGCAUCUACUAUGACUCUCAAAUUUGAUGCUGAGAAAACUUCAUGCAGUUUGAUUGACCUCAAUCGAGAAGAACGAGAACAGAAAAUCCGUAGGUAUGUUGCUUGGGUGAAUAGUGUGGUGGAGCAGCAUACAUGGCCAAAUAUUGAACAAUUCAGGAUUGCUUUUGAUUUGGAUAAUAGCUUUUCAAGUUCCAUUAAUAAAUGGAUUCAAUUUGCACUGAAAAAAAGAGUUCAAAUUCUUGAGUUGGACUUCUCAGAAAAUGGCAUUCAUCAUAGACAGAAAUCCUGCUAUAAUUUUCCCCAUGAACUUUUAGGUCUCAACAGAGGGUCUACUUCUACAGCUGUGUGUUGUGAAAUUCCAAGUCUAAACCCUUGUGUAUACCUUGGCUUAAAGUCAAUCAGAGUUCUUCAUUUCAAUUUUGUUGAUGUGGCUGAAGAAGUUCUUGAGUGCUUCUUGUCUAAUUGCCCAGUUCUUGAACGGUUAUCAGUGUUUCACUCCCCAAAUUUGGUAAAUUUAAGGGUUGUUGGUCCAUCGAUUGCAUUGAAGUACCUAGUAAUUCGACAAUGUAACAGCCUUGAAAGCAUUGAGAUUUGUGAUGCAAACCUGGUUUCACUCAGUUAUGUUGGAAAUGAGAUAAGCUUGCUUCUUAGGAAUGUGCCGCUGCUUGUUGAGGUAUCCAUUUCUGAGGACUGUAUCUGCAAUAAUUUCAUAGAGGUUGCCUUCACUCAACUUUCGUGCUGUCUUUCUCAGCUAGAGAUUCUCAAACUGACUGAUCAAAUAGUGGUUAGUACUUAGUAUAUGUAAUUAUCAUGUAUUAGUUUUCCUUCUCUUUGUUGGAUUAUAUUAGUCCCUUACUCCUUGUUUCUUUUUCAGCCCUACAAGAGGGAUCAUAUAUUUCCUAUAUUAGCAAAUCUAAAGCAUUUGGAAAUGAUAUUUGAAGAAGACAAUGUUUGUGGCCUUCUUCAGUUAACUUCCUUCUUUAGGGCAUCUCCGUGCCUGCACAGACUUGUGUUGUACUUGCAGGUAUGCAUAUUCUCACUUGGUAGGUUAUUUUCUCAGUAAAACUUGGUAGUUGUAUGUGUACGUUGGGUGAUUUUGUUUCUGAGAUUCACUGGAUGGUUUUGAACUUUUACCAUCCUGUUAUGUGAUGCAUCUUUUACUUUCAUUGUGAAACGUGCAUUUUCUUCAUAUAGAAUUGCAAAAUCAUGUUAACCACUGUAAUUAAUGAGGUAAAAGGUUAUAUGUUCCUAGAACCUAACCCUCCGUUUGGAUGAAGUAAUUGAAAAUUACAUAGAAUUGUAAAAUGACGGAAUUUAGAUUUCCAUCAUUUCAAUUUCUGGCAAUUGAAGAUUUCAGUGUUUGGAUUUAUGCAUGUCGAAUUCUGUCAAUGACGGAAUUUUGUAAAUAGCACCAUGGAAAUUGUGAAAUGACGCCUAUAUUGUGGAAAUUAAACUCGGGAAUUUGAUGCCCUAAUUUCCACGGUUUUUUCCUCGCGUCAUUUAAUAAAUUCCACGCUUAAGUUGCCAAACAACGGAAUUGUCAAUUUCUCUUCUUAAAUUCCCGACUUUUAGCCAAAUUCUAAGUUAUUUUCCCUCAUCCAAACGAAGGGUAAUUGAAAUUUCAUCAAUUGAGAUCUGUUAUAUUGUUCACUUGAUAUUGGACGCCAGCACGCACACAUCCCAAUUGUUUCUUUCUAUUGCCAUGAUUUUUUUAUUCAAUACAUGUGUUUCAUGGCUUACACAUAUAAUGUCCUUAUUUAAGUUGAGUGUCCCUUUGAAAUGUUAGGCUCUUUAGUUUAAACUUCUGUGUUAACAUUAUUUCUUCAACCUAUUCUAUAUAUAUAUCUUCGCAGUUGAUGAAUUUAAUUUUAUGUUUGUUGAAAUGAAUUUUAUUUCAGAGAGGCUGUGUUUUUAUAAUGAACGUUUGGAUUAGUGUGGUAGAUUCUGGUUUAGUUAAUUUAUUUGAAUCUGUCCCAUUAACAAAGUAUCUGUGCUUCCCUUUUGGUCAGAAAAUCAGUCUCAAUGAGGUAGAUAUUUGUGUCAGGAAUGAAUAUUCAGAGGUAAAUGGAUGUCAAAUAUAAAUAUUUGAAAUCCAUAGGUAGACUGUUCUGCCACUGUUUCAUAUUCUGGAAUAUAUUUUCACUUCUACUUCUGAAGACUUGUGAGCUUAAUGGUAAUACUAUUUGGUAGCUAUUGACUCAAUGCAAAAGUUGUUUCCUGCUCACAAACUUGUCUUCUUGCUGCAGAUGGACUACACAAAAUCCAUGAGAAGGAAAAUAAAAUAUAAGAAGGCCAAAUGCUCCCAUAAUUACCUGAAGAUAGUGGAAUUGGUAGGGUAUGAUGGUCACACAAGUGAUUUUGAACUUGUCAAGUACUUGGCAAAGACUGCUGUGAAACUGGAGAAAAUUGUGAUAAAAGGAGAAGAGGAGGGCCCAUGGAGAAAAAUGGCAAGAGAUGUUGCUAUGCACCGGCUUAAAGAAAAGGUUCCUUCAACUAUAGAAUUUGUAUACCGGUAGGCAGUAGGAGUGCAGUGCUUAAAUUAUCUAGAGAAUUUGUUGGUAAUUGGUGGUUAAAUUAACAAACAUUUUAAGGUUUGUUUUAUUGAUUUUAGGAAAUAAGUUAAGAAUGAGGUUCAACGAAUAUGGAAUGGACUGAGAGGUUGAGGACUUAUUGAUCAAAUCCAAAAUAAGUUUAUUUUCCUUUCAAUAUAUGUUAUCAAACCAUCCCUAAAAACUACCAAGGCUAAGAGGACUUGCUUGUUUCUUUAACGGAAAAAGCUUGGAUUCUUAAAACUGAGGAGGUGAACCUUGAAACACUUGAUGGUGAACCUUUUGGGAAGGCCUGCAAGUAACAAAAUCAAACAAAAAUAAUUGCACGAACACCAAAUUUGUUCACCAAAUAAUGUGUUGGUUUGUGUGUCAAUAUCUAACUUGUCAGAAAUUUUACCCAUUUAUGCAUAUUAAAUUAAACUUAGCACAACAUAGGACAUUGAAGUUACAACUCUAGUACCAAACUUCGAACAUGAUUCCAAUAAUGAGACUGCUAAGUUAGGAGAUGGUUAAAAAUCCACCGGUUUUAGUAGAACCGAAAAUUUGAAGUCCAUGCAUUCUUGCAUUUCGUAAGCAUGCAAGUGCAGGUACGGACUCAACAUAUGCACAAAUCAUAAGGCCAAUUUGUUUCAAAAAUGACCAAUGCAAGUUGCAUUUCCUGCUUCAGAUACUACUCAAGAACCAACAGCCACACAACGAAUCAGAACAGAAACACCAGAUUGUUUCCUAUUGUCCGAAAGCAACCAUCACUUUCCUCUUGCAACAAAAGUCUGCUCUCAAGAUAUUCAAAGUGAUCAAGACUGGGGAAAAAAACUCUGCAAGUAUUUCUUGCAUACAUUUUGCAAGCAGAAAAGGGUGAAGAAGAAAAGAUAAUUGAGUUCUUAUUAUACUCCUAAACUAAAAACAUUUUGUUCAAUCCAUGUGUUUCCUCUUGCCUAUGCUACACCAAAAAUGAUAGAAAAUAGCUUUAAAAACUUCAAUUCAUCUUUUAGCAUCUUCAGAAGCUGGGGUCUUGCCCUCCUGAUCCUGCAAGUGAGCAUUAGGAACCGGAUGCUGACCUACUACCCACUCUUUGCUGAGGGCUGGUCCUGGUUCUACAGAAUCCUGUUUACUGGGGGGAUCUUUCUCAACCGGCUUGCUAGAUUCUGAACUACUACGGCUACUUGCUUCUGUUACAAUAUCUUUCUUCUCAUUUCCUCCUUCAUGCUCUUUUGUUUGGCCACUAUUCAUUUGCUUCUUUGAUUCAACCACAAAUUCCUUCAGAGUUUCUUCAAGUUUAUCUAGUCUCACUCUUACCUCCAAAAGUUCUGGAUUAGAGGCUUCUUUUUCUUCAGCAGCCUUUAGUUCUAUUUCUUUUUCUUUUGCUUUCGCUUCUUCUUCUUUCUUCUUUUUCUGCUCCAGUUCCUGAGAUGGUGAUUUUGGUGAGGAGAGGAAAGAUAAAUAAAAGGAAACCCAGUGUGUGCAUGUGUGUGUGUGUGCUUGUCUGCAAAUAAACACCCAGAUGGGUGAAUCAGUUAAAAAAAUUAAUUGCAGCCUGUUUCUGAAAAGGUUGUUUAGAAAACUAGACUGAUUCUUAAGGAGUAUGCUUGGAUUGUAAAUGGUGUAUCCAAACAAUGGAAGUAUCAUAGAUUUAGAGCAAAGGGGGAGAAAACAAGAAAAAGAUAGAUGAUGGUCUAUGAUGGAAGAAACACAAAAUGGCAUACAAUCCAACAAACAGCAAUUAAUAUUUAUGCACUAUUUAGGCUAAAGAUAUCAGCACAAAAGCAUAAAAGUUCAGUUACCGCUUCCAUUCUUCUAAUUUCAUAGCGAGCAUAUUGAGCCACCAGAUACACAGCUGUUACACAAAAUAAGUUCUUACAUAGUAGUGUGAAACCAUGAGAAAACCAAAUAUGAAACAUGAUACGUACCCAAGGAAGGCAUGCAAACAAAGAACAGUUGUACCAAAUGGAAAUCGAGCCUGGCCAUGAAAAGGAGAAAGGUAAGAAGAUGUCUCAGCAACAGAGAUGAAGAUACCAACAGGAUAUUCAAAGUACCGAUAAUCUCGUUCAGUAAUUAUUUCUUUGGAAAAUAAUCUGGAGCAUGCAGUUACAAAUUAGGUCAUUCUAGCCUAGAUGGGAUGAAAAUUAAGUGGCUUGCUACAAAACUGAUGAUGGUGCAUUAAGUUCCUUUCCCAGUACUUAUGUAUUACCAAAGACCUAAUCAUUAAAUUUGUUUCCUUUUAACUCCAAAUAGGAAAUUCUAACAAUUAAAGACUCAAAAAAUGGAAUUAUUUAUUUGGGUGACUAAAAUGCAUUCCAUCUUAAGUUUUACACAUACACCAAC
Molecule: long non-coding RNA, 99338 nt
Filed under: Prunus persica (peach)
Lineage: Eukaryota; Viridiplantae; Streptophyta; Magnoliopsida; Rosales; Rosaceae
Description: long non-coding RNA (PPER_LNC007287)
Source: RNAcentral